RNAcentral lists this long non-coding RNA (97810 nucleotides) under Coffea arabica (coffee). Its description in RNAcentral is "long non-coding RNA (CARA_LNC004798)". The record is from RNAcentral. Lineage: Eukaryota; Viridiplantae; Streptophyta; Magnoliopsida; Gentianales; Rubiaceae.
CAAAGUUCUCAUCAAGUAAGACAUUAUGCGGUUUAAUAUCAAAAUGCAGAAUUUGCAUAUCACACCCCUGAUGCAAGUAUUCAAUGCCACGAGCAACCCCCUUUGCAAUCUCACAAACUUGUUUCCAACUCAAUGGAGAACCAUUUUGACAAUUUGAGAAAAUUAACUUAUCCAGAGAGCCAUUUGGCAUGUAAUCAUACACUAGAGCAUGUUUUGAGGCAGUAACACAAAAUCCCACUAACCGAACCACGUUCACAUGGUGUAUUCUUCCAAUAGUUGCAACUUCAUUGAUGAACUCUUGUCCAUUAGCUUUUGAUUUGUUCAGCAUCUUGACAGCAACUGCACCUCCACUGCGCAAUUUGCCUUUGUAAACCAAACCAUAGCCUCCUUCACCUAGUUUCUCCUCAAAAUUUUUUGUCAUUGUCUUUAUUUCUUUGUAUGAGUACCUAAUGGGCAUGAGGCUGUUGUUUGCUUGUAGGAAAUCUUCUAUUGUAUCAUACCUCGAUAAAUGCCUCCGACGACACCGAUAAAGGAGGAAAGCAAAGAAGAGGAUAAUGCCAAUGAUAUGUUUUGCUGCAAUAAGCACAACUGGAAUAGAAGAACAAAACAAUGAUUGAUUGACUUCUAGUGUAUAUUCCAAUAGACAGAGUUUUCAACUAUAAAUCAGAUGCAUUACCCGAAACUAUGGCACCAAUAUCAAAGUAAUCUGCUUAUAAAAGAAAAGUUAAAGGAUUAUAAUGAAAAUAUUGAAAUAGAAAGAAUCUGAUUGAUUAAAGAAUGGUUUUUCUGUAAAUCAAAGAAAUCAGAUUACUCACAUUCAUUUCCAUAUGGAUUUGGGCCGAAGACAUGUUUGUAGACGAAUCUGUAGGUUUCUACCGAGCUGAGAGCCACAUAGCCUAAGUACGAAAGUGCGUACGAGUUUCAAAUUACGACGACAAUAAAAAAAAAUAGGUUCAAUAAAUUCAAAGUAUGUUUGUUUUGCAUGGUUCAAAGCGAAAAUUCAAUAAUUCAUAUGUUUGUUGGGAUCAUAACACAAAUAAGCUUUUCAAAAAGUCAACCCACCCUCCUGUCUAAAAUCCAACUAUUCUAACUUGACUAUGUUCCUAUAUAUUUUUGUUUGCUAAAAAAGAUUUGCAGCAACAAAUAAAGACAAAAUAGCAGUUUCUGGUAUCCUGACUCAACUAAAUUUCACAUGUACUCUCCUUUCAUUUUUGGGGAAGAUGAGUGCUACCGCCUGUGGGGUUUCUAUCCCACAUCGGUUCGGGGGGGUUUGGGGUUUGGGUUUAUCAAGGUCUGCGGGAGCCUUCAAAAGUUGCCGGCUUUUGAAGGUUUCUCGCAGGUCAACUUUAGUAACGAAAAAGUCUGAGUUUCUCAGUCAUCGGAAAAAGACAGAAACCUCGGGGAGGUGAUCUCUCCAUUUCAGUGGGUGUCUGGGGGGUCUUUACUUCUUAGCAGCGGGGCACCCCUGUGGGGUUUCUAUCCCACAUCGGUUCGGGGGGGUUUGGGGUUUGGGUUUAUUAAGGUCUGCGGGAGCCUUCAAAAGUUGCCGGCUUUUGAAGGUUUCUCGCAGGUCAACUUUAGUAACGAAAAAGUCUGAGUUUCUCAGUCAUCGGAAAAAGAGUGCUACCGAAGAGUGGAGUAAGAAUUGCAUCAUUAAAAGGAGAAUUUGUUAAAUCUACACUUCCACAAUCUAGACCUAUACGGUGUAUAAAAUAAACAAUAUUUGGUUGUUUUAUAAUUUUUUAAAAGAAAGAAAGAAAGAAAGAUGAAAAGCAGUACUACCAUAUUUAGCCCCAAAUGUACCACUUCACAUCUUAACUUAAAAUCUUCCAAUAUAUAACUUAAAUUUGUCAUUAAUUCCCCAAAAACAUAGUUUCAAUCAUCAAUUACGAUGUUAAUAAAUCUUCAAAUCAGUGUACUUACAAAAAAGAGAUCUCCUCCUGUGCUCGAAGAGUGGGAGCCAACUGAUCUCAAGGCCAUUAGACAGAAGAUUGUGAAGGUCUUCAAACGAAAUAUCUCCUGCUGUUUCUUUAGGGAGACACCGCAGGUCUACAGGAAGUAUUUUAUAGACAGUGCACGACUCUUCAAUAUCAGAUGCCACCACAUUUUUGCCCACCACAACAUAGCUGUAAUAAUUGGACGGAGCUUUCAUUUCUGAAAAAUGAUUUGCAGUGAUAUUACAAGAAGCAGUGUCUACAUAAAGAGGAUAUUUCGAUUUCACCGGAUUUUUACAGCUCACAAAGACCAACGAACCAGCAUCGGGAACUGUCUCCACAGAAAAGUAGUAGUCGUUGUAUGGAUUUUGACGGUACUCGUCGUCUGGACUUAAUGGGUGGACUGGCAGAGUAGAACAGUUGUUCUUUUGCACCCCAGGAUCAAAUAUACGAAGUGUCUGUUGCUCAUAAUCAAUACUGUUUAGCUCCACCGAAAAGUUAUACCGUUUCUCCGGAUAGGAACUACGACUCAUGGAUAGAACAGUGCGAUUUUUUUCACAAGAGAAUUCAAUAACACGAGGUUGACGGCACACAUCGGGAUCAUCACCACUAAAUUGAAACGGGCACUUUAAAUUGAUGUCGGUGCCCCCGCAAGUGGAUGGGCUACGGUCACUGCUGGUGUCUUUGGAAUGGUAAAAACUACCAUAUCUCCGACAAUUUUCAUCAAAAUAACCAUAUCUGAUAUCCAGCAGCCAGCCGUAAAUCAAGAUUAGAGACAACAAAACUACCAAAAUGUGAAGUUGAAGCAUACUUCUUAAACACACCGACUGAGUGAAUUGGAAAAAAAGAUGCCGCAUAUAUUUAGGAAACGGAGAAGAUGGAGAAAUGACGUCGUAAUUUACGCUAAAUGAAAUUUGGUUGAAAUUAGAGGAGAAGGGCGGGUGGCGGUGGUGGUGAUUGUGGGUGAGAGAGAUAUUUUAAAGUGGAGGUGAGUUUUGGGGUGGGGGGAACCGGUUGGGUAGGUGAAAGUCAAGGAGGGUGACCGGUUCUUCUUUUCUUCUCUCUCUCUCUCUUCUUUCUUUCUUUUUUUUUUUUUUUUUUGAGGUUUAGGUCAAGUUAAGCGUAGUGAAUUGCAAAUAAAUUGAGUUUAACCAAAGUGAUUUGGAAAUACGUUUGGUUACAUUUUGAGAUCGGGAAGCCCGAAUAAAUUGAGAAACUUGAGUUUGAAAGUUUGUCAAGUAUAACCGAGCUGAAAAAUAAGUUCAGGAAAAAAUGAACGCGAGUUUGAUUUUAAGAUGAAUUCAGAAUUGAGUUUCAUCAUAGAUACUUGGCAAAGAGAAUAGGACCUGAGGUCUCAAAUAGGCAUGUAUGUAAGCCAAAAUUAAUUUAUUGAAUGUCUCUUUCAGAACUCGGCCUUAUUACCAAUGAGUUACAGGAUGUGACAUAGCUCCUCAUUUUGAGUUGGAUCGAUUAUUUUUCUUUGAUUAUAUAUUCUAAAAUUAGGAUUAUUAUCUUUUUUGAUAUUCUUCUUCUGCAUCUAACUUCAGAUUUUAUCAAUAGUAAAAAAAAAUUAAAAUAUGAAUCUAUUAAAGACUAUAUUUACCUAAUUCUCAUUAUCCUUACCAAUCGCUUUAACCAAAUUUUGCAAAAUUUCACAGCAAACGAAAACAAGCCUAAAUUCUAAUUAGCCAGCUUUGAUAUCUCAAUAUCUAGUUCUAGUAAUGUUUUACUUUCUUCCAUUAGUUUUGGGAGUUGGAACGUUUGGUUUAAUAAACCAGUAGAAUUCCAUGAACCAAACCUUUUUCAGCACUAGCCUCCAAUGGAGGAAACUGCUAACCAAAUGCGUUGGAAGCUAAAUUCUGAACUUCUCUCACAGUGCAAGUCUAAUUUGAGCUCCAUUUUUUUUUCCGUUUUGUUUGUUUGUUCUGAGGGAGUUCAUUCUCGACUUGGCUCUAAGUAGAGAUGGCAAUUUAUCCCAAAUUCCAAUGGAUUAUCCAUGCCCAUGGGGACUUUGAGCGGGAUGGGUACUGGAAUUUGAUAUUGGGUUUAAAAUGGGACAAAUCCCAAUUGUACCCAUUAAUUGAUGGGAAAUUUUGGGAAAUACUUGGGUACGCAUUGCGCUCAAAUAGCAAGGGCUCCGUUUGGAUUAACUGUUUUUGGGGGUAUUUUUGAAAUAUUUUAUUGUAGCAGUGUAUAUGAAAAAUUUUUACUAUAAAAUUUUUUUGAAAUAUUUGAUAUACUAAUAUGAAUGGAAUGUUUUUUGAAGUAUUGUAUAUUACUGUAACAUUGUAUUUGAAAAACUUAUUUUUUGAAAAAAUAGCCAAUCCAAACAGAGUCUUAAAUUCAAAAAUUAUCUUUAACAAUUUUUAUAGUCAUACUAGCGAAUAUAAUCUAGCAGUCUUCCUAGUCAUUAUCCACAAGAAUUUCCAGCAUUUCAAUCAGUUUAGACCUGUCAUCCUUGGACAAUGAUGAGAAUAAAUAUUCAACACCCUAAGUGUCUUGGUCAUCUUGAUAUAUGUUGGAAUAUGGUUGUAUAUCUAUUUUUUCCUUUAUUUGUUAAUCCAAUUUUUUGUGCGAAUCCUGAGUAUAAAGCACUUGCAUGUUUAUUUAAAAAAACUAAAAGAAAUUUAAUAAAUAAAAAAUAUUAAAGUUAUAUAAAAAUAAAAAAUGAAUUAAAGGAAAAAAAAUGUAAAAAAUAGAUUUGGGUAUUGGGCGGGAUCAAUCUAAACCCAUCCCAAAGUGAUCCCGCCAAGUUAGUCCCAAAACACAUAUGGGUAAGGUUGGACCCAAAUCCAUAUGACUCGGUUCCAUCUCAAAUUUAAGCAAAUCCCGCCCAUCCCGUCUAUGUUGUCACCUCUAGCUCUAAAUCUUUGUUCUCUUGUUGUUGUUUUGACAGAAAAAGAUAUUUUUCUUAUUAGCCUGUAUUGAUAUGAUGGUAACACGAAAAUGAAGAGACAUUAAUACAUUUUCUUUCAUUAUUUGUUCAUGAAAAUAAAAGAAAAUAUGUAGCAAAUUAAAUCCAAGAAAAUAAAUUGAUCUGCCAACCUAGUUGUGGCCAUGCACUAUCCAUAUCAAAGUUCCAAACUAGAUUUUUUUUUUUCGUUUUUUCUUCCUUAAGGGAGUCUAGUCUAGACUUUUGAUGAUUUCUUUUAAGCAGUCCAACAUAGAUUUAUAAAUGAAGACUUUAACCCCGAAAAGAGAAAAAGAAAAAAAGAAGAAAAUUAGUCAGUUAGUGAGUCUACUAAUACAUAAGUUAUAUUGUAAAUUUAGAGCCGCAUCAUUAUGGCGAUGCAUGAUGAACUAAAAAUAGUUAUAAGAAAUGAUCUUUAUUUUAAUGAAAAACACACAGAAUAUUAUGAUCACUAGUGCAUUCGAUAAAAGAAUAAAAAGAUAUCUGAGGAGAAGCUAAUUAGUUCACUUGAAAUAUCAAGAUCAGGUUUAGAAAAAUGGUUCACUCGUUCUUUUCCUCUUUAUAAUUUUUGGGGCACUAGAAUUGAGUGGAGUAUUCAAUAAUUUGAGUAUAUUCCACAUUUGAGGUUUUAAAUUUCCAACAACAUCAGACCAGAUAAUGUUUUGCAGAAUAGUCUGUUUUUUUUUUCUUGUAAGUCCCAAUUGAUGGUAACAUGAAAAUCAAGUCGAGUAAAUCUAAAAAAUUUAAGGGUCCGUUUGUUUCGGGUGAAAAUGUUUUCCAGAAAAAUAUUUUCCUAAUUUCCCGUGUUUGAUUGCACAAAAGUUAUUGAAAACAUUUUCCUAUGUAAAAUAUUUUCACUCAUCUUAUGGAAAACAACUUCCCUUCCAAACUUACUGAAGUUGUUUUCCGAAAUGCAUGCAUCCCGCUUGUAGUAUGUUCCAAACUUACUGAAAACAUCUUGUAGUAUGUUCUUUUUUUUUUUUUAGUGUAAAUAGGAGAACUCAAACCCAAAACCUCUUCCUUACACUUCCUUUUCCGUACCACCCAACCCAACCCUCCCCCUAGUAUAUUCAAAAUAAAAAAAAAAUCUCAUCCUACUCAUCCUAUGCUAGUAAUUAAUUAUGUAUAAUAGGGACAUUCUUUUCUAGAGAAACUUUCAGCAGUGAGAGUGCAAGAUAUAUGUCACAAUAAGCAUUGCAUGUGAUUGAUAUUUGACACUAAAUGACCAGCAAUUUACUUAUUACUUAAGGAGAUAUUUUUUAUUCAUAUAUACAUUUCUCCAAGAUUUUUUAAAGUUAAAUAAUGAGAUAAAUUUUCAUAUUUUGCAUGGGAAGAAGUAUGUAGUUAUAAUGUGUAGAAAGUAAAGAUAGAGAUAAAAGUAGUGAAAAUAUUUCAAAAGUUAAACAAAUACCAGAAAAAUGAAGUGAGAAAAUAUUUUCAAUAAACUAACCAAACACCUGAAAAUGAUGAAAGAGAAAUGAUUUUCAUGGAAAAUUACUUCCAUGGAAAAUAUUUUCCCAAAGAAAAUAUUUUACUUCCAACCAAACAGACCCUAAAAGAGAAAAAAUCUCUAGAUCUAGAUGCCAUCUUCCACAAUUCACACACUAAAUGUCUAAUUGUGUAUUUUAAAAGAACUUGUCCCACAUUAAAAAAUCAAACAGACUUCCAAUCAUUAUAUAAUACUUAGCUUCUCAAUUAAAAAACCUAAACAAUUAUCAAUGAAUACGUAUGAUGGGUUCCUAAACCGGGGUUUUCUCGUUCCGUAUCAUAAAAGAUGUCAAAGUCAUUGUCGCGUUUUGAUGCAGGCAUUAAUUAGUCAAGUUGUUCUGUCAUCUAUCUAUUUCGGGGUCCAACUAUAGGGGGGAUUAUAUAUAAUUUUUCCAACUUUAUUCUUGUUACACGCCACCUAAGUGGAAAACUUUCUAAUAGUGUAUUGUAAUAGUACUACUGUAAAUUCUCAUGUUGUAUUUUUAGCAUAACAACUGAUGCACUUCAAUUCUCCACAUCUUAUACCUGCAAAAAAUACGAUAUUCAGAAUCACCCUAAAUCGCAUCCCCAUUUAACAAAGAAUAUGUCUGCUAAAUCAAGAUAAAAAAGAAAGUUAUCAAUUUUGGUCAGAAAACAUUAAAAGUAGAAAGUUUACACACCGCAUCAUGAACAUCACCCUAGAAUUUAUAUGAUUUUGGUCCGUGAGCCAAUUUUAUCUUUUAUAGUCAAACUUAUGAAAUCAAACUAUAAUAUGUUUCAGGUUAUAAGACAGCAAAAUAGGAAUGCCUCCAAAAAUAAUUGAUUCUUUUUUCAAGUGAAAUGAUCCCAGAGCAAGGCUAAAUUCUAAUUGGCUGGUUUUGACAUCUCAAUAUCGAGUUUUAGUAAAGUCGCCCUUUCUUCCAAGCAAUUUCAUGCUGGGCUCCACAGCGAUUGAUACUUAAGACGAAGAUGCAUUUAUUAUACAGGAAAAUUCUAUAGAUGGUUGGGGUAAUUCACGACAAUAUGAGUACUUGUAUCUAAAACUCUAACCACUGUUUACCAGUAAAACCAAUAGUCAAAUGAUCAGAUGACUUUAGAGGAAGAUUUUAGAUAUAUUAAACUAGUGCUAAAGCAGUGAUUAUUCGUGUACACAAAGUUACAUGUUACAGACUAGUUAGCAAUUACCACUUGUAACCAACUGUGGCUUAUAAUUUUCAAAAGGAAAAAAACCAACUGCGUAAUUAUGAAGAGCUUGACAUGGUAAAAUCAACUAAUUGUGUCAUUCAUUAAAAAAAAGUACUUUAGUUCCACACUUCCAUUGGAAUAAAAAUGCCAACACCAUAUUGGCUAAUUCUAAUCACCAGUCUGCUGUAUUUCUUGGCUACAGAGUUGCAACACUUUUUUAUGAGUCAAAUAGGAAGUCAUCAAGAUUGGCACAAGCCAGUCGUACUCCCGGCUUAGUAGUAUUUUAUUUGUUUUAUUUAUUGGCAAUCAACAAAUUGUCAAGGUCCACUAGUGAAAUUAGUGGACGCUACAACUUUAUUUGGAGCACUUUCGUUAAUUAAAAAUCAACUACUAGAUUUAUUAAGUAGUUAUUCAAGUAGUUAGUCUAAACUGUAAUAAAAUUUUUCAUAAGUGAUAAGAGUCUAUUACUGGCUAAGGUUCUUUGCCAAUUAAAUUUGCCAACAAAGGUCAUUCUGGAGGGAGAUUUGCAAUCAACAAUAAAUGGUAUUACGAUGAUAUUAUUUUUCACUUGCCAUAGCACCAGGAGUGUCAGUAGUGCCGAAUCAAACUAGUUCGCUAUAUUUGUUCCACCCAAAACUAGGGUUGGGCUUAAUAUGAAAUCAAGCAGGGUUCAAAUUUUGAGCCUAUUAUUGAUGCUCAAUGUCAAAGUGAGUUGAUCUUAGGCAAUCCAAGCCCAGCCAUAUCAAGCUUGGCGGGUUAAGAAAUCUAAAAGUUUUCAAAGUGAGCCAAGUUUAGGCUAUGAAAGGUUCAGCCAUGUCUAGUCUCGGCCCACUUUGAUAUGUUCAACAUUUUGUUGAUGUAUGCAUUUCUUUAGCUAAUCCUAUAGUAAUUUGUACAUCUAUAGGCGGUAAGGUAGCACAUAAAGGACAUAUAUCAAUGUAAGAUAGUCAUAUAAAAUUCAACUUAAUAUAGCCGGAGGAGUGAAUGUAAGUGAGAGAUUUCGAAUUCGAUACAUUCCACUUACACUUAAAAAAAAAUUGUAAUAAAAAAUUUUAUUUAAAGCUUUUCAUUUAGUGAUGUAUUUUAAUCCAUUAGUAGAUCAAUUAGAGUAAAUACUAUAUUUUCUCAUUGCAUCAUUGAAAUUAUGAGAGAUUGCUUGUUAAAUCCAUAAAAUUAAUGAAAUUUCAAAUUUAAUGAUUGUAAAGCAUAAGUGAACUUGGACCAGCUCAAAUUGACCAUGUUGAUGAAAAGGAAAGACACGUUUCGAAGGAAAAAUCCAAGGACAAAGACAAACGGCUACAAGGCUAUGUUAAACUAACAAUUUGACUAGUAAUAGCAACACCACUGCAAAAGAUUGAUCUCAUGAAUUUGCCAGAAAUACUUAGAUAUACUGCUCGCUGUGUUAGAUAACAUAAUAGUUUAAGAAAAAAAAAAUAUGUACUGGAGCUCAAUUGUAGAAAUUAUUAAGUUAAACUGAAGGACAAAUCCACCACACAGCUUUCACUGAAAGUACUACUUAGUCAUCCAUCUGCUCUAUUUCUAAAGCAACAGAGCUACAGAGGGGUGCCGUUGACUCAUCAGAAGAACUACUAUCGCUGCUUCUUUGCAUGGAUAUGGGUGAAUCUGGAGGGUAAAACGACGGUUUAGGAGGCAAUCUUAGACCACUAGCAUCACCUUCAAGCAUUUCUAAGACUUCUCUCAUUGAAGGACGAUCCUCAGGUGUCAUCUGUAUGCACCACAAGGCAAUCAAAAUUAAUUUUCGUGUAAUUGUCUUUUCUUCUUCAGUUGCAUGAUCUCCAAUUUCCAUUUCCUCCACCUGAUCGAAUUUGUCAUAUAUCCAUGAUGGGAAGUAUAUUUGACUUGAAUGCUCAGCAUGUGCAUCCACAUUUCUCCUCCUCCCAGCCAUCUCCAUUAGUAACAUUCCAUAGCUGUAAACGUCUGCCUUGUGUGAGACUCUUCCAAUCCUUUUGUAGAACAACUCUGGGGCCAUGUAACCUAAUGUUCCUCUCACAGCAGUAAGAGUUGCAAUACUCUUUUGCAUUGGGUAAAGUUUUGCAAGUCCAAAGUCUGAAACUUUUGGAACAAAGUUCUCAUCAAGUAAGACGUUAUGCGGUUUAAUAUCAAAAUGCAGAAUUUGCAUAUCACACCCCUGAUGCAAGUAUUCAAUGCCACGAGCAACCCCCUUUGCAAUCUCACAAACUUGUUUCCAACUCAAUGGAGAACUAUUUUGACAGUCUGAGAAAAUUAACUUAUCCAGAGAGCCAUUUGGCAUGUAAUCAUACACUAGAGCAUGUUUUGAGGCAGUAACACAAAAUCCCACUAACCGAACCACGUUCACAUGGUGUAUUCUUCCAAUAGUUGCAACUUCAUUGAUGAACUCUUGACCAUUAGCUUUUGACUUGUUCAACAUUUUGACAACAAAUGGCUCCAUACGAGGCACUGUAUGGGAGGAAGUGCUGGUCACCAAUUUACUGGGAUGAGGUCGGUGAGAGGAAGGUCCUAGACCCAACAGCUAUUCUGUGGAUGGGAGAGGCACGCGAAAAGGUCAAAUUGAUAUGGCAAAGACUCCAAACGGUUCAAAGUCUACAAAAGAGCUACGCGGACAAUCGCAGAAAAGAUUUGGAGUUCGAAGUUGGAGACCGUGUUUUUCUCAAGGUUACAUCGUUACAGAGCAUCACGGCGGGUAGAGAAAAGAAAUUGCAACCAAGAUUCGUCGGACGUUACAAGAUUCUCCAGAGAGUAGGUACGGUAGCGUAUCGGUUAGAGCUACCGCCGAGUCUCUCCAGAAUUCACGACGUCUUCUGUGACGACCCCACUUCUCCCAAGGGCGAACCCAAGGGUAUCGGCGGGCCGCCUGCCUAGCUCGCGCCAGGACUCAAAACUUAAAGUUCGAAAGAGCACUAAAAACAAUAUAUACAAUCCCAAAAGAGUUAUAAUUACAUUCUCCAAAAGUAUUGAGUCAAACCACCAAAACAAAAACAAACAUCCUAACUGUUCAACUAUUACAAGCCAAACUAACUAUACUAGUAUACGAGCCAAAAGUCCCCGCGUCGGCCCCUGCUAAGGAAAACAAAAGGAAUGGGGUAAGCUAUAUGCUUAGUAAGUAAACAGGGGCGAAAGCAUAAAUUUCACGUAACAGUUACACAAUAAGAGUAAAGCAAAAGCAGAAAAGUAACAUCACAUAAUAAGGAUACAGGUGGCUCCAAAGCCAACUCAUGUGCCAUGCGUGAUCUCCUGCCGACACUCCGUCAACUUCAAAUAAUAGUCCGUAGAACUUCACUUGUACACCCACCGACACCUUAUCACCCUCACUGGCCAGUCACCUCACAAACUUGCCCGGGCGAACGAAAUCACAAACUUGAGCUUGAGUCACAAGCUCGGGUCACAAACUUGGUCACCUUCUCGGUGAACCGGAUUCACAAAAUUGGUUCAUAACAAGAACCUACAAACUUGGUGACCUCAGACUAAGUUGGACUGCCUCCGACCAAGCCCUAACUGGCUCGAAUAGUCCAACCAGGUCAAGAGUUCGCCCCAAACUAACAAACUUCACAAAAUUAUUCAAAAUCACAAACUUUGCAAACUUCACAAACUUUAUUCGAAAGUCGCCCCGAGCCACAAGCUCAAGGGUUUUGGUUCCAAAAGGUUCAUAUACAUAUGCCAAGUACAAUUAUACAUUCAAAUUAGGGUUUAGGUCGAGUGCGAUAAAGUACACCCUCGCCUAGGUACCCUUUUCAUACAUAUCGAAACACAUAAGCAACUAACACGUAAGAGCGGCCUGAAUACUUACUCAAAAUACCAAAAGUAGUACAAAGGCGGAAUUCACUUUGUGUGUUGGCUAGUAGUGGGCCCCACCGGCUCCGCCUAGCUCACCACUGUCUGAAAUCGAAGAUUAUGUCACAAUAUAUCACAAACGGCAACUAACGUACUUAAAACAAGCAAAACGGCAAAAUUGGCACGCGCAAGUGCGGAAACGACAAAAAAGGCACACGCGCGCGCGCGGAACGGCAAACGGGACGGCCAAAUCUGCCAUCUCAAACCGUUUUGGUCAAAAGUUAGGCUAGGAGUGUCGGAUCAAGGUACAUGAGGUACCGUUGCGAAGCUAAGAGGAAGGGCUACAACUUCCCUUUAGACAUCUCAACCCAGAUCUCAAUAGAUAUAGGUCAAAAAUGCACGAAAUUGUGCCAGCUGUUUCAUUGCGAGUUACCAAACAGGCCCUGUUUACAAGGCCGUAACUCAUGGGUCAGAAAUCGAAAUCAAGAAAUUCCAAAGGCGUUAGAAAGCUGGGACAUAAGGAUAAAACUUUCAUGUUUUGGCCAAGACCUGAAUCCAUUCAGAACAGAACGAAAAUCGAGUGCCAAAAUACCCGUCAGAACUGUCCAAAUACCGGGCAGUUCUGACGAUUGAUAUUGUUUUGAUCAAAACUGGAGCUACGGAACUCAGAUUUCAACGUACUUUAUACCGUUUCGAAGCUGAGACCAAGAUCUAAAUUUCUUAUGAAGGAGUUGACACCCAAAUCGUACUGUAUCAAAACCGAAAGAUCACGGGCAGAAGCUAAACUAAAAGACGUACCAAAUCUGAUGUUCAAAACAGGCUUGAGCAUUUCAUCUAUAACUCAUGCUACACUAAUCCGUUUAACCUGAGAUUUUACAGGCAUACACAAGACUCAAGGGGCUACAAUGUUGAAGAAGGCUACUCAAUCUAGUUUCGAGUGCAACCAGGUCGAAAGUGCAAUAUACUAUACCAGAAUCGCAAAAACAGAUUCACAAAACGUAUUCUAGUGCAAACAUCAUAACUCAGCCUACACAAGUCCAAAUCCAGAAAUUCCAAUGGCAUAUGGUAGCUAAUACAUCAAGCUAUAUUUCAUUCGAAGACCAUAACAACUAAUUCUGAAGCAAUACCAGCCAAAACAACCAAUUACAAGUGCAGUUUUCACAUUCUGAUCAACCCAGAACAGCAACAGUAAAAUCGACAUAUCUCACUCUACACUACUCCAAAUGACCUGAAAUUUUACAGGCACCUCAAAAACAUCAAUACCUACAACUUUCAUGUUUUAAGCAAAGGCCAAUUCGGCCUCUAAGUAGGAGAUACAAAACCGGACAGAAAAGGGGGUGGUGAAACCCUAAGUUGCUGAAAUUUCCUCCAAAUCCAAAAUUACUUGCAAUUAUCACUCAUUUGCACUUACUAGAGUCAUUACCCCUCAUUUCCAAUCAUCAUACAUAGCCACAUCAUAGUGAUCAUAUGCAACCAGCAAAAAUUCCAAAUAAAUAGAAAACUUCAUCAAUCUUAACUAAAAUCAAGAAAUAGUCCACAAAAUCACACUCAUAACAACCACAAGUCAUUUAUUAAGCAUCUUUAGAUAGAAGAGAGGGGUUCCAUAGUCACUUACCUUAGAACCAAAGAAGAAAGACCACUUAGCACCUUAAGCUUCCAAACAACUCCACACAACACCUUACAAGCACUAAACUAAGAGGUUUUAUGGAAGGAAUUCAAGAUUAAACGGUUAAGUUGUUGAUUUGGGCAAGAUUAGAGCAAGGAAUUGAGAGAGGUUUUCUUCCUUCUUGCAAGAGAGAGGGCCGGCCAAAGGUAAGAGAAAAAUGGUGAUUUUUGGUUAAUUUUAAGAUAUUUAACCAAUUGGGUCAAAAGUCAAAAAAUGGAAUAGUAAAUCUUAUUGUAAGAGUUAAUCUUAUGGUGACACUUGUCACCUUUUAUGAAAUAUCUACCUAACUUUUCUCUCUCAUAUCAAUCCAAAUUGCAAUCUCUACUUAUCUCUUAACACCCGGUAAAUUAAACCCAGUAUUCGAAACUUAACCAAAUCGGCCGAAAUUUUCCGAACUUUUCGCACUCGUGGGUCCCACGUUCGAUAUACGUUGUUAAUUUCUCAAAAACCAACUAAUACUAGAAAAAUCAUCUAAAAACUCCAUUUACUCAAUAAAAAUUAUCUGGGGAAUUUUUCUAAUACAGAAAAAUGUAGAAAAGACGAGUUUCCAAUCUUAACCGGAAAUUAGGGUUUUUGUUCACUCCGGGUUUCUAACCUUCUUAAACUUAAUUAAUCUAUACAAAAUGGAUUAAAUCCUAUACUUACCCACACUAAAACACACAUUAACAUAACUAACUUUAAUCACCACUCAAACUUGUUCGAAUACAAAACUAGGGUUUAAAUCUUACUCCCUACUUAGGGUUUUCGAAAUACUCACAAAACCAAACGUUACCGCCUAACUAAUGAAUAUAUCAACGUAGAACGGACUGGGGCCUCACAUCUUCCACGUCUCAAUGCUCAAGAAGUACUAUCUCGACCCGUCUCAUAUCUUACAACCGGAGGAAAUCGAGAUAGAUGAAUCGCUCACGUAUGAAGAGAAACCUGUACAGUUGCUUGACCGAAAAGUUAAAGAGCUGAGAAACAAACAGAUUCCUUUGGUAAAGAUAUUGUGGAAAAAUCAUGGGGUAGAAGAGGCUACCUGGGAGGUGGAAGAGGAAAUGCAAAAGAAAUACCCUGAACUAUUUGUGAAUCAAGGUGAGAAAUUUUGAUGGCGAAAUUCUUUUAAGCGGGAGAGAGUGUGAGAACCCAUAAAUUUUCUUAUUUUCUAAGGUUUAUAUUAUUUAAUCGGCCAUUUUUCUAUAAUUUCUUUAUUAGGAAAAUUUUCUAAAUCAUUUUUAAUGGGUAACUGGGGUUUUAAAUUAUUUUUCUAGUAUAAGUUAGUUCAUGAGAUUUUAGAAGUGGAUAUCGGGCGUGGGACCCGCUGGUGCUGAAAGUUGGGAAAAAUUUGGCCAGUUAGGUUAAGUUUCGUAUACCGGGAUUAAUUUAGAUGGUGUUAAAAGAUAAUUACAGGUUACUAGAUGGAUUGGUGUGAGAGGGACACGAGGAUAGCCAUGCAUUAAUGGUGGUGACAAGUGUCACUUGGUGAUUAAUUCUUACCUUUGACCACUAUUCACCAUUUUACCAAUUAAAUCCAAUUUGACCCAAAAAUCACCCAAAUUUGCAAGCUUCUUGGCUGGCCAUCUCCAAGAGAAAAGAAGAGAAAACUUCCAACUUUCUUGCUUCUAAUCUUGCUCAAUCUUCAAGUUCAACAUAUUAAAUUUGGAUUUCCUCCAUAAAACCUCUUAGUUUAGUGGUAUUAAGGUUGGUUGUGAAGUGGUUUGGAAGACCAAGGUGCUAGGUUGCUUUCUUUCUUGAUUUGGUAAGGUGAGUAGCUAAGGAACCUCUCUUGUCUUCUCAAUUAUGUUGAAUUAGUGGUUUUUGUGAGUUAAAGGGAUGGUUUUAGAGGUUAUUUCAUGACUUUGGUAGAAAUUGGUGAAGUUUUAUAUUUAUUCUUGAUUUUUUUGAUUUUAAUAUGUUUAAUAUUGUUGGGCCAUGGAUGAUAGCUUGGAAUGGUUGAGAAUGAGGCUAUAGUGCGUAAAUUGUGGUUGUUUGCGGAAAAUUUCCGCAUUAUACGGAAAAUUUCAGAAUUAGGGUUUGAAUUUGGGGCUUUUCUUGGGUUUCUAUAUAGCACUUGAAUUGGCUUGGAUUAAAGAGUUUUGUGACUCUAAUAAGGUGUAUUGAAGGGUUUAUGACUUGUAACGGUUUUGGUAAUUGUAUGUGGAAAGUAUGGGUGAAUACUUGUAGGUUGGAAACUUGGAAUGUUAAGGGGAAAUGCUGUCCAAAUUGUGGGUUCUUGUGUGUUAAUGGACUUGGGUUGUUUUAGGGGUAGUUAGAGGCCUUAGGGUUGUUUAAACCCUUGGUGCCGGGUAUUUCUCAUUUUAUUUGCACGUUUCUUUGAUUUUUACAUCAGUGACUUGUAGUUUCAACUUAUGACUCGUAAUUGAGUCUCAUUGUGCAUGUUUGAAUGUUUUAGGGCGUGAUGGUGGUCCAAGACGCUCGUUGGAUGGACAAGUGUGAAAAAUUCUCUUUGCUUGCUUGGUGAGUGCAUUCCCGGCUUUGGAGUCGGUUACUGCCGUUUUGAUUAAACCCGGCUUUGGAGUCGGUUACUGUAGACACCAAAUUUUUGGUGUAAUUUCAUGUUUUUUUUUAUUAUUAUUUUUAGUUUCUAUUUUUAGUUUUUUAUUUGUAUAGUGUUAGUUUUAUUCGCUUUUUAGUUUUUAGUUUCUAGUUUUAUUUUUAUUUUUAAGUUUUUAUCAUGGAAUUUCUUGAAAAAGGAAAAAGAAAAAGAAAAGCAUUCAAAAAAAAUAUAUGAUUUAGUCUUUUAAAUUCAAUGUUUUUUAGGGAAAAAGAAAAGUGAAAAAUAAAAGAAGGAGAAAAAAAGAAAAGGAAAAAAAGAAAUAUAUAUGUGUUUAGUCGUUUUAGAUGUGGUUUCUUUAAAAGUUAAAAUUGGAAAAAUGAAGAAAAGAGAAAAGUGCCGAAAAUGGAAAAGGAAAAUCGAUAAAAAAUGGAAGUUGUAAUUUGUGGUUUUUAGUUCAUUUAUUUUCCAUUCAAUGUUAAUUAAAUUGUUUUGUUAUUUGUUCUUAUUAUUAUUAUCAAUUUCUGUUUUUUAAAAAAAAAAAAAAAAAAAAAAGGAAAAAACAUUUUCCAGUCGCGGCAAGCUGCAAGCGCAGCUUGCACAGAAGGGCCUGAGGGGUUUCGGCUGCAAAUGGUUGAAAAGGGUAGCUAGGUUUCUAGGUUUUCUAACCUAUAAAAGCCACGGAGAGGGCCAGCCGCAAAGGGAGAGUUUUUGGGGAGGAAGAGAUUGACGGAACAAAAAAAAGAGAGCAAAAGAAACGGCAAAAGAAGAAAAAGUGACGACUAAACAGAAAGGGGAACGAAAAAGAAAAGGGCGAGAGAAGGAGGUAACAACGGCUAAGGUUGGUAAGAAACUAGAAACCAGGAGUGAGAGGGAGAGUUCGUGGGGACGGAAAACACAACAGAGGAUUUUUCUGGACAACGGAGGAGAGGAGCAAAAAGAGGGAGACAACGGCAGGAGUUCUUGGGGGGUUGAACGGCUGUGAGAAGAGUGGCUAGGAGAGAAAGAGCAAGAGAGGAGGAUUUGGAGAACCAAGGGAGAACUAGAGAGAGGUGGCGCAGCAAGGAGGAGGAGCCCCAACGUCAUCAUCAUCUUCGAUUCAUCAAGCAAUACGAGUACUGCGGACCUGAAGAAGAACGUUGACAGCCGAGGAGGAUAAAGCUUUUAGGCUGCGCAAGGACGCCCAGUUCAUCAGCCCAGAUCCUGUUCUUUCCUCUGGAAAGGGAUAAAGGUAACGCCUUUCAUUUGUCUUCUGCCCAUAGCUUGUAAAAUCAUGCCAGAAAGGUUGAAAUUUUGCUGCGAUGCUAGAUUUUGUUUUGCUGCGAGUUUGGUUUUUCUUUUUCUGCACUUCUGUGAUUGGCAACCCGGUCAGGUUAUCUGGCUUUGGGGCAAUGUUAUGAGAGUCAUGUGAUUAUGAACGGACUGUUGUGAAGCUUGUCUGAAUUUUCUCUUUUCUUCUUACGCAUGAGUAGAUUGGGUUUGGACUGAAAUAAUUGUAGAAACAGAUUUUUUCUGGGUUCAAAAUUGUAGUGGGCGUUGAUGCUUUCUUUGCUCUUUUUCUUUUGUUUCUUCACUACUGAGAUUGAUGUUUGGUAGAUGAAUGGGGAGUCCAACGCAAUGUUUCUGCCUUUAAUUUACGUGAACCCAUAGCUGCAGAAAGUUUCCGCAACAAAGAACAAAAGGAAUUGCAUUUCCUGUUCCGUUUUCUUUUCCAUAGCUGCACAUCAAAUCUUUCCACUUAAGUUGCAUGUUUAAUCUGUUUUGGGGGAAUGGAAAUAGGAGGUUAGGUGUUGAGUUUGCAUGUUUAGGGUCUAAAAUACUAGAACCAUGAUCGAACACCUUGUUGAAAAGCAAACAAACAGGCUGCCGAAACCAUUUCUGCACUUACGUUCAGAUUUCUGGUAUGAUAUCUUCCCAAAUUUUUGGUCUUUGGUUUGUGAUUAUCAUGAAGUUUUGUUGCUUAGUUCUGAGGUUGUGAUGUUGAGAUGAAGAAUGUUUAAUCAAAGCAUUGUAUUUGGGCCAAAAAUCUGGUUUGCAUGAUAAGCUGUGGCUGGAAAAGAAAAUUGCAGCUGACUUUGAUGCCAAAAGUCUUCAUGAUUUAUCGAAGCUUGUUGUUGCAGAAACUCUCUUCACAUCUUGCAUAAAGGCCUCAUUAGAAUAGGUUGAGUUUUGUGAAUAAAUUGCUGUGCUAACAACAAAAGUGAAUAUCGUUGAUCUUACUUGCUUUUUCCAGAUUUGCAUGCUCCUUGGUGAAUAAUUUUCUCAGCACUUUCAUGAUCUCUUGCUAGUUGUAGCAUGUUUAAAUGUUGAACAUUUGUUUGUUUAGUUUAGAGUUCGGAUGUUAGGGUAUGAAAGUUUGAGUUUGCAUGUUGGGAGUUUAAAACAUUCGAAUCCUAUUCGGGUAUUUGCUGGAAAGUGAACAAUCCAGUUACUGAAUGUUUGCUGUUUUGUUUAGUUUCUUUCCCAGCAUUUAAAUGAUUUUCUUUCUAUGUUUGGCAUUGUUAGAUAUUGAAUUUGUGUUGCAUGUUGCUAAGAUAAGGUUUCUAGAUGUUUUGAUUGAACGGUUUUGAUCAAGUUUGGGUGUUAAAGCUGAUAUCGGCAUGUGAAAAUGCAAGUUACGUUGAUCUUCUUGAUUGCAGAAAUGUUUUCUUGUUGCAGGCCAUUUCACGUUGAUUUGCAUGAGUUUGCAUGGAAAGCUUUCAGAAAAUUGCAUUUUUUGACCCCCAAGUUCCCUUUUGUCUUGCUAUGGCCCAAUUAGUUGAAUAAUUUAAUCAAUUUUAUCUUAAUUGCUUUUGGUUUGCUUUGACAUGAUUUUGGGUAAGGCGUUUAGUGAGUUUUAGGAUGCAUUUUGAGGUUCAAUAAGUUCUAAUAGAAUUUUUAGCUUGGAUUUGUGUUCUAAACACAUUUUUUGGCAUUUGAUUUUUAUGGGUCUCAUCUUAAUUCAUCAAUUUUGGUAUUUUAUUUUACUCUCUUUUAGAAAUUUUCAUGUCCUUCUAAUUAAGUCCCUCUUGCAUUAAUUGCUUUGUACAUAGUUGGUUUGUCUAUGUAAAUACUUUAAUUGACUCAAUUUAGUGUUUAACUUUCAUUUUUCAUAUUUAAUUUUUGUUUCAUGUGAUUAUUUGAUAAUUUAAGUGGUACCUUGACCUUUUUAUUAUUUUGGAGGGUAAGUUAGUAAUUUCACUACGUUAGGGCGUCGCUUCAAGGGAGGUACACUCUAUCCUUCAUUUGCACUACAUUUGACCUUACGUGCUCCUACGUGUUAUGUGAAUAUGCAUGCCUACUCCGCUUUCCUUACCUCCUUGCGUGCAUUUAGUUGCUUUUACUUUUAUUUAAGCUUUAUGGGGUAUGUGUACACCUCUUGGCUUGUAAUAGAUAGGGUUUUGGCGAGCAAUUUGGUCCAUUCUCCCUCUUCCCCCUUUUGUUUUAGUUAGUGAAUGUAAUAGGUUCAUUAGCUUGGUUGCAUGCCCAUGUGCUACAUGUUACUUGCUUUAUUAGGGCCUUGCAUCUAGUCGAGCAUGCUAAGUGUUACAUGCUACGUGUUUAUGAAUUUUGAUAUGCCUACUCGCUUUCCAUAGCCUUGAAUGAAUGUGAUGGAUGAAUGCACGUCACCACGCUAGUCCAACGCUAGUUGUGGCCCUUGUACGCCACCACACUAGUCCAACGCUAGCUGUGGUUCAUUGUUCCGUUCCACUAGUCCAACGCUAGUAGGAACUCAUAGAGGGCUAGUCCAACGCUAGACCCAAUAGGUCCAUUUCCUUUUCAUUAGUACAUGUUUGCAUGUUUCACUUCAUUUCAUGCAUUUUUUCUUAGUUUUAUCAUUUGGCAUGCACCUCGAACCCCCUUUCCCUCCAUUUUAGGAUUUUUGCAUUUCAUGCUAGUUAUAGGGUUCAUUUGCUUGAGAGUCCCCUUAAAUAUGGGAUAUAGACGAGUGUGGCUUUUUCUAAGCCUUAGCACGCUUGUAUCCUCUCUAUCAAAGGGCAAAUUGAGUCAUGAUUUAGGUCUCCCCGUACCCAUUAUGCAUGAAUUCCCUAGGUUCAUGCAUCCACUCUAUCAUUACACCUUCACUUUUCCUCUCAUUUGCACACGUACACCUUUUAUCCAUUCACUUGCACACUUUCACUUUUGUCUCCUUUGCACACGUACACCUUUUUAUCCCUUCACUUGCACACUAACACUUUUUAUCAUCACUUACACACAUGCACUUCAUAUUACCAUUGCGCAUACCAUACCUUGCCCACUCACGUGCACAUUUUUCACUUAUGCAUCUUUGUUUUUUAUUAUUACUUUUUCAAACUCAUGCCUUCACAUUGCAUACAUGCAUUCCAUUCAUUUACAUCCCACUCGCAUUAUUCGUGACUUCUUCAAAGGAUCGUUAUUGGGCUUCACAAUUAAUGUGAUUGGCACCACUCAACCUGUGGAGAGAAAUUUCCCCCAAUACCCCUAGGUCUAGGGUUUUGCAUUCAUGUAGCACAUCCAAAUGUAAUAAAUUCUUUGGUUAAAACAAGAAAAUCUUCGAUUAAAUCACGCAACUAGCCUUGGCUAGGUCAAAGGGGUGCCUUGGAUUUUAUCCUUGCCUUCCCCUUUGUCAAAUGUGACUCCCGAACCUUUUUCAUUGGUUUACGUAGAUUAUGAGUCGUUUAAAAAGGGUUUCUCACUACUUUUCCCUAUUUUUCUUUAAAGAUACAUUUUUUAGGUGACUUGGUACACCUUAACUCAUUACCAAGUGGCGACUCCCAUUUUUUUCAAAAAACCCUUUUUAAACUAUAAUUUUGGGUCAAAUCGUCGCAUUUUCAAACCCCCAUUUAGACCCAUUUUUCUUUUAAAUCACGAUUCAUUUUCCAAAUCACAAAAUACAUUUUUAAACCAUUUUAUUUUAUUUAUUUCAUCAAAAAAUGGGGCGCGACAGUUGGCGACUCCACUGGGGAACUUUCGAGAGUCCGAGCAAAUAUGAUUUAAUCAACCUUUUUCUUCUUUUAACCUUUUCAUUUAUCACAUUGGAUGUUUAGGAUUGCAUUUUUUCCUUAUUUUUUAGGAUUUUUGCAUUUCGCGUAUUAACUCACUUCCUCACACAUUCGAUUACGAUUGUUUGGAUGGAUGGAUGAUUUAUUUUUGUAUGAUUUCGCGCUUUGCAUUGCAUUUGGGGGGGUGUCACCUUUAGAGCCUUGUGUGGUUCUCAACCCCUUCCCUCAAAAUAGGGAGCACUUCAUACGUGCACGUUUAUUUAUUGUUAUCCCCAUUUUAUUUUAUUUUCGUGGGCGUUUCCCACACCGCCUUGUAGGAUUAGGAUCGAUCGCCUUGGGUAGGCGGCUGGUGUGCUCUGCGCCCAUAGCGCUACCUAAGGGAUCACUCGAGCCACCGAUCAAAGGCCCUGGGAGUGAUGACCCUUCGCCUUUAGGUCUGAAGGCUUGGGAGCCGAGACUUAUCGAGUCUAGUUGCAUUAGUGAGCCCCAGCCUCAUGCAUCCAUAUUAGACUCGCCUAGGGUAGAGUCGGCCUCACCUUUUUUUAAGCACAUUAGGCACGAGGGAAGGGGUUCCACCCCUUUUACUUGCUUUAUUGUACUUCUUUUUUUUUCUUAAUUGCUCCCAAUAUGUUACGUGUACUAUCAAUUGUACUAACUAUUCUUGCGUUUUCUUGGCUUGCAUUCAUGUGCCAUAGCAAUAAAAGGCCUCUUUGGCACUCUUUUUGUGACUUACCCGCUAGAUAGCUCACAUGUUUAAUUUCAGUCAUUACACUUAAUUUUCAAUAACUACAUUUCAUUUUUAGACCUCUUUCCCCCCGAUGCAUUAUUUAUGCCCUUUAGGCCAUAUUUGUUGCAUAUUUUACUGCUUUAAAUAACUGGCAUCACGCAUAAACCAUAGAAAGGGAAUGCCACGUAGGGAAUCCCGUGUUUAGGAAUAAGCCGCCACAUGUCUCGGAUAUUUAAUCCAAUGGGACUUACACGUUUACUAUUUCUGCAUUACCUAAAGGGUAAAAUCCCGAGGUAAGGUACUAAAGUGAAUUUCUUCCCCAGAUGGCUCCGUGUAGAAUGCUCAAUCAGAUACCUCGUGAGCUAGUAGAUUGGAAGAACAAUAUGGCACAUGAAGUGAACAGACUUUUCCCGUAUAUAGGACAUUUACCUAGUCUCUUGAAUAUAACUCCGAAUGUAGCCAUUGUCCAAGCUUUGCUCGAGUUCUGGGAUCCAGACAGCUCUGUUUUCCGAUUUGGAGAGUGCGAAUUAACACUAACCCUGGAGGAGAUAGAAGGAUUGUUACAAGUGCCUGGGAAAGGUCACCCUAUGGUAUACCCAAUGAAUGGCACCAGAGAACAAUUUUGUAAGUUCUUAGGGUUAAAACAGUUUAGCAUGAGUCAACACCCGGACGUAAGAUCAUGCCCGCUGGAGUUCUUAUACAAGCGAUUCGGGGAAAAGGAAUCCUAUGAUCAUCACCACGAGGACUUUUUCGUUAGUAGAGAACAGUGGGAAGAGAAACGAGUACUAGCUUUUGGGAUAACUCUGAUCAAUCUACUCCUGUUUCCGAAAAAGCAUGGGAAAGUUACGUUUUCAACGGUCAACAUGGUUCAGAGUGUGUUUUUGGGAAUUAGAGGAAAAACUCCUACCUUAGUACCUGUUAUUAUUGCUGACAUUUUCGCCGCUGUUACUGAGUGCCGAAAGAAGAGAGGGUUUUUCUAUGCAUCCAACCUGGUACUUCAAAUAUGGGCGAUGGAGCAUCUGUCAAAAAGAACACUGAAUUCGUUGGGAUCAUGCCUUCCAACAGCAAAUUGGAUUGAGUCGCACCGAGAGAGGGUUAGAAAAUACUAUCGAAUAGAGUCUCCGAGUUUGUUUAUUCAGGAAUUCAAUGCUUUGACUUCGGAUAAGAUACAAUGGGUUCUUGAUUGGACGAAAGUAAGGGAUCCAGCUUUCAGGACAACACAACUUGAUUUUAUCCCGUUAGCAAGCACCGGUGGAUUGAUUGUGUAUGUGCCACAACGAGUUAUGAGACAGUUUGGGUAUCCGCAGCGAGUGCCGACCAUACAAAGGAUGGGGAGCAUCGAACUCAAUACAGUCACCGAAUGCCAGACUAUGGUGCUGGAAGCUUGGGGGAAUCUGUGUAGUCUGGACAACCUGCAUUUGGACCAAGUGAAUAAAGUAGAGCCUAAGGUCGUCUUAGAGUACAACGAAUGGAUCAAAUCAAUAAUGGAACAAGGAAGAGAAAGGGCAUCGUUGGUCUCCCUUAGUCUUGAGGAGCAGGAUGAAAAGUUGAGGAAAGAGUUGGAGAAUCGUCAGUUGCAGAUCAUGGUAGCCGAUCAAGCAUUGGAAGACGCCCGCUCACAAUUGAAGAAAGAGGCCACAAAGACCGAGAACUUGGAAAAGGCAUUGAGUGCAUUUGGCCAAAUCCAAGAUGAAAUUCGGAAACUUAGUAUCGGGAGUUCUAGGGAGUCCCAACACACUAAACUAGCUAGACAUGAAGACUUUGUAAGAAUGGUCAGUCGAACCAUCAAUGAAAUUGUAAAGAAGGAUUAAGCUUAUCCAUGAUUAAUGAGAAUUCCUGUUUUCAUAUUCACUUACAGGUUUGAAAAAUGGGAUUUACCCCGAAGGCUUGCAUCAUGCUAGGCCUACCCUUGGCACAAAAAGGGCUCCCAAAUAGGACAUGCAUCCGAAUUAUUUUAUUUUUUACUAACUCCUGUUUUUUUUUUUUCUUUUUCUUUUAUUUUUUCUUCUUUUUUUGGCAACAGUCAAUCAAGAAGGGCAUCUAAUAAGGGUUUUCUUACGUCUCCAGGUAAUAUUUAAAUAUAGCUACCCGAAGAAGCCCCAUUAUCACCCGAUCGCGUAGCCGAGCUUCGAGGGAAAGUGUAAACAUGAGUACCCAUCCGGAAUCAUCUGAAAGGCCCGCAACAUCAUCAACUGAUUUGGCAAAUCUGGGAGCUCAGCUGAGCGAGGUUCUCAACCGGUUUAAUGAGCUAAGUGUUGAAAUGAUGGCCCAACGGCAUGUAAUCGAUCAAUUGGUAGCUAGUGGCGCUAGCGGUGAGCAGCAACAUGCACCCUUACCCCCGGGCCAAUCUGAACCAAUACUCUUACCAUAUGCUCAAAUCUCGGUUUCUUCACAAGCUAUGAAUCCACCCGAAGAAACCUUUACUUAUCCCACUCAUGGCCCACCACCUACAUAUGCACCUCACAUCCAAACUAAUCCUCCUCAAGUCCAAAUUUCCCAGAAUUAUCCGCCCAUUACUGUGAGCAUGCCUUUCGAACCACAAGGACCACAUUAUUACGCCACCGCUGAACCAUUCACCCUAGAUACCGCCGUUCAAGGGAAAACUGAAGUUGGGGGGUCGUCCGUGCCCGUGGACAAGAAUUUACUAAAGAGAUUGGAUCGGUUCGAGGAGUUUAUAAGGAAAAGCCAAGGUGUGAGCAAACAAGGAGGUUUGGACUACAACGAGCUGUGCCUGUUUCCGGAUAUGCAGUUGCCGGUGGGUUUCAAAGCACCCAAAUUUACCAAGUACGACGGAACGGGGAAUCCCAAAACCCACCUUCGGAUAUUUGCAAACAAGCUGGGAAGACCAAUAGACGAUGAGAAUCUGCCAGUACGCUUAUUUCCCGAGAGUUUAGAAGGCGACGCGUUGGAUUGGUAUUCCACUUUGAAGCCUGAAGAUAUGAAAUCUUGGAUGGAUUUAUCGACUGCUUUUGUGAGGCAGUAUGAAUAUAAUUGUGAGCUCGCUCCGACGAGGACCACAUUGGAGGGGACCAAGAGGAAGCCAUUGGAGGACCAUAAGACAUAUGCGAAGAGAUGGAGGAAAUUGGCCGCCAAAGUGGAGCCGCCUAUGACUGAAAAUGAGAUUGUUCGCACGUUUAUUAAAGCUCAUGACCCACCCUACUUUGAAGAGAUUUUCCGUAUGACUGGGUGUUCCUUUGCUGAAAUUGUUAACAAAUUGGAAGAGUAUGACGAGUUUAUAAGGGCAGGCAAGAUUGUUAAUGUUUCAGCUUUAAAGUCACAGUUGGAAGCUAUGCAGAGUCAGAGUGGCAGUAGUAAAAAGGCUCAAUUUAAGAAGAAAGAUGAGGAAGCCUCUUUUGUCUGGGACCAGGGUUUUUCUUCUCGGCCUAGAUACCAACAAAAUCCCACCUACUCACCUUGUUACUUAUAUCAACCACACCCACGCCCUGUUUACAAUACCACUAUCAACCACCCCCGUCCUCGACCAAAUUAUCCAAACACACCAUCGACGCCAUUUCAUGUUUCCCCACCAAACUUGCAAAUUAGACCUCGCCCUCCUUUUAACCCAAGACCUAUUCCAUCUCCUAACCCAAGUUACCAGUACCAACAAACUCGUGACACCCAAAAUCCAACUCCAUACCGAACCUUUACCAAUCUAGGUCGACCUGUUGACCAGUUAUAUGAGCAAUUAAAAGCUGCUGGGAAGAUUGGUACGGUACCCCCUAAGACCUAUCCCAGGGGAUUUCCCCCUGGUUAUGAUCCUCAAUCGUUUUGCGCUUAUCAUUCGGGAUCCCCUGGACAUCCGACGGCCAAUUGCUGGGCACUUAAGCAUAAAAUUCAAGAUAUGAUUGAUGCUGGAGACAUAAUUCUGAAAAGGAAAGAUGAACAAGGGCCAAGUGUUAGCAACAAUCCUUUUCCUCAGCACAAGGAUACUGUGGGGACUAUCACCAUAGAGGAAGGGAUUGAGGACCCUACACAGUACAUUGUAGACGAGGCCGAGAUCAUGGGGGUCAUUGGAGAACCGUUUAUAUUGGAGGAGGAAGCCUAUAAAGUUGAAGAGAAUACUGAUCCUUUUAUUUUGGAAAUGAUACCCUUCGAAUGUGAGCCUUCGGAACUCGUGGUACUUGAAUUGCCUGAGCAAACUCCUGUUCUUAAUUUACAAGAGGUCCCGUGGAAUUAUAGCGAACCUACACUGUUAAUUGGAGAGAAGAAGGUGCCUAAGAAGGAAGUGGAUGCCAUCACUAGAUCAGGGAGAAUCAUAGGGGAGCCUGCAGUUGAUGAGUCCUCAAAAGCAAAAGAAGGUGCUACACCAACGAAACACAUAGUGACGGAUGAAGAGGCUUUUAAUUUCCUUAAGAUGUUAAAGAAGAGUGAGUAUAAGGUAGUCGAGCAAUUGAACAAGAUGCCCGCUCAAAUUUCCAUGUUAAAUCUGCUCUUAACCUCGGAACUUCACCGAGAGGCCCUAGUCAUGGUCUUAACUGAGGCUCAAGUGCCUAAAAAUAUUCCAAUUGACAAAUUCGCCAAUGUAGUUGAACAUGUUUUGGCUUCCAGUCGGAUUUCUUUUUCUGAUGAAGAUCUAACUGCCGAGGGGAUUGGACACAACAAAGCUUUGUAUAUCUCAGUCCGCUGUAACGGGAAACUCUUGCCAAAGGUUCUGAUAGACAAUGGCUCCGCUCUAAAUAUCUGCCCUUGGGAUACUUUGGUUAAGUUAGGAUUUCAAGAGACUAAAUUGCGGCCGUCAACCACUGUGGUGAGAGGAUUUGAUGGCGCAAAAAGUGAACCAAUGGGGGAAGUGGAUUUAGUGAUCGAAAUCGGACCUGCCCAGUUUCAGGUCAUGUGCCAAGUCAUGAAUUUUUCAAGUGUUUAUAACAUUCUCCUUGGACGGCCUUGGAUUCACACCUCGGGCGCUAUACCCUCUUCACUUCAUCAGUUGCUAAGGUUUGUGGUGAAUGAUCAAUUGAUCACAGUUUUUGCAGAGGAUGAUUGCACAAUGAUUGUUAACUCUGGACCAAAUGAGGAGGAUAGUAAAACAUCUCUGCUUUCUUCUCAUCAUGUGGCUGACAUUGUUUCCGUAGGAUGGAUAUCUAAGGAGAAGCCCGUGGCGGAAAUGAAUCUGCCAGAAGCUAGUGUUAUGAUGGCUAAAGAGAUGAUUCGAGGAAGAUAUGAGAUGGGCAAGGGCCUCGGGCGCAACCUGCAGGGAGUUUUGGAGCCAAUAGAACUUCAAGGAAAGAAGGAUACUUUCGGAUUAGGGUUUCAACCUACUGCCAGGGAUAAAAAAGAAAUGAUGAAUCGUAAAAAGGCGGAGAAGGAAGGAAGGCAGCUUAUCAUGAAUAUCCCACCAUUGUAUUGUACUUUUCCUUACCCAUCAGAGGUGAUCAAAUCUGAAGUAGACCCGAUCGAGGAAGUGGAGGUUGGGUUAUCUGAGCUAUUUGUGGGGGUUAUUUCUGAAAGGGAGCCGUUGGAGGACCCAGGAUUUCCAGAGGUGCCUAUUGAAGCAAUGAAGAACUGGACCCGUGAUCCUCUUCCCUCCUGCAGGGAAUUUCGGUAAAUUAGGGGAUUGCCUUUGGUCGACAUGAGACAAAUCGUUUAUACUACUUAUCUUUUGUCUUUCAAGUUUGUAAAUAGUUUUCAAUCAAAUGCUUUCCAAUGCAAGUCUUGCGUUAAUUUUCUUGUUAAGUAGCAUGUCAUGAUGUUAUCCUUUACUUUGAAUUUCAAUGAAAUGCACAGUGUUUAUGGCCCAAAUGGAUUUGACUUACUUCCUAUUGUACUCAUUUCAUUUUUUUUUCAGAUGGCCAGAAAUAAGACACAUUGACCCUUUGGAUAUCACUAUUCUGGAAUUUGAUGAUUGUAAUCUCGAUAUCUCUCACGAAUUUGAAAUUUUGGAAUCAGAAAUUCAAGACGAGAGCGAUAACGAGGAAGAAUCUGAAUCUUUAUUAAAGGAUUUUGAACAAUAUGAGGAGAAAUCCAAACCGAACUUAGAAGAAACAGAAGCUGUAAAUAUUGGCACUGAGACUGAAGUUAAGGAGAUAAAAGUUAGCAUUCAUUUGAAUAAGAAACAGAGAAAAGAGAUGAUUGAGUUCUUGACCAUGUUUCAAGAUGUAUUUGCCUGGUCCUAUGAUGAUAUGCCAGGAAUUUCAACAGAUAUAGUGGUCCACCGAUUACCGACUGAUCCAAGUUUUCCACCAGUAAAGCAGAAACCUCGCAAGUUUAAGCCGGAUAUGAGCCUCAAAAUUAAGGAGCAAAUCGAGAAACAGCUCAAUGCUAGAAUUAUUAUGGUGUCUCAUUAUCCCAUUUGGCUUUCAAACCCUGUACCUGUUCCGAAGAAAAGUGGAGAAGUGCGAGUAUGUGUCGAUUACAGGGAUCUUAACAAGGCCAGCCCGAAAGAUGAUUUUCCAUUGCCGAACAUUCAUAUUCUUUUGGAUAAUACUGCAGGGCAUGAGAUUGAAUCAUUUGCUGAUUGUUUUGCUGGAUAUCACCAGAUCUUAAUGGCUGAGGAGGAUAGGGAGAAAACUGCUUUUAUCACGCCAUGGGGGACAUUUUGUUACCGAGUAAUGCCGUUUGGACUAAAAAAUGCAGGCGCUACUUAUCAAAGGACUAUGACCACCCUUUUUCAUGAUAUGAUUCAUAAGGAGAUGGAGGUUUAUGUGGACGAUAUCAUUAUCAAAUCCGAGAGAACGGAGGAUCAUUUGAUUGACUUGGGGAGGUUAUUUGAAAGAUUGAGGAAAUAUGAUUUAAAACUAAACCCUGCAAAGUGUGCAUUUGGGGCCCCUGCCGGAAAGUUAUUGGGAUUCAUUAUCAGUAAGAAGGGUAUUGAGAUAGAUCCGGCAAAGAUUAAGGCCAUUCGUGAGAUGCCAGUGCCAAGAACGCAAAAAGACGUGAAGAGUUUUUUAGGAAAGAUUAAUUUUAUUGGGAGAUUCAUUGCCCAAUUGACCCAUACGUGUGAGCCUUUGUUCAAAUUAUUAAAGAAAAAUGUGUCCUUGCAAUGGAAUGAGGAAUGCCAGCAAGCGUUUGAUAAAAUUAAAGAUUACCUGUUGCACCCCCCGGUUUUAGUGCCACCCAAACCCGGGCGACCUUUGAUCAUGUAUCUGUCGGUGUUGGACGAAGCUAUGGGGUGUGUAUUGGGACAACAUGACGAAUCGGGGAAGAGGGAGCAAGCUAUCUAUUACCUUAGUAAGAAGUUCACUGCGUAUGAGGCCAACUAUUCUUUUCUUGAGAGGAGUUGCUGUGCUCUAGCUUGGGCCGUCCAAAAAUUGAGACAUUACUUGCUCAGUCAUACUACUUACCUUAUUUCCCGCUCCGACCCUUUGAAAUAUUUGUUGGGAAAGCCUAUGCCGACGGGACGUAUGGCGAAAUGGCAGAUGAUUCUUUCGGAAUUUGACAUUAUUUUCACUACUUAAAAGGCCAUCAAAGGCCAGGCUGUGGCCGACCAUUUAGCUGAAAAUCCGCUGAAAGAUGACUAUCAACCACUUCACACUUAUUUUCCGGAUGAGGAGGCCUUGUUCGUGGGUAUAGCAGAAGAUAUGAAUGAUCAAUGCCCGGAGUGGAGGUUGUUCUUUGACGGUGCAUCAAAUUCCUUCGGGGCCGGUAUUGGAGCUGUUCUAGUAUCGCCUGAAGGAAAACAUUACCCUGGUUCGGCCAAACUCCGAUUUUCCUGUACUAACAACAUGGCUGAAUAUGAAGCUUGCAUUUUUGGGUUAAAAAUGGCAUUAGAAAUGGAGAUUAAGGAUUUACUAGUAUUCAGUGAUUCAGAUUUGCUUGUACAUCAGACUCUUAAGGAGUGGAUUACUCGGGAUUCAAAGAUCUUGCCCUAUCAUUGCAACUUACUGGAGUUAGCCAAUAAAUUUAGGAGUUUGGAGUUUCGGCAUAUUCCUCGUGUCAGAAAUGUCUUCGCCGAUGCAUUGGCCACUUUAUCUUCAAUGAUCCAACAUCCGGAUGAGUUAAUAAUUGAACCCAUCCAGAUUCAUCUACAAGGGAAACCUGCUCACUGCCUAGUUGUGGAAAAGUCUUCCGAUGGCCGUCCCUGGUACAAUGAUAUCAAGGAAUUUCUCAAAACAGGAUCCUACCCAUCUGGGGCUGAUAUGACUGCCAAAAGUUUCUUGCGUAGAUUAUCAUCUAAAUUCUUCUUGAAUGGAGAAGUAGUAUACAGAAGAACGUCGGAUUUGGGCCUUCUGAGGUGUGUUGACGAAGAUGAAGCGGAAUACCUGAUGAAAGAAGUACAUAGUGGAGUGUGUGGAUCACAUAUGAAUGGCCAUUUAUUAGCAAAGAAGAUCAUGAGGACUGGAUAUUUUUGGCUUACUAUGGAGCGAUCCCGGUGCCACUCAUUCGUUUGUUAACCCUGAUUUCAUGUGUGGCAUCGAUAUAAAACCUGCUAGCUUACCAUAUGACUUAGAGGUUAGUACACCUACGGGGAAUCAACGUUUGGUGACUAGUAUGGUCUAUAGGGAUUGCGACGUAUGGGUAGGUGAAAGGAGGUUUUUAGGGGACUUGAUUAGCUUAUCCAUUAAGGGGUACGAUGUGAUUUUGGGUAUGGACUGGUUAGCCAAAUAUAACGCCCAACUGGAUUGUAAAACGAAAAUAGUUGAAUUUCGCAUUCCUGGCGAGGCAACCUUAAGGUUAGAUAUAAGGGGUAGGUUAGCCUCAUCUGCUCUCAUUUCGGGCAUUCGAGCUAGGAAAUUGAUAAGUAGAGGGGCACAAGGAUUUUUGGCCUUCUUAAUUAAUACCCCUACGGAUAAGUUAAAGGUAGAAGAUGUAGCCAUAGUGAGGGACUUUCCGGAUGUUUUCCCUGAUGAGUUAGUGGCUUUACCUCCGGAAAGAGAGAUAGAAUUCCGAAUAGAUCUUUUACCUGGAACUGCACCUAUCUCAAAAACCCCUUACCGAAUGGCGCCUGCAGAACUUAAGGAGCUUAAGUUGCAACUGCAAGACCUUUUGGAGCGGGGAUUCAUUCACGAGAGUGAGUCUCCUUGGGGAGCUCCGGUCCUAUUUGUGAAGAAAAAGGACGGAACGUUGAGGAUGUGUAUUGAUUAUAGGGGGUUGAACAACGUGACCAUCAAGAAUAAGUAUCCACUGCCUCACAUAGACGAGUUGUUUGACCAGCUGCAAGGAGCAGUGGUCUUCUCGAAGUUGGACCUCCGACAGGGGUACUACCAGUUGUUGAUUAGGAAGGAGGACAUUCCGAAGACUGCUUUUAACUCGAGAUACGGGCAUUACGAGUUUGCCGUUAUGCCCUUUGGAUUGACUAAUGCUCCCGCCGCCUUCAUGGACUUAAUGCAUAGGGUUUUUAAACCCUACCUGGACCGAUUUGUCGUGGUGUUUAUUGACUACAUUUUGGUCUACUCUAAGUCACGCGAGGAGCAUGAGAAGCAUUUGAGAAUGGUAUUGCAGACAUUGAGGGAACAUCAGCUGUAUGCCAAGUUUAGUAAAUGCGAGUUCUGGUUGGAGAGAGUAGCGUUUCUAGGGCACGUGAUCUCCCACGAAGGUAUUUCGGUGGAUCCGGCGAAGGUUGAGGCCGUGACAAAUUGGAAAAGGCCAGAAACUCCCUCGGAGAUUCGCAGCUUUCUAGGGCUAGCUGGGUACUACCGACGGUUUAUUAAAGAUUUUUCCAAACUGGCAGGACCUUUAACUGACUUGACAAAGAAGCAUGGCCAGUUUAUCUGGAACGGCCGAUGCGAAACAAGUUUUCAAGAAUUAAAGAAAAGAUUGACCAUGGCUCCAGUACUGGUCUUGCCCAAUGGAAUGGACGGGUUUGUAGUAUAUGCGGAUGCGUCGCGAGAAGGACUGGGAUGCGUUUUGAUGCAGAACCGGAAUGUGAUUGCUUUCGCCUCUAGAAAAUUGAAGCUUCACGAGCAGAACUACCCGACUCAUGAUCUAGAAUUAGCCGCAGUGGUGUUUGCUCUGAAAAAGUGGAGGCAUUACCUAUACGGGGUGACCUUCGAAGUGUUUUCGGAUCACAAAAGUCUUAGAUACCUUUUCUCCCAGAAGGAAUUAAACAUGAGGCAACGAAGGUGGAUGGAAUUUCUGGAAGAUUACGACUGUACGAUCAAUUACCAUCCGGGAAAGGCAAAUGUGGUAGCAGAUGCCUUGAGUCGUAAGGUGCAAGUAGCAGGGCUAAUGAUUAAGGAGUGGGGUUUGCUAGAAUCCGUGUGCGAGUGGAAACCCUGUCUAGGGAGCCAUAAGGUGAUAUUUGGCAAUGUUAGGGUUACCUCCACUCUACUGGAACGUAUUAAAGAGGCACAAAAAGAAGAUUUGAUGGUACAGAAAUGGAAAGAGAAAGUGGAUAAGGGAGAAACUACGGACUUCAAUUUGAGUCCUGAGGGUAUUUUAAAGUACCGAAACCGAGUGGUGGUACCAAAGGAUGAGGCAUUGAAAGCAGAAAUUCUGGAGGAAGCUCAUAGGUCUAAGUAUACAAUCCAUCCGGGUAGCAGUAAGAUGUAUCAGGACCUGAAAGGGACCUAUUGGUGGGAUAAUAUGAAGAGGGAAAUAGCUCAAUACGAGCAGAAAUGUCUUAUUUGCCAGCAAGUGAAGGCAGAGCAUCAAAAACCAUCGGGUCUGUUACAACCCUUGGAGAUACCCGAGUGGAAGUGGGAAAACAUCACCAUGGACUUCGUUUCCGGUUUACCGAGGACACAAAGAGGACACGAUGCCGUUUGGGUGAUCGUUGAUCGAUUAACCAAGUCGGCCCAUUUCUUGCCGGUGAACAUGAAGUACUCAAUGGACAAAUUGGCUCGACUGUACGUGGAUGAGGUUGUAAGACUACACGGUGUUCCUGUGAGCAUCGUCUCUGAUCGGGAUCCACGAUUUGUGUCUCGGUUUUGGCAGAAGUUUCAAGAAACCCUGGGGACGAAACUCAAUUUGAGCACUACCUACCACCCGCAGACGGAUGGCCAGUCAGAACGGACAAUUCAGACGCUCGAGGACAUGUUACGAACGUGCAUUCUGGACUUUGGAGGCAAUUGGGGUCAGCACAUGACCUUAGUCGAAUUUGCAUAUAACAAUAGCUUCCAUUCGUCGAUACAAAUGGCUCCGUAUGAAGCCUUAUACGGACGCAAAUGCCGCUCGCCGAUUUACUGGGAUGAAGUUGGUGAGAAGAAGGCACUAGACCCGGCAACCAUUCCAUGGAUGGAAGAGGCUCAAGAGAAGGUCAAAUUGAUAAGGCAACGAAUCCAAACCGCUCAAAGUCGCCAAAAGAGCUACGCGGAUAAUCGAAGAAAAGACUUGGAGUUUGAAGUUGGAGACCACGUAUUUCUUAAGAUCACACCUUUACGAAGUCUCACAGCAGGUAAAGGAAAGAAACUUCAACCGCGGUACGUCGGACCCUACAAGAUCCUGCAGAGGGUUGGAGCGGUCGCGUAUCGAUUGGAACUACCGUCUAGUCUAUCUCGAAUCCACGAUGUCUUUCACGUCUCGAUGCUAAAGAAGUAUCAUCCAGACCCAUCUCAUGUGUUGCAACCGGAGGAUAUCGAAGUAGAUGAAUCACUGGCCUAUGAAGAGAAACCGGUUCAAGUACUUGAUCGAAAAGUCAAAGAGCUCAGAAACAAGAAGAUUCCACUAGUGAAAGUACUAUGGAGAAACCACGGAGUGGAGGAAGCUACUUGGGAAAUGGAAGAGGAAAUGCGAAAGAAAUACCCAAACCUUUUCGGGAAUUAAGGUGAGAAAUUUCGAGGACGAAAUUCUUUUAAGGGGGGAAGAGUGUGAGAGCCCGUAAAAACCCUAAUAUUUUUCCUAGGGUUAUUUCCCCUUUAAUUGCAUAAUUUUGCAUUUUCUGGCUUAGAAAUAUUUUCUGAGAGGAUUUUAUGAGCAGUUAUAGUUUUAAGAGGAUUUUUCUAGCAUUGGAGAAAUUUUAGAAAAUUAAGAGUAAAUAGUGGACGUGGGACCCACUAGUGCGAAAAGUUCGGAAAAAUUCGGCCAAUAAGGUUAAGUUUCGGAUACUGUGUAAAAUUUAUCGGGUGUUAAGAGAUAAGUGGAGUGUGUGGAGUGAUUGAUGUGAGAGAGAAAAGAAUGAUAAGAUUGCAUUUAAUAGAGUGACACAUGUCACUUUCUUAUUGGAUACCUUUUAUGAAUCACUAUUCACCUUUUGACAUUUUUUUGACUUUUGACCCAACUAAGUAAAUAUCCAAAAAUUCACCAAAAAUCAUCAUUUUUCUUCUCUUGUUGGCCGGCUCUCCUUAGCUCAAGAAGGAAGGGAACUUCUCCAUUUUUCAAGCUUCCACUUGGUCCAAUCUACCACAAACCAAAGCCUAGAGUUGAUUUCACUCCAUAAAAACUUUCCUUCUAGUGUUAGUAAGUAGUUUGGUGAGAUUUGUUUGAAGGCCUAAGGUGCUCCACAUCAUCCUCUCUCUUGUUUCUUGGUAAGUGAAGCUUGAAACACCCUACUACCUUUAAUGAUGGUUAUAUGAUGCUUAGAAGUGGCAUGAGUGUGUGAAAAUGUGAUUUAUUUCUUGAUUUGAAGAGUUAUGGUGAAGUUUUUAUUUUAUUGGGAUUUUUUUCUGGUUUAAUAUGAUCUUGAUGUUGGGGGCUUGUAUGAUGAAUUGUAAUGGUUGGAAAUGACUCUAGUGAGUGUGAAUUAUGGUUAAAUGCAACUAAUUUUGGAUUUGGUGUGAAAUUGAAAAGUUAGGGUUCUUAAUUCCCCAAUUCUGUCCGGUUUUUGAUCACUGGGUUAGAGGCCGAAUUUGACUUUGCUCAAAACAUGAAAGUUGUAGGUAUUGAUGAGGUUGAUGUGCCUGUAAAAUUUCAGGUCAUUUGGAUUAAUGUAGAAUGAGUUAUGACGAAAUUACUGUAGCUGUUCUGCUUUGAGCAGAAUGCGAAAACUGCGAUAGUAAUUGGCCAUUUUGACUGGAAUUGGUUUGGAUUUUGGAGUUGGUGUCUUCUGAUGAAAUGUAGCUGAGUGUCUUAGCUAACAUAUGCCUUUGGAAUUUUGGCAUUUGGACUUGUAAGGACUGAGAUACAUUGAUUACAGUUUUUUGUGUUUUGCGAACCUGUUUUAGGAAUUCUGGGUUAGUAUUUGGCAUUUUCGACCUAGUUAAGCUAGGAACUGGAUUGAGUGGUCUUCUACAUUGUUGUAGCCCUGUUUCAUAGCUUCGAAACGGUGGGUCUUACACCCCCAAUCGAUAUUCGUAGUGAGAAUUGUGCCAUUACCGCAUAAUAAGUGUAAAACAGUUUUUCCUAAUCGGGGCCAAGACUAUUGCUAAUUUUAAUUUCUGGUUUGCUAUCGUGUUCAUUUAUGCAUAUGAAACCCUAUUGGGGUUGUGUUUAGCAUUGUUUGGUGACUCGUUCUCGAGUCUCAUUGUAUGUGUUACAUGUUCUAGGGCUUGAAGGUAGUGCUCGACGGCUUGGUGAUCGUGGUACAUGAAAAACCACUUACUUGCUUGGUGAGUAUACCACUCACUAAAUUGUUACUAUGUGGCUUUGUUAAAUGUUAUGUGAUGCCUUGAUGGCUUACUUGCAUAUUGGAAUUGAUUAAGGUGAGGGUGUACUUGACCGCCCUCACCUCUUUUGAUAUUGUCAUUGAUUGGCUACCGUUUUAUUGCAUUACUGAACUUGAUAUAUUGGUUGGUGAAUUCCAUUUCAUGGAAACUGAAUUGAUGUCGUUUGGACGAUGUCCAACGGCCUUACUGCAUUACUGAGCUCAACCCCGUUUGGUAGUCAAUUGGAUCGAGCCGGCGAGGGCUUGGUCGUGAACAUUGAAUUGCCACGGGGACUGUAUUGGGGAACCUUGUGGUAAUGAGACCCUUGGUUCCGAUAAACUCGAGUAUUACCAAAAGCUACUGAAAUGGAGUGCGGGCCCGGUUGGGGUAUGUUGGGUGGAAGGAAUGGAAGUAAAGAGUUGUCUACGGUUUGGUAUUUUAACAUUGACGGAGAGUCAAUGAGGUUGGUUCAAGAUUGCAAGCGUGGAAAUGGGCUCUUGAGAGCCGACCGUAUCCUUUUACCGGUUUGCUUCAUUGCUUAUUUGUGCACUUUAAAUGAAGGUUCAUUCUUAUAUGACUUUGAUUGCUUAUUGGGUAGUAUACCACUGGGCUUUGGCUCAUUCCAUGUUAUUUGUUUUCCUUACAGGGAUAUAAUUGCUUUUGAAAAUGGACUGGAUAGUCAAUUGCCAUACUGAGCUUGUAAAUGUCUUUUGUAUAGCUCUUGAAGUGAAACCCUAAUGUAUAACGGGUUCAUUUCCUUUUGAUAGGCAAAUCGAAUGUGUACUCCUUAAUGAAUGGUUUUGGCAUGCCAUUAUGGUUGUAAAUGUUGAUUUCCGUUGUACAUAUAUGCUUGGCUAUGGUUUAGAUAAAUUUCGGCUUCGGUUUUCGUUUUAUUUUAUUUUAUUUUAUUUUGUGUUUUGACUUGUUUGCGCGCGAUGUUAUGUUCCGGAACGUUUUAGAUUGACGUAAACCGUACCGUUAGUCCUGGCGAGAGCUGGGCAGGCAGUCCGCUAACCCCUUUGGUUCGCCUUAGGGGAAGGUGGGGCUGUCACAGGUGGUAUCAGAGCCUAGGUUUGAAUUAGCCUGGGUGUAAUAGAAGUGCUCGAUUUGAGGAUUUUAUUGUUUAUGCCUAUAAAGUGUAAUCAUGUUAUUUCUUCCUUUGCUAUAGGAUGGAUGCGAGUGGUGAUCCGAGUGACCGUCCGGCAGGAGAUCGUCCUCGUAGUCCGCUGCCGCCAAUUAAGUAUCAACUUAGGCAGAAGGGGGCCGUGGUGCGUUGGAGCCCGGCCAGCCGUGUUCGACAGUGCAAGUGUCGUAGCAACUACGCCUAUCCAAACACUCUAGUGUUGGCGGUGGCAAAGGAACGUGAGGAGUUUGCUAAGGAUAAUACUAAGCUUGAAGCUGUGGUUGCUGCGUUGGAAGCUGAGGUGACUCAGGCUAGGGCAACCAAUGAGAAGCAAGCCGCACGUAUCAUGGAGCUAGAGUACGACGUGAAUGAGGCGGAGGACCGAGUUAAUGACCUAUGUGAUCAACUGAGGGAUGGUCGCGAGCGUGAGGUUAAGCGCGCUCGCAAGGUCAGGGGUCGUGCGGAGGCGAUCCUUAACUUGUGCGACGACGGACUCGAGGAGUCUAGUGAUGAGGCCUCGUGCGCUGGGGCCGAGGCUGGGGAGGAGUCUACCCCGUCGCCUGGGUCCCAGACCCCAGCGACUGAUUAGGCCUUGAUCUUAGGGCACUUUUGGCUAGUGGUGGCUCUUGUAUGUAUAUAGGGAUAGGGAUAGUGCCUUAGCUAACCGUUUUGGAUGUAGAGUUAGCUAUGUGUAAAUCUCUUUUGAUAGGCCUAUCCUCAGGUGGAUCUUUUGUGUACGUACGUGCUUUGGCCGUACCUGACUGACUGCUUGUAUAUAUGUGUUUGGCAUGUAUAUAUGUGUUUGGCAUGUAUGCUUGGACUGUAUAAAUGUGUUUUUGUGAAAAACUUAAGUGUUACUUAUAUGCUUUGUUAUUGCUUUGGUUUAGUACUUUUGCCUAGACCAAGUAUACCUAAUGGAAGGAACACGGAGAGGACGGGGACGUGGGCGUGGUAGGCAACCCACACCGGUUAGGGAAACUGGGGAAGCUUCUACUGGCCCAAUUCCUGAACCCCAAAUAGACCCCAAUGCUCAAAUAGCUGCCGCUAUGCAGCAAAUGACAAACUUACUCGCACAAGUAGUGCAACAACAGGGCCAAAACCCAAACCCUAACCCUGGAAACCCUGGAAACCCUGGCCAUCAUAUUGAGAGCGAAGAUAGAGCACUAGAACGUUUCCAAAAGUUUUCCCCGCCAAAGUUUAUUGGGGGACCCGACCCUGAUGUUGCUGAGAAAUGGCUGGAGAAGAUGGUAGACAUAUUCGCGGCCUUACACUAUCCGGACGAACGGCAGGUGACUUUUGCCGUGUUCCAACUCGAGGGGGCUGCCCGUUCCUGGUGGAACGUAAUUAGGCAGAAAUGGGAGCGGGAGCAGACACAGAGGACUUGGGUGAACUUCAUCCGAGAAUUUAAUGCUAAGUUUUUCCCUCCUCUAGUCCAGGAAAGGAAGGAGGACGAGUUUAUCCGGCUCCGGCAAGGGGCUCAGACUGUGGCGGAGUACGAGAGCCAGUUUACCCGCCUGUCCAAAUUCGCGCCUGAACUAAUUAUGACCGAACAAUGACGCGUGAGGCGCUUUAUUCAGGGUUUGAACGUGGAGAUCCAGAAAGAUCUCGCAGCGGCUCAAAUCACUACUUUUAGCGAGGCAAUGGAAAAAGCCCAACGGGUCGAGAGUGCACGGCUUCAGGUCCGAAACUUCCAGGCUAAGAAGCGUGGUUUUCCUGGGAGUACAUCUGGGCAAGGUGAGAAGAGCACUCCCUCCAAGUUUGGACGAGGAACUGGGGGUGGACGACAAUCUGGAACAGGCAGAGGGACUCCGUUCAGGGGCGGCCAAGUUGGGCGAGGACAGAGGGGGAACACCCAGAGUGGCUCGGCAUCGGCACCUCGUGGUCCCUGUGGGCACUGUGGAAAGACAAACCACACCGAGGACAAUUGCUGGAGGAAACUGGGGAAAUGUCUGCGGUGUGGAAGUGCGGACCAUCAGCUGGCUACAUGUCCGGUCCUGAAACAAGAUGGAAAGGGGAGUCAGCUACCGCCGAGGACUAACACUGGACCAGCCAAGGGAGACGGAUCCAAACCUAAGGUGCCAGCUAGGGUUUAUUCCUUAGAGCCCCAUCAGGUCCCAGAUUCUUCCGAGGUGGUGGAAGGUACGAUCCCUAUUUUCCACCGCUUUGCCAAAGUUUUAAUUGAUCCCGGUGCCACUCAUUCGUUUGUUAACCCUGAUUUCAUGUGUGGCAUCGAUAUAAAACCUGCUAGCUUACCAUAUGACUUAGAGGUUAGUACACCUACGGGGAAUCAACGUUUGGUGACUAGUAUGGUCUAUAGGGAUUGCGACGUAUGGGUAGGUGAAAGGAGGUUUUUAGGGGACUUGAUUAGCUUAUCCAUUAAGGGGUACGAUGUGAUUUUGGGUAUGGACUGGUUAGCCAAAUAUAACGCCCAACUGGAUUGUAAAACGAAAAUAGUUGAAUUUCGCAUUCCUGGCGAGGCAACCUUAAGGUUAGAUAUAAGGGGUAGGUUAGCCUCAUCUGCUCUCAUUUCGGGCAUUCGAGCUAGGAAAUUGAUAAGUAGAGGGGCACAAGGAUUUUUGGCCUUCUUAAUUAAUACCCCUACGGAUAAGUUAAAGGUAGAAGAUGUAGCCAUAGUGAGGGACUUUCCGGAUGUUUUCCCUGAUGAGUUAGUGGCUUUACCUCCGGAAAGAGAGAUAGAAUUCCGAAUAGAUCUUUUACCUGGAACUGCACCUAUCUCAAAAACCCCUUACCGAAUGGCGCCUGCAGAACUUAAGGAGCUUAAGUUGCAACUGCAAGACCUUUUGGAGCGGGGAUUCAUUCACGAGAGUGAGUCUCCUUGGGGAGCUCCGGUCCUAUUUGUGAAGAAAAAGGACGGAACGUUGAGGAUGUGUAUUGAUUAUAGGGGGUUGAACAACGUGACCAUCAAGAAUAAGUAUCCACUGCCUCACAUAGACGAGUUGUUUGACCAGCUGCAAGGAGCAGUGGUCUUCUCGAAGUUGGACCUCCGACAGGGGUACUACCAGUUGUUGAUUAGGAAGGAGGACAUUCCGAAGACUGCUUUCAACUCGAGAUACGGGCAUUACGAGUUUGCCGUUAUGCCCUUUGGAUUGACUAAUGCUCCCGCCGCCUUCAUGGACCUAAUGCAUAGGGUUUUCAAACCCUAUCUAGACCGCUUUGUCGUUGUGUUCAUUGAUGACAUUUUGGUCUACUCUAAGUCACGCGAGGAGCAUGAGAAGCAUUUGAGAAUGGUAUUGCAGACAUUGAGGGAACAUCAGCUGUAUGCCAAGUUUAGUAAAUGCGAGUUCUGGUUGGAGAGAGUAGCGUUUCUAGGGCACGUGAUCUCCCACGAAGGUAUUUCGGUGGAUCCGGCGAAGGUUGAGGCCGUGACAAAUUGGAAAAGGCCAGAAACUCCCACGGAGAUUCGCAGCUUUCUAGGGCUAGCUGGGUACUACCGACGGUUUAUUAAAGAUUUUUCCAAACUGGCAGGACCUUUAACUGACUUGACAAAGAAGCAUGGCCAGUUUAUCUGGAACGGCCGAUGCGAAACAAGUUUUCAAGAAUUAAAGAAAAGAUUGACCAUGGCUCCAGUACUGGUCUUGCCCAAUGGAAUGGACGGGUUUGUAGUAUAUGCGGAUGCGUCGCGAGAAGGACUGGGAUGCGUUUUGAUGCAGAACCGGAAUGUGAUUGCUUUCGCCUCUAGAAAAUUGAAGCUUCACGAGCAGAACUACCCGACUCAUGAUCUAGAAUUAGCCGCAGUGGUGUUUGCUCUGAAAAAGUGGAGGCAUUACCUAUACGGGGUGACCUUCGAAGUGUUUUCGGAUCACAAAAGUCUUAGAUACCUUUUCUCCCAGAAGGAAUUAAACAUGAGGCAACGAAGGUGGAUGGAAUUUCUGGAAGAUUACGACUGUACGAUCAAUUACCAUCCGGGAAAGGCAAAUGUGGUAGCAGAUGCCUUGAGUCGUAAGGUGCAAGUAGCAGGGCUAAUGAUUAAGGAGUGGGGUUUGCUAAAAUCCGUGUGCGAGUGGAAACCCUGUCUAGGGAGCCAUAAGGUGAUAUUUGGCAAUGUUAGGGUUACCUCCACUCUACUGUAACGUAUUAAAGAGGCACAAAAAGAAGAUUUGAUGGUACAGAAAUGGAAAGAGAAAGUGGAUAAGGGAGAAACUACGGACUUCAAUUUGAGUCCUGAGGGUAUUUUAAAGUACCGAAACCGAGUGGUGGUACCAAAGGAUGAGGCAUUGAAAGCAGAAAUUCUGGAGGAAGCUCAUAGGUCUAAGUAUACAAUCCAUCCGGGUAGCAGUAAGAUGUAUCAGGACCUGAAAGGGACCUAUUGGUGGGAUAAUAUGAAGAGGGAAAUAGCUCAAUACGUGCAGAAAUGUCUUAUUUGCCAGCAAGUGAAGGCAGAGCAUCAAAAACCAUCGUGUCUGUUACAACCCUUGGAGAUACCCGAGUGGAAGUGGGAAAACAUCACCAUGGACUUCGUUUCCGGUUUACCGAGGACACAAAGAGGACACGAUGCCGUUUGGGUGAUCGUUGAUCGAUUAACCAAGUCGGCCCAUUUCUUGCCGGUGAACAUGAAGUACUCAAUGGACAAAUUGGCUCGACUGUACGUGGAUGAGGUUGUAAGACUACACGGUGUUCCUGUGAGCAUCGUCUCUGAUCGGGAUCCACGAUUUGUGUCUCGGUUUUGGCAGAAGUUUCAAGAAACCCUGGGGACGAAACUCAAUUUGAGCACUACCUACCACCCGCAGACGGAUGGCCAGUCAGAACGGACAAUUCAGACGCUCGAGGACAUGUUACGAACGUGCAUUCUGGACUUUGGAGGCAAUUGGGGUCAGCACAUGACCUUAGUCGAAUUUGCAUAUAACAAUAGCUUCCAUUCGUCGAUACAAAUGGCUCCGUAUGAAGCCUUAUACGGACGCAAAUGCCGCUCGCCGAUUUACUGGGAUGAAGUUGGUGAGAAGAAGGCACUAGACCCGGCAACCAUUCCAUGGAUGGAAGAGGCUCAAGAGAAGGUCAAAUUGAUAAGGCAACGAAUCCAAACCGCUCAAAGUCGCCAAAAGAGCUACGCGGAUAAUCGAAGAAAAGACUUGGAGUUUGAAGUUGGAGACCACGUAUUUCUUAAGAUCACACCUUUACGAAGUCUCACAGCAGGUAAAGGAAAGAAACUUCAACCGCGGUACGUCGGACCCUACAAGAUCCUGCAGAGGGUUGGAGCGGUCGCGUAUCGAUUGGAACUACCGUCUAGUCUAUCUCGAAUCCACGAUGUCUUUCACGUCUCGAUGCUAAAGAAGUAUCAUCCAGACCCAUCUCAUGUGUUGCAACCGGAGGAUAUCGAAGUAGAUGAAUCACUGGCCUAUGAAGAGAAACCGGUUCAAGUACUUGAUCGAAAAGUCAAAGAGCUCAGAAACAAGAAGAUUCCACUAGUGAAAGUACUAUGGAGAAACCACGGAGUGGAGGAAGCUACUUGGGAAAUGGAAGAGGAAAUGCGAAAGAAAUACCCAAACCUUUUCGGGAAUUAAGGUGAGAAAUUUCGAGGACGAAAUUCUUUUAAGGGGGGAAGAGUGUGAGAGCCCGUAAAAACCCUAAUAUUUUUCCUAGGGUUAUUUCCCCUUUAAUUGCAUAAUUUUGCAUUUUCUGGCUUAGAAAUAUUUUCUGAGAGGAUUUUAUGAGCAGUUAUAGUUUUAAGAGGAUUUUUCUAGCAUUGGAGAAAUUUUAGAAAAUUAAGAGUAAAUAGUGGACGUGGGACCCACUAGUGCGAAAAGUUCGGAAAAAUUCGGCCAAUAAGGUUAAGUUUCGGAUACUGUGUAAAAUUUAUCGGGUGUUAAGAGAUAAGUGGAGUGUGUGGAGUGAUUGAUGUGAGAGAGAAAAGAAUGAUAAGAUUGCAUUUAAUAGAGUGACACAUGUCACUUUCUUAUUGGAUACCUUUUAUGAAUCACUAUUCACCUUUUGACAUUUUUUUGACUUUUGACCCAACUAAGUAAAUAUCCAAAAAUUCACCAAAAAUCAUCAUUUUUCUUCUCUUGUUGGCCGGCUCUCCUUAGCUCAAGAAGGAAGGGAACUUCUCCAUUUUUCAAGCUUCCACUUGGUCCAAUCUACCACAAACCAAAGCCUAGAGUUGAUUUCACUCCAUAAAAACUUUCCUUCUAGUGUUAGUAAGUAGUUUGGUGAGAUUUGUUUGAAGGCCUAAGGUGCUCCACAUCAUCCUCUCUCUUGUUUCUUGGUAAGUGAAGCUUGAAACACCCUACUACCUUUAAUGAUGGUUAUAUGAUGCUUAGAAGUGGCAUGAGUGUGUGAAAAUGUGAUUUAUUUCUUGAUUUGAAGAGUUAUGGUGAAGUUUUUAUUUUAUUGGGAUUUUUUUCUGGUUUAAUAUGAUCUUGAUGUUGGGGGCUUGUAUGAUGAAUUGUAAUGGUUGGAAAUGACUCUAGUGAGUGUGAAUUAUGGUUAAAUGCAACUAAUUUUGGAUUUGGUGUGAAAUUGAAAAGUUAGGGUUCUUAAUUCCCCAAUUCUGUCCGGUUUUUGAUCACUGGGUUAGAGGCCGAAUUUGACUUUGCUCAAAACAUGAAAGUUGUAGGUAUUGAUGAGGUUGAUGUGCCUGUAAAAUUUCAGGUCAUUUGGAUUAAUGUAGAAUGAGUUAUGACGAAAUUACUGUAGCUGUUCUGCUUUGAGCAGAAUGCGAAAACUGCGAUAGUAAUUGGCCAUUUUGACUGGAAUUGGUUUGGAUUUUGGAGUUGGUGUCUUCUGAUGAAAUGUAGCUGAGUGUCUUAGCUAACAUAUGCCUUUGGAAUUUUGGCAUUUGGACUUGUAAGGACUGAGAUACAUUGAUUACAGUUUUUUGUGUUUUGCGAACCUGUUUUAGGAAUUCUGGGUUAGUAUUUGGCAUUUUCGACCUAGUUAAGCUAGGAACUGGAUUGAGUGGUCUUCUACAUUGUUGUAGCCCUGUUUCAUAGCUUCGAAACGGUGGGUCUUACACCCCCAAUCGAUAUUCGUAGUGAGAAUUGUGCCAUUACCGCAUAAUAAGUGUAAAACAGUUUUUCCUAAUCGGGGCCAAGACUAUUGCUAAUUUUAAUUUCUGGUUUGCUAUCGUGUUCAUUUAUGCAUAUGAAACCCUAUUGGGGUUGUGUUUAGCAUUGUUUGGUGACUCGUUCUCGAGUCUCAUUGUAUGUGUUACAUGUUCUAGGGCUUGAAGGUAGUGCUCGACGGCUUGGUGAUCGUGGUACAUGAAAAACCACUUACUUGCUUGGUGAGUAUACCACUCACUAAAUUGUUACUAUGUGGCUUUGUUAAAUGUUAUGUGAUGCCUUGAUGGCUUACUUGCAUAUUGGAAUUGAUUAAGGUGAGGGUGUACUUGACCGCCCUCACCUCUUUUGAUAUUGUCAUUGAUUGGCUACCGUUUUUAUUGCAUUACUGAACUUGAUAUAUUGGUUGGUGAAUUCCAUUUCAUGGAAACUGAAUUGAUGUCGUUUGGACGAUGUCCAACGGCCUUACUGCAUUACUGAGCUCAACCCCGUUUGGUAGUCAAUUGGAUCGAGCCGGCGAGGGCUUGGUCGUGAACAUUGAAUUGCCACGGGGACUGUAUUGGGGAACCUUGUGGUAAUGAGACCCUUGGUUCCGGUAAACUCGAGUAUUACCAAAAGCUACUGAAAUGGAGUGCGGGCCCGGUUGGGGUAUGUUGGGUGGAAGGAAUGGAAGUAAAGAGUUGUCUACGGUUUGGUAUUUUAACAUUGACGGAGAGUCAAUGAGGUUGGUUCAAGAUUGUAAGCGUGGAAAUGGGCUCUUGAGAGCCGACCGUAUCCUUUUACCGGUUUGCUUCAUUGCUUAUUUGUGCACUUUAAAUGAAGGUUCAUUCUUAUAUGACUUUGAUUGCUUAUUGGGUAGUAUACCACUGGGCUUUGGCUCAUUCCAUGUUAUUUGUUUUCCUUACAGGGAUAUAAUUGCUUUUGAAAAUGGACUGGAUAGUCAAUUGCCAUACUGAGCUUGUAAAUGUCUUUUGUAUAGCUCUUGAAGUGAAACCCUAAUGUUUAACGGGUUCAUUUCCUUUUGAUAGGCAAAUCGAAGGUGUACUCCUUAAUGGAUAGUUUUGGCAUGCCAUUAUGGUUGUAAAUGUUGAUUUCCGUUGUACAUAUAUGCUUGGCUAUGGUUUAGAUAAAUUUCGGCUUCGGUUUUCGUUUUAUUUUAUUUUAUUUUAUUUUGUGUUUUGACUUGUUUGCGCGCGAUGUUAUGUUCCGGAACGUUUUAGAUUGACGUAAACCGUACCGUUAGUCCUGGCGAGAGCUGGGCAGGCAGUCCGCUAACCCCUUUGGUUCGCCUUAGGGGAAGGUGGGGCUGUCACAGUUUUAAUAUUUAGAUGCCAAAGGACAGCAACAUUGCAAUUCAGGUGACAAAAGCAAAAUAGUCUCUAAUUGCUAAAUAAACAAAAAAAGUAACAAGCAUUCACUAAUCUGAUACCACUGUAAUGAAUGCAGCAAUUGCAGCAGAAAUAGAGUGAUAAGGGGGAGAGAAACUAGACUUGAGGAAGAAGAAAGAGAGAUAUUAUUCAAAAUGAUUUUUCCAUGUUGCCCAAUCCGGAUUUCUGCAUUCUUAUACAUCUCAAGAAUAAAAAAAUAACUACUUGAUUGUUGACUCAGCAUAACAGUCUAACUAACAAGGAAGAUUCCCUCUAACUACUUGAAGGAAAUACAUUUUGCAUGUACUAUACUGGUAUUCUUCAAGUGAAAUACUAUACUGGAAAUACAUUAAUUCUUCAAGUUGUAACUGACAAUCCAGUGCAAAGAGACCAAACAGUACUAUACUUGUAUUAAAGGCUAGACGGACACAAAUUAAUGGAAGGGGAGAAGAUGGAGAAGGGGAGAGUAUGUGUAACAGGUGGAACUGGAUUUUUGGCAUCAUGGUUGAUCAAAAGGCUUCUUCAAGAUGGUUAUUCUGUCAACGCUACAAUUAGGUCCUCUUCAGGUUCAUGUUUGCUAAUUUACUAGUAAUUAGUUCUCUACUUGAAUUACUUUACCAUUUCCGUCUGCAACUUUACAUAUCAUCAGAACAACAGUUUUUGGCAACUAAGUAGGAGCUAAUUUCAGAAACGAAGGGUCUGAGACAGAACAGCAAAUUGUCUGCACCAUAUUUCUAACAAGAAAUCAGAAGCUUUGGUCAGCAGAGACAAAGGGAAUGAAGAAGACAGUGCCAUGAUAAAAUUCAACAAGGAAAGAAAGGAUUUUCCAGAGUAAAGGCGGUAAUUAGGAGCCAUCAAAGUUUCUGUCUGAGCUUUAAAGCCUAAAUGUAGAGGCUAGACACUAAGAUCAAAUUGUAGAUGGUCAAAUGGCUCAUGUUCCAGUGUUUCCUUGUUUCCAUAGAAUGGUUUUGAGCUUGCUCUUUAGAACCCAGUCAUCAGUUGUUUGGGUUAUUUUUCCCACUUAUUAAAGAUCCUUCAGAAUUCAGAACUGAAAAGAAAAGUAUCAUCUAGACAAUAACUAAAUAAGAGCAAAGUAAGAGAUAAAGCACAUAGAACUUGAGAACUCAAGAAACACUUCUUUUAUUUUUACUAUGAUAUUAAAAACUCAAGAAACAAUUGCAGAAAAACCAUUGCAGAAGCGCAGGACAGCCAUACGCACUACUGAACAACAUGGAUAAGUAAGGAACCUCAACAAACUCCAUACACCAAUUCUUUCCAAAACUACUGGACACUUAUGAAUGACAGUUUAUAUGAUUUUUUAAAGGGAAAAUUGUUGCCCAGUAGUUUGCUAAGGAUGCAGAACAAAACCAAUGCAUAGGCUGAUAACCUAUUUCCCAUUUCCUCUACCACAUCGCCAAUGAGGUAUUUAAAGAAGCGAAGGAAAAUCCCAAUAGUUAAAACGGCUACAAGUCCUAACCAGCAGACUGGCAUCUCAGAUCAUACUAAUGAAAACGCAAUGCGACAGUACAUUUCAUUAUCAAAGAACAGACGUUAAUCAGCUCAACAAACCCAUUGGACAGACUUCAAUGACGCUUAAAAGAAAAAAUCAACAGGGAAACGGUGAAUGAGAGGGCAUACUAUUUCCAGUUGGGAAGGAGCUUCUUGGUCUUUUUGUAGUAACGAGCGAGGCGGUGAAUCCUGCGCUCCACCAGAAUCAAUCUGAACUUGGAAUCCUUGUCCUUCCUGUUCCUCUCCAAAUGCUUCCUGAUUGCGAUGGCCUUCUUGAUCAGAUGGUAUAGAUCCUCUGGAAUCUCAAGUGCAAACCCUGCCCUCCGAACCAGAAAAAAUCACUAAUAUUGUUAUAAAAAAUUUAAACAAAAUAAUGCGAAUGCAAUAAGAAAAAUGAUAUUGAAUUGGCGGUCUUUGAGAUGAAGUUGGCGCAGAAUGUGGGGAAUUUUUCUCACUAUGGACGGGAACACUAAGCUUUUGGCCUAAUGCACAAUAAUUUGCAAUACUGCAUACGAAAUAAAGCACACCUUCCUCCAUCAAUGCAACACUUGCCAGGCCAUCCCAGAAAACCUUAAAGGGAUUGUCUACACUGCAACUCUCGUACUCUCUUCUUGACAUUUCCAUCACAUUAUGAAGCCCUGAAUCAAAGUCAAAACCUGCAUAACCCCAAAAAAAAGAAAAACAAAAACAAAAAAAACCGCGUAUCAAUGCCAAGAUUAAAGUGUUGUAACCUAAAAUUGAAAUGAUUGAUUCUCGAAUCUCAAUCUGUACAAGUGACAAGUCAUUGGAUUUACAAAGAGUGUCUCCUGUCUGGAAAAAGUGGGAAGAAGACCAGUUAGUAUAGAAGUCAUUGGUUGUGGGGAUGGACCAAAAGGAGUCUCCCACAAUGUAUUCUAGGCCAAAAGACUGAAUCAACAGUGAAGGAAGAAUGAUGAAUGCUGGUGAAAUUAAAAGGCGGGUAGGCAUUUUUCGAUCUUGGAUAAGAAUUAAAUAUACCGUGAGCCUUGAGGAUCCCAAAUUCCCACUCCACCCAGCACCACUUAACCCACUAUUUCUCUCACCAGCAGCCACUCAUAGCAACAUCAUACACCCAAUUCCACUCCCUCCACCACCAUCCAAUUAUUGGGGAAAAAAUUUAGGGCAAAUUAAUUGGGAAAAAAAUUAGGGAAACAAGGUUUGCAAAUUAGUGCAAACCCUGCCCUCCGAACCAGAAAAACUCCUUCCUGAGCCUCUGGACAUUGCCGGAGUCGUCGACCUUGUAGAACUAGAGGAUGGCAGCCUUGGCCUUCUUCUUCUUGGGCUUGGUGUAGGGUUUUCUUCUUGCGCUUCUUGGAGCCACCACGGAGGCAGAGGAAGAGGUGGAUGGUGGACUCCUUCUGGCUCCUUCCAGAUGUUGUAGUCGGCUAGGGCACCACUGUUCUCCAGCUCCUUGCCGACGAUGAUGAGGCGCUACUGGUCCGGCUGCCGCCUCCGCUGCUGCUCGGGAUUUGGGAAACGAAUAAAGGGGGUUGAGAAUAAUGGGGUUGAUUGAGGGAUUGAAUGUGUGAGGAGAACAGAUGCGUCUGGAUGUGGGGACUGGUCGACGGGGGAGUAAGAGUGGUUGCUUUUCUUAGUGUAUGGUACCCGCGCCACUUUUUUUCAUUUUUAGUUUGAACAAAUUUCGGUCACCGGUCAAUCACGACGAUUCAAGUCAAUUUUAGGUUCAAUUUUUAUUUAAAUUUACUAAUGUAUUUCUAAUCACUACUUCUUAAUAUAUUUAUUAAAAAAUUAUAAUGGAUGAAAUUUUUUUGCUAAAUUCAAAGAACUGGUAAAUGUUCUCUUUCUCAAGUUAUAAUAGUUUAUAGUUGUUCUAACUAGAAACUUUCAUUAAUUUUUUCUAGUUAAAAACGUAGAUUUAUGGGUAAUUUCUUUUUUUUUUUUUUGCUUUCACAUAUUUAAUUUAUGUUAAAUACAAAACCUACCAACACUUUUUGAAUUUUACUUACAAACAUUUAUGUAUUUAACAUAAAUUAAAUGAUUCAGAGUGAAAUGCCCAUAAAGAGCAGAAUAUUUGUUCAUGUAAUGGAGGAAACCCACAAAGAGUUGGUACUUUAUGGGCCAUUUCUUUUUUUAAAAAAAUUUAAUUUAUGUUGAAAAGAUAACCUGCCAGUUUUCGUUUUGUAAGAAAUCAGUGUAACACUUUUUGAAUUUUACUUACAAACAUUUAUAAAUUUAUCAUAAAUUAUAUGUUUGAGAGUAAAAUGCCCAUAAAAAGUUGGUACUUUGAAUAGAUAAUGCUCAUUUGCCCAUAAACUACACUCCCUGAAGGCUAUUUUGUUAAUUACUUUGUAGUACUUUGUUAUUCCUUUGCUAAUACUACUUGGCAUGUAGUACAAAGGAUAAAUCUGGCAUAAAUUUCUUAUUCCAUUGAUAAAAAGACCUGCCUGCCUUAUAACUAUUGUAAUGAAAGAUAUAUCUUUAGAGUUUAUAACAAAUUAUUACUUAAGUUUGAGAAAAUUAUAAAAUAUUUAUGCAUAGUUUAUCAAGAUACCAUUCGCAAUUUCCUAAUAAAAAAAUAGGGGCUAAAUUGUAAAAGUUAGGGUGCCAUAAUAGAAAUAAUAAAAUUGGUGUAUUACAUAUGGGGGUUAAAUUGCAAAAGUUAGAGUGCCAUAGUAGAAUUAAUGAAAUUGGUGAAUUACAUAUGGGGCUAAAUUACAAAAGUUAGGGAGUAAUAAUAGAAUUAAAGAAAUCGGUGUACUACAUAUGGGGCUAAAUUGUAAAAGUUAAGGUAUCAUAAUGGAAUUAAUGAAAUUUUUUACAACAUUUGGGGCUAAAUCGCAAAAGUUAGGGUGGCACAGUAGAAUUAAUGAAAGUGACUUAGAAAUAAGUACUUUAAACAGUGACGAUUAAUUCUUGUCACUAAAUCCGAAUCGGUAGAGUGACAGUGACGAUAUUAGAAGUUGUCACUAUAUAUAUCAUUUUAGUGACAACUUUUUCAAGGUCGUCACUGAAGACUUAGUUGCUUUGAGCAAUUAUGACAACUCUCCUUGUCGUCACUAAACAAUCACGUUUUGUGACGACUUUUGUCGUCACUAAAAAAUGUUGUCACUAAUGACCAUAUUUCUUGCAGUGUAGUUUGUGAUGAAAAUAACGGGUCGUCACUAAACAUUUAGUUGUUUUGAUGCAAUUGUGACAACUUUAGGUGUCGCGACUAAAGAAGCUCCUUUUGUGACGACUUAUUGUCAUCACUACAAAAUGUUGUCACUAAUACCUUUUUUUUAGUGAUCAGUGACGACAACAAAAAGUCGUCAGUAAAUAGGCCAAGCAAUAGUGAUGAUGUUCUUAAUGUUGUCACUAUUGUGUGUUCUAAACACUCCCGCGCUCUUGCUAAAUCUUGGCGGGAAUUUACUAGUGACGACUUUUUUAAGUCGUCACAAAUAAGUUGGCUCCCAUUAGAGGUUUGUGACGAGUUAGAAAGUCGUCAAUAAAGGAUCCACUUUUGUGACAACUUUUUUUCGUCACAGAGAAAAGUUGUCACUGAUGACCAAUUUUCUUGUAGUGUGAAGGGAUAAAAUAAACACUCAAAUAUAUGUGGGAGAGAAGAAAAUAAUUAACUCACCAUAUUAUUAAAAUCUCAAAUAAUGAAGAAAGUCACACCACAAUAGAAAACCUAACAAAUUCUUCUAGACUCUCUUAAGAAAAUAGUCUAAACUAAUGCCCUAUUUAUAUCCUACUAGACUUGUUAGGAAAGAAACCACUGGCAUAAGAAAUUAUCAAAUAAAAUACAAAUUCCUAAAUCAUACAACUACUAAGAACUUAACUCCAAUAAAACUAAUAAAUAAAUAAGUAAAUACUUUUAGGUUUGGUUUAGUUUACCGACAUUCUUUGUCAGCCCUAAUUGAUAGUAACAUGAAAAUCAAGUCUAGUAAAUGAAAAAAAAAAAAGAAACUCUAGACCUAGAUGUGGUCUUUCACGAUUCACAUUAACCAUCCAUUCUAGAAAUUUUUGCCAUUUUUCCUUGAGGGAGUCCAAUCUAGGCUUUUGAUGUUUUCUUUUUCGUUUCAGACUUCAGUACCUGCCAAAGUCGUUUUUGACAAAUUUUUUCUUAUUCUUUAUACGGAUGAAAUCGUUUUUUAGUUUUUCUUCUGCAUUGAAUUCUUUUUUAAUUCUAUAUUAUUUAUCCGUCUACUGCUUUUGUUAUUGUUAUUACUAUUAUUAUUAUUCUGUGAGUGUGUGUCUACUCCUUUUCACUUUAGAAAUGAAGUCUUUGUUCUAAAUAUAUAUGUUUUCCUAGGAACUGUUUGCUACAUAAAAACUCUUUUUCCUUUUGUCUCGUUCCUUCCUAAAUUCCUAAGACUACAAGAUUAAGAAACUUUAAAAUUCAUAAAAUUAUUUCACUUAGAUGGAUACAACCUGGGCUUUUGUCUAACAUUUUGAAGAUUACAUGUUAGGAAAUUGGCUUAAUUUCUUUUAGGUAGAAUUCUUGUUCUGUGUGGAAGUAACUAGUUUCUUAAUUGGUUUUAGUUACUUGAAGUAGUAGUCAAGUAAAACCCUAUUUAGCUAAAUGAGUUUAGGAAAUAAUAUUGGUCUCCAAUUGUUAUUUGGCUUUUUGACAGUAAUGUUCUCUAUAAAUAGGUGGGUUGGCAAACUACACAAGCGACACACAAGAGAUACACAAGGGCAUCAUGUAGUCUUAUACAUGGGGUGUGAGAGAGGGUUCUUGGGAGAUGAGAGAUGGUAUACAAGGGUUGGGUUUGGGUUCAAGUUGUAUUCUUGUAUAGGGUUUUCCUCUCAUAAUAAAAAACGUGUUUCUCUCCGUGGAUGUAGACUCAAUGGUGGAGCCGAACCACGUUAAAUAUUGUGUGUCGUUUAUCUUUCAUGCUUGUGACUUGUUCCUCAUUAAAUAGUUGUACACUUGAUGUCUUAAUAGUUGUUUGUUCCGCGUCUGGAUCCUAACAAGUGGUAUCAGAGCCUGGUUGCGAGACUGGGUAAUAGAGCAAAAUUCAUGGUUGGAUCCUAGUUAAUUAUUGAGAUCAAGUGGAUUGGUGGCUGUUCCUAAUUGAACGAUUUAAUGAGUGGUAUCCUUAUUUCAAUGACUUGGCAAAAAGCAUUGAUGGUGAAGGAUAGAAAGUCGAAAAGUAUGGAAAUACUUGACGGUGAAUUUAGGCAGGUGAUUCAAGAGUCAAGGAAAAGGUGGAGUCCAAUGUUGAUUUUGGACGUGACUCGGUGGAGACUUUCUCACACCUCCAACAGUUGAUAUUUCAUCCCGAUAGAUUUUAGAUUUCGGUUAUGUUUUUGGGUGGUGUGGCACGUGUCCUAAAGAAACAAGGAGAUCUAAUUUUCAUUCGUCAGAAGACUCUGACAGAUACGAGUUUUUCGUUUUAGGUGGAGUCUUGGCAACCACACGUGGCGAGACAGUCCUGAGGAUGUGAAGAAAUAUGGUGAAUUUACCACUUGAUUGCCUCAAUAAUUAGGGUUAGAGCUCACAGAAGGGAAUUCCAGAUUGCAAGUGGUGGUGAGAAGAAAUCCUGCAAAGGGAGAUGGUGAAUUGAGGCACCUUCUCAUGAGUCAACUGAAGAUUAGACUCGGGACAACUACGCAUGUUCAUUUGUCGAUUGAAUCAACUUGGUGUCAGAACUGUAUUGAUUCGGGUGUGUAGUUUGGUACCAUAUUAUUUGGUAGUUGAAGGCAAAUGAUUGCUAAAAGAAAUUUUCGCCAAGGUAGAGAUUUGUUAGGAAAUUGGCUUAAUUUCUUUUAAGUAGAAUUCUUAUUUUGUGUGGAAGUAACUAGUUUCCUAAUUGGUUUUAGUUACUUGAAGUAGUAGUCAAGUAAAACCCUAUUUAGCUAAAUGAGUUUAGGAAAUAGUAUUGGUUUUCAAUUGUUAUUUGGCUUUUUGACAGUAAUGUUCUCUAUAAAUAGGUGGGUUGGCAAACUACACAAGCGACACACAAGAGAUACACAAGGGCAUCAUGUAGUCUUAUACAUGGGGUGUGAGAGAGGGUUCUUGGGAGAUGAGAGAUGGUAUACAAGGGUUGGGUUUGGGUUCAAGUUGUAUUCUUGUAUAGGGUUUUCCUCUCAUAAUAAAGAACGCGUUUCUCUCCGUGGAUGUAGGCUCAAUGGUAGAGCCGAACCACGUUAAAUAUUGUGUGUCGUUUAUCUUUCAUGCUUGUGACUUGUUCCUCAUUAAAUAGUUGUGCACUUGAUGUCUCAAUAGUUGUUUGUUCCGCGUCUGGAUCCUAACAUUACAUUACCAGGGUAAUUAUGUUUUAGACUUGUAGUGAUAACUUGAUAACAAUUUUUAAUAAAAAGAUGAAGUCAUAAACAUAAUUCAUUAAUUUAAUGACGAUAUAACUACAAAAUCAAUACCUUAAGAAGUGUGGUUUACUGGUUAGUGUUUUCCAUACAUAGAAAAAUUGUCCUUUAAUGAGUUAUAAAGAGUUAGUCGUUUCCUUUGUAUUGUUUAUUGAUUUCUUGCAAUUCAAAAUUAUGUAAAUAUUAUUAUUGUCCCAUGUUGGGCUUGAACCUGAAAAAAAAUAAAAUAAAAUCAAUCUCACUGAGUAAGAUGAAUAUCCAAUAAAGACUAAGAGAAUUGUCUGGAAUUAAGAACAUCAAAAUUUUUGAGGUAGGAGUAAUAGCACAUAACUUCCCCGAAUCUACUUUUUAGUCAAUAUUAGAGCAGGCAUAACGACACAGUUAUCCGAAAGAAAAGCUUGAAGUUUUGUAGUAGCACAAAAUUUCUGUAAUCUGCUGCUUAACAAUCUCAAGUUUUUGAAUCAAUUUUAAGCCAAGAUCAGAGUAACCACAACAAUGUAACUAUAAGGAAGACUGAACCAAUCCUUAUUCUUGUUUUGAAUGAACUAGAAGAACCUUAAUAUAUUUGUGUCCGAUUGAAAAGUUUUCUCGCGCCUUCACUACAAAUCAUUAGGGUGAUGCAUGAGGAGAGGAAAACAAUGUGAACAUUAAUGUAUGAUUUGUAAUGACGAAUGAUGUAUAUGAUAAAAGAAAGUAUGAAAUAUUUGUGAAAAGUGCUAAUUAGCUCAAAUAUCAAGAUCAGCUUUUGGAGAAGUUUUUCUUGGGGAAAUUUUGGAAAGGGGAACAGGAAAAGUUUAAAUUCAUGAGAAGGGAAUAAGUUUUAGGAAAUUUGUAAAUGGGUUAUUGAUUACUAUUCUUAUAUUAUGCAAAAACUUAGUGCUGCAGGAAAAUCAUGAAUGUGUACAUAUGUUAUAUGUUCACAAUUUCAGUAUACACACGUACGUAAAUAUCGAUUUAAAUAUACACUAUAUAUAUAUAUAUAUAGAAAAGAGAUGUACAUAUAUAUUCAUUAAGCGUACAUUUUUAUUCAUUAAGAUGCAAAUUACUGUUUAAUAAAAUGCACACAGUUAUAGGGUGAAUUGGACAUCUAAUAAUAAAUUUUUUUGAUUUUAUAAUUCACAAAUACUAACCCCUAUCUCAAUUACAAAUUCAGGAAAAAUUACAAUCUUAUGACUUUUGCAUCUUUCAAUUUCCAUUUUUCACAUUUUUCUUUCUUUUCUUUUUUCCACUUAACUUGUAGACCCUCGAAUUUGGAGUGAUCUGUGGAGUAUCAGCACUAUUCCACCAACCAUGCGUUUUCUUUUAUUGGAAUGACGACCAUUGGCAGCUGAAUCUUGAAUUCUGAGGAAGGCAAAACUCGACUUGAAUGCUGAGUCCAAUAUACUCUCUCUGUUGUCAACGUUUUGCAGAUUAGGGUAUUUUUCUUGUUAGCCCGAGUUGAUGGUAACGCGAAAAUAAAGUUGAGCAAAUAAAAAAUAUUUAAAAGAGCAAAACAUCUCUAGACCUAGGUGUAGUUUUUCACAAUUCCCACGCUAAAUGUCUAAUUGGAAAAUGGGCUUCAGUAGUCAAACAGGUUUUAGUGAGGAAGACUUUCUCUGCUUAUACUUUUCUCCUUAGUAAAGUUUCUCUUUCAUAAUUUUUUUUUUUUUUUGCUUUGAGUAUCCAAUAUCCCCACCUUUAGUGAGACUCGUCCUGAUUCGAUUCGAGGACCGGUCGUAGAGUCCAACUCUUAUCCGAGAGUGAAGACUUGGACCAAAAUUUCUCAAAACGUCAUAUGCAAGAGUCGAAUAUGCGACUUCCCGUUGACAUUAGUAACCUGAUUACAAGUGCCUCAAACUCGUAGGUUUCUCUAUUUCAUAAUUAACGAACUCUGAAUGCAAACUUUUGCAUGUCCAAUCUAGACUGCUUUCCUCCCUUCAGGGAAACUCUCUUUUUUUCUUUUCUUUUUUUUCCUUUUUCUUUUGAGGUAGACCUAUGUAGACUUUAAAAGUCGCUGGUCUUUGUACUAAAGUAAUCUUUUUUUGCAUGUUAGCCCCAGUUGAUGGUAGACGAAAGAGCAGUUUCCAUAUCGCAAAAGUUGUCAAAGUUCGACUGCAUUGUCGGAUAGGUGUUGAUAGAAGUAUGGAUGUUGAGCAAGCUUUCAUUGUCAUCUACAGACAUCACAUGGUAAAUAUGUCAAAUUAGCGUUUUGAUACAGGAAUUAAUUAGUCAAGUCGUUCUUUCGUCUAUCACUUUUGGGGUCCAACUAUAGGGGGUUGUAUGUAAUUUUUCUAACUUUUUAUUCUUGUUACACGCCACCUAAGUGGAAAACCUUCUAAUGGUGUAUUGUAAAUUCUCAUGUUAUAUUUUUAGCAUAACAAAUGAUGUACUUCAAUUCUCCAUUUAACAAAGAAUAUGUCUGCUAAAUCGAGAUAAAAGAAGAAAGUUACCAAUUUUGGUCAGAAAACAUUAAAAGUAGAAAGUUUACACACCGCGUCAUGAACAUCACUCCUUAAUGGUCAGUCCACACCAAAAGCCAGUUCAAAGGUAUGAUUGCGCAAUUUUGUACAGUGGGGCAGAAACAUGCCUGCUUAGCAAUUCUGCUCCACAAAAAACAUAUAAUAUUACUAGUAGAAGACAACUCAAUAUCUUAUCUUGCUUUAUUUCCUAGUUCCUACAAUUCUAUAUUCUUUCUUCUCUUUUCUUAGUUCUUUUUCCACACGGAGAUGGCCAACCAAGUUGAAUGUAGACAUGGAAUCUUUUUUUAUUUAUUGAUGGAAGGAAAUUUUUAUCAGACAAUUUCUGUCAGAUUUUGUAGUAUUUACAUUUCCAAGCAAUUUCAUACUGGACUCCAUAUCCAUUGAUACUUAGGACGAAGAUGCAUUUAUUUUAUUGUACAGAAAAAUUCUACUGAGUGAUGGAAAAUGUAGCUGGGGUAAUUCACUAAAAUGUACUUGUAGCUAAUACUCUAACCAUUCUUCACCGGUAAAACCAACAAGCGGAAUGAUCAGAUGACCCUAGAUUUAUUAAACAAGUGCUAAUAUAGUGAGUAUUGGUGUACAAAGUUACAAGUUACAGAUAACUUAGAGUAGUUAGCAAUUACCACGUUGUAACUCUUUGUGGCUUCUAAUUUUCAAAAAAAAAAAAAAUCAACUGCAUAAUUAUGAAGAGCUUGACAUGAUAAAAUUAACUAAUUGGGUUAUUGAUUUAAAAUAUAUUUUAGUUCCACCCUAGCUACAGAGUUGUGCGUUUGUUCUGUUGACUCUUCAGAGCAUUUCGAAAUUUCUGUCAUUGAAGGACGGUCAUUUGGGGUCAUUUGGACGCACCACAGUGCUUUCAAAACUAAUUUCCUCGCAAUUCCAUUUUCUUCUUCUUGGUUGAACUUCCUUGUCCUCCUCUUUGUUGAAAUUUCCUCUUUGUAUUAUUAUAAUAUUUAUGGUUGAUAAUUGUCACAGGAAGAUUAAUCAACUUCUAGAAUACCUUUUCUUGUUGGGCUCCAUUGAUUGCCUAGUCUUUCUGUUGUUAUUGCUGUGUAAGAAAAUUAAAAUAACAUUUGCUCCGUUAGGCCGCUAUGGACCGUAAAAUGAAAAUUUGGUCGUGCAGAAAAAUCCAACAGAAUCUAUAGCAAACGGAUAUAGCUAUUAAUUGGGGAUGUCAACUUGAAAAUGCUUUUCACUUGCUGCUUUAAAGCGAAUUCUUACAGCACAAAUUAUCAUAAAAAGGAGGUUCAAGUGAAUGUUUUUCGACGUAUUUAGAAAAUAUUAGAAAUAGUUUUACAGAAUAUUGGAAGCUACUGUCACAAUUUCCAUUGUGUGGUACUUCAACAAAACUAUUGUAUGAACCCGGACAACAAAAAGUAAAUUAAGGCAAGGGAGACUUUUUGAGUACAAUAUUUUAUAAUUGGUCCCAAACUAAACUAUUGAGAAUUCAAAGAGAGCUAAACUAUCAUCGGAAAUGUUUCACGAAAUCCUGAGACAGGAAAUGCAGGCAAGGGAGACUAAAACUACCAAAAUCUGCACUUGUAACAUAUUAAUGACCGCUGAGUAAUUGAUUAUGUGUGCAGAUACUAAAAUCCGCAGGUCUGUUUUUGAGUGAAGUCUUGUGACUCUGUACUUGGACGGUUUAGUUCAUGAUCAGCAGAAUGUGGUCCUGAAGAGACCAAGACUCAUGGGGUGGACUUCACCAAUUGGCAUGUUACAGUCAAUUACAUUUAUUGAAUCUCUGCUGUUGCAGGAGGAGCCACAUACUUUAAUUAGCUGCUCAACAUGGCCCAGAUUGAUAUAUUAAAAAAAAAAGGCUCAGGAUUAACUAAAGCAAGUUGACUUCGAAAUUAUUUUUUUUUUGAGAGUUGACUUGGAAAUACAUUUUUAAUAAACUUUUAGAAUACCAGCAAGCAUACUUUUCCUGUUGGGCUCCAUUGAUGGUAGUUUUGACGGGUAAAUGCAUUUAAAAUGAAGUCCUUUUAGUCCAUUUAAAACUAAGGAGACUUGGCUACGGAGCUGGAACUUGUUUUAACCAAUGUUUUGAAAACCGGACCGGACCGGCCGGUUCUACCGGUUGAACCGCGAACCGGCCAUGGCACCGGUCCGGUUCAAUGACAUUGUUGACUUUGCUAGAAAAUCGGUCAAAGACCGGUUGAACCGUGAAAACCGCCCGCCGGAUUGAACCGGCGGUUUUCCGGUUUUCAGCUUUCCCUCUCUCUUAUUUUUUUUUUUUUUUUUUAGCUCUUCUUCUUUUUUUUUUUUUUUUUUUUAAGUUUUGCAAAAUGCAGCUAUCAAGAUUCGAACCCAAGACUUUUAUAAUAAAAGACCAAUGUAUUAAUCAUUGUACCAUCACAUCUUAUUAGUUUUUUUUGAUAACUUAUUUAUAUAAAGCAAACACUCAUAUUUCUUUUUUCCAUUUUUCUUACAAAAUCUCAUCCCCUCAUGGCUCUUUCUUUUUAAUUUUCAACUCUCUCUCUCUCUCUCUCUAUCCUCUUUUCUUUUGUCACUCCCUUUUUAAUCAAACCUCUUUAUUUUUAAUUUAUUGAUGUUUUCUUCCAUCUUUUAAUUUUGUUUUUGUCCAUUAAACCACUCACUUUUAUCUUAUUUUUUGUUUCUUAUCAAGUUUACAUUUCUAUUUUCGAUUUUCUUGACUUCUUUCGAACUCCAAAUUUUCUUUUUUAAAUUGCAAUCUCUAAAUCCCAAAACGUAAAUUAAACUUUAAGUUCAUAAUAUCUAAAUUCUCAGAGACAUGAAUUUUGUAUAAUUUCAAAAUAUUAUGAUAUUUUGGGGUUGGAUUUAGAUAUAAUUGAAAUUGAGAUGAAAUUUAUUUGUUUUAACUUAUAAUUUAAAAAAUUUAUUUUUAAAAAUCCAAGUUAUUAAAAAAUAGUAAACUUUGCAUCAUAUAAAAUAUAACAUUAGUCCAUUACAUGUCUUAUUUUGUAUAUAUAUAUAUUUAUAUAAAUUAUUUUUUAAAAAAUUCAUUGAACCGAGGUUGAACCGGUCCGACCGGUUGAACCUCGACCCUUUCACUUCACCGGUUCAAUUAACGGUCCGAUUUUUAAAACAUUGGUUUUAACACGGUUCAUCAAGUUUGUGCUUACCUUGAAACCAACAGUGCAAUUUCUUGAAUCUAUAAGGAUAAAAUUUUAUGAAAUGACCAUGACUGUGAUGUUAAUGAGGGCAUUGUUCUGGUAGUAAAAUAAGUUGAAGAAAAUGCAAAAGGGAAAAACAUAAACAACAGACUUAUGAAACUAAUUGAUUCCGGCAAGGGCAAAUAAAACAUUUUUGCAAAUGUUGAAUUGCCUGUCUCACAAAUGGCCAAUGUGCCAAGUUCAGGGCAAGUAUACCUAGAUUAAAAAUUUUAUGAUAUGACUAUGAGUCAUAAAUACAAACUCCAAACUUUUACAUGAAUCAUAAAUUCGUGGUGUCUUCCCACAAGCUAUAUUUACUAUGCGAAGUUGCAGAAAACUUCUUCCAAGAUGGUACAAUGUAAUUCUGUAUUGUGCCCACUGUCCACUGUCUGUAAAUGGUUUGAGAAAUCAAGCAUAAUCUGUUACUCUAUCCCAUGGUCCCUAAAAGACAAGUCCCAGCUCUGGGGCCAAAUCUUCUUAAUUAGCCCUUGGACUUUUGCUUUGAAGAAGCUGGUUAAUAAAAAUUGACUGUCAUCAACUUUUAUAAAUCAAUUCCAAUUACCAAGCCAAAUCCUCCCCUAACCAGUCGUAGUUAUAAAUUUAAAAGAAAAAAGGUCUAAUCAACAGAAACUGUUGUGAAUGUUACUUCCAAAUGCUAACUCGAUAAUAACUAGAAACUACUGUUGCACUAGUUACUUUGUGAUGUAUUAUAUUAUUCUAGAGGAAUUGAAGGAAGUGCAGCAAAAAAAAAAAAAAAAAACUCAUCAAAGUAGAAUAUGAGCUCAGGUCACUCAAUGGUCGACUGUUGCAAUUCACACAAGACUAGCUCUAUCUUUUUUCUCCUUACCCCACCAUUACAAGUCAUUAUCAAAGCAAUUUCCUGAUAGAUUCAAAACACAACUUAUGCAUAUCUGUUUGGAAUCCUCUGUUUUUGGAAUGUUUUUCAAAAACUAAUUUUUCAAAUGCAAUAAAUUUUUUUAAAAAGUACUCUAAAAGGUAAUCUAAAAAUUAGUUUAAUUUUUUUUAAAAUUUAAAAAAAAAAUCUCAAAAUAUAUUUUCAAAACUCUUCGACUCUUAAAUAUCCCAAAAUAUUUUCUAAAAAUAUUUCAAAUUAUACUCUAAAAACUCUGCUACAGCAAAGUUUUUCAAAAACAUCCCCAAAAAUAACUAAUCCAAACGGAUCCCUCGGGGGUCAAUGGGUUCGACCGGAUCAGGUAUCGACUCGGCCAAGCUCAGGGGUCAGGGGUCAAUAGGUUCAACCGGAUUCGAUCGGGGUUGAACCGGAUGAUGUCAUAAAUAAAAAUUAUUUAAAAAUUAAAAUAUAGUAUAUAAAAUACCUAAAAGUAUGUUAAUAUUAAUAAAGGUAUAUUCAUAUAUAUUUGAUAUUUCAAAUAUAUUUAACAAGAAAAUACAAAGAAAUUAAAACAAUCAAAUAGCAAUUUAUAUUAUUUAAUGAACAUUAACAAGUUUAGAAUAAAAAUUAUGGAUUUGAUUGAAAAAUAACAUCAAAUUAGGACAACAUUUAUAAAGUAUGAAAUAUUUGAGGUAUAUUAAUAAGUUUUAACAAUUUAGGGGUCAAAACAUAAUAUUGAAAAAGUUUAACCUUUUUUUAACAAAUGCUCUGGUUGAACCGGUUUUUUCUAUUUUUUCCAGUCAAACCCAACUUUUGACCAAAUUUGACCAGGUUUUUAGUCUUCCUAGUUUUGAAGAACAACUCGGACCGGACACUUGACCGGUUCCCGUUUUGACUGGUCGAACCGACCGGUCCGAUCUGAGUUCAAAAACAUAGAUGCAAAACACAGUCAGGCGUAGAGUUGACUCCAAACUAUUUAUCUACACAGAGAAAACUGAUCUCUCCAUCAAACCUGAAUUAUAGUGAUACAGUCGUUUUACUACAUUGUUAUUAUCACUUUAUCCCUUUAAUUAUAGUGAUACAAUCGCUUUAAUCCUUAAUAUUAUUUUCUAGACAUUUUACCCCAUUGUUAAUGUAACUAGUAUGUUCAAAAAUUUUUAAAUGUAUUUACCCCUUUUUUGUAUAUAAUUAAAAAUAAAAAAAAAAGUUGGAAUGGUUAUUCUUCCUUUUUUUCACUCUAAGAGUUUCAAAAACAUAAAAAUAAAAGAGUUUUCUUAAAUUUCUUUUUUCACACUUAUUCAUACUAAGAAAGGAAAAAGAAAUAGGAGAGAAAGAGACAAAAAAUUACAUUUUGCGAAGAAAGAAAAUAAGGAAGAAUCUAAUAUUAUCGUAUUACUUCAACGUCAUCGGGAUUAGGAUUGGAAUUGGGUGGUAAACCGAAAAGUAAAGUAAUUUUAAAAUAAUUAAAACAUUGAAUUCUUUCUUAUUUGUAUUUUUUUUAAAAAAAAGAAUUGAGUUCUCUCUCUCUCUCUCUGCCCCCUAUCUUUCUAAUUUUUUUCAAUAUUAAUAAAAUUGCCAAGAAGAAAGAAAUUAAUGUUUUGACUUUUUGUCUUGAUACUAAAAAGGAAAAAAGCCACUCUAAAUUUUUUAUUAUUUUUAUUAUACAAAGAGGAGGCUGCAUUCUUCUAAAGUUUUUUAACUUCCUAAAUUGGUUUAAUAGUGGGAUAAAUUGCCUGAAAAAUAACUUUAGGGGGUAAAUUAAUAAUGAAGCUAUAGUUAUAUGAGGGUAAAAUGAUAACAAUUUUAAGGGAUAAACAAGUCUUUUCACUUGAAUUAACAGACUCCGUUAGGUUUGAUCAUUAGUGUUGAGAGUAAAGUGACUAAAAAGUAACGUUAAGAGAAAAAUUCAAAUAGCACCAAACGUUAAGGGGUAAAGUAAUAAUAGCUCUCAACUGCUAGAUUUAUUAAGUAGUUAUUCAAGAAGUUAGUCUAGAUUGUAAUAAGAUUUUUCAUAAGUGAUAGAGUCUAUUACUGCCUGCCGCAGUUAAGGUUCUUUGCCUAUUAAAUUUGCAAAAAAAAGUCAUUAUGGAGAGAGAUUUGCAAUCAACAAUAAAUGACCGAGAGCUAUGAGCUGAUAUUAGGUGAUAUUAUUUUUCACUUGCCAUAGCACUAGAACUGUUAAUAACGCUGAAUCAAAUUGACUUCGUUAUAUUUGUCCUACCCAAACUAGGGUUGAGCUUAAUGUGAGAUCAAGCAAGGUUCAAUUUUUGGGCCUUUUAUUGAAGCUCAAUUUUAAAGUGGGUUGAUCUUAGGCAAUCCAAGCCCAGCCAUAUCAAGCUUGGCGGGUUAAGAAAUCUAAAAGUUUUCAAAGUGAACCAAGUUUAGGCUACGAAAGGUUCAGCCAUAUCUAGUCUCGGCCCAUUUGGUACAAAUUCGGUUAUUCAGUUAUUUGAAUUUGAUUUUUUUGAUUAUUUCACUUGUAAAACUCUAAACUGUUUUCAAUUUUGAAUUAGGAAUAACCGAAUUCAUUCGGUUACCAAAUUGAAUUCGGAAACGAUCAUGAAAUCAGUCAUAACCGAAUUGGAUAGUAAUUUACACAUAAUUAAAAUGGGACCCACUUGUGUAGUUGUAUACACUUAGUCACUUAUAAUUUACUGAUUAUGUGUUGCAUUACACUUACAUUUAUUCUUAUUUUUUAUAUACUUUAAAUGCUUUAUUCACAAAUAACUUGAUUGCUUUCAAUGGUGAAAGCUAAUACACUAAUUUGUUGACAUGUAAUUCAUAUACAUUCGCUUAGACUGCUUAAUCAUAGUGCUUAGUUGUCUACGUUUAAACAAGAUUAGUAAUUAGAGAACAUUAAUUCACAUAUUAUUUAUGUGAUGUAAUUUUAGAGUAUACCAAUGCUUGUAAAUUAAAGGUUACACAUUUAAAUAUUUAAUAAUCCAAACAUGAAUGAUGAACCAAUAUCUAAAUUCUAAUUAUUAAAUAUGUGUAAUAUUUACUACUAUACUUAUACUUAUUAUCUAAUUCUAGUUAUGUAUAAAAGGAUAAGUAUUAUAGUUAUUAUUAUUAUUGUAUAUUUGUAUUAUUAUAAUCAUAUAACAAAUACUAAAAUAGUAUAUUGUACAUCAUUAUAUAUUUUUAUUAUUAAGGUACAUGAUUGUACUAUAUACUAUCUAUUAUUAAUAGCCUUUACCUAUGUAAUAUAUUAAUACUAAUAGCAUUUACCUAUAUAUUAUACAAUUUUAUAAACUAAUUUGGUAUUCGAAUGUGGUAAUAUGAUACCCUAUUUCAUUUUAUCGAAUUUGAAUUCGAAAUUGGUUAUUACCAAAUUGAAAAUCUCAUUACUUAUUUCAUACUACAUUAGAAUUUGGCGAAUUUGGUAAAUACCGCUUUUGUAUCAAAUUACCGAAUACCCGAUUUCAAAAUACUAAAUUGAAUUUAAAAUCGAGUACGAAUUUGGUACGUACCGAAUUUGCUCACCCCUAAUUGUGUUGAUGUAUACAUUUCUUUAUCUAAAUCCUAUAGUAAUUUGUAUAUCCGUAGGCUGUAAGGUAACACAUAAAGAACAUGUAUCAAUGUAAGAUUAUUUUUACUGAAAUGCUCAAUUUUAUAAUCUAAAUUGCAAGUCCUAUACAAUUCAACUUAAUAUAGCCGGAGGAGGGAGUGUAAGUGAGAGGUUUCGAGUUCACGACAUUCCACUUACACUUAAAAAAAAAUUUAAUCAGGCCAAUUGUAAUAAAAAAUUUUAUUUAAAGCUUUUCAUUUAAUGAUGUAUUUUACAUCUAUUAGUAGAUCAAUUAGAGUAAAUACUAUAUUUUCUCAUUGCAUCAUUGAAAUUAUGAGAGAUUGCUGGUUAAAUCCAUAAAAUUAAUGAAAAUUCAAAUUUAAAGAUUGUAAAGCAUGAGUGAACUUGGGCUAGCCCAAAUUCAGCAUGUUGAUGAAAAGGAAAGACACGUUUCCAAGGAAAAAUCCAAGGAUAAAGAAAAAAGGCCACAGGACUACAUUAAACUAACAAUUUGACCAGUAACAACAACACCACAAAAAAGAUUGAUCUUAUGAAUUUGCAGCAAAUAUUUAGAUAUCCUGCUUGCUGUUUUAGAUAACAUAGUUUAAGAAAAAAAAUGCACUGGAGCUCAAUUGUAGAAAUUAUUAAGUUAAACUAGCUAGUAUAUUAGUCUGCCAUUUUAUCUGGUACUAGGUUGCAUGUUUAAGAGUUUGAAGGACAAAUCCACUGCAAAGUUUUCACUGGAAGUACUAGUACUCCUGAGUCUUCCAUCUGCUCUAUUUCUAAAGACACAGAGCUACACAGGGGUGCCGUUGACUCAUCAGGAGAACUACUAUUGUUGUUUCUUUGCAUGGAUAUGGGUGAAUCCACAGGGUAAAACAAUGGUUCAGGAGGCAACUUUAGAUCACUAGCAUCACCUUCAAGCAUUUCUAAAACUUCUCUCAUCGAAGAACGAUCCUCAGGUGUCAUCUGUAUGCACCACAAGGCAAUCAAAAUUAAUUUUCGUGUAAUUGUCUUUUCUUCUUCAGUUGCAUGAUCUCCGAUUUCCAUUUCCUCCACUUGAUCGAAUUUGUCAUAUAUCCAUGAAGGGAAGUAUAUUUGACUAGAAUGCUCAGCAUGAGCAUCCACAUUUCUCCUCCUCCCAACCAUCUCCAUUAUUAACAUUUCAUAGCUGUAAACGUCUGUCUUGUGUGAGACUCUUCCAAUCUUUUUGUAGAACAACUCCGGGGCCAUGUAACCUAAAGUUCCUCUCGCAGUAGUAAGAGUUGCAAUACUCUUUUGCAUCGGGUAAAGUUUUGCAAGUCCAAAGUCCAAAACUUUUGGAACAAAGUUCUCAUCAAGUAAGACGUUAUGCGGUUUAAUAUCAAAAUGCAGAAUUUGCAUAUCACACCCCUGAUGCAAGUAUUCGAUGCCACGAGCAAUCCUCUUUGCAAUCUCACAAACUUGUUUCCAACUCAAUGGAGAACCAUUCUGACAAUUUGAGAAAAUUAACUUGUCCAGAGAGCCAUUUGGCAUGUAAUCAUACACUAGAGCAUGUUUUGAGGCAGUAACACAAAAUCCCACUAACCGAACCACGUUCACAUGGUGUAUUCUUCCAAUAGCUGCAACUUCAUUGAUGAAUUCUUGGCCAUUAGCUUUUGAUUUGUUCAGCAUCUUGACAGCAACUAUGUGACAACCCCACCUUUUCCUAGGGCGUACUCUAAGGGUUAGCGGACUGCCUGCCCAACUCUCGCUAGGACUACUAAGCCGAAAGCACGAUAACCGAACCAUAUAGUGCUGUAGAGUUUCGUUUAAAUGCUCCAAUGAAAAUGAAAAGGACCGCGGCCACGUCAAAAUCCAGCCAAAACUUGGCCGGAUUCCUAGCCGGAUACAAGGCAAAGAACAAAUCAAUUUUUUUUGACUUCCCCUACUAAUCCAGCCAUGUAUCCGGCCAAGAUCUGGCCGGAUUCCCUUGCAGUGGAUUCCCGCCAAAACUCUUUUCUUCCUCGUUCAAGUUCUGCACUAGCCUGGUUUAACCAACAAAUACUAAAUAAAUUCACAUAACCAUAGAAACUUGCCCUCUCAACUAAUAUAUGAAAUCAUAUGCUUGUAUAAAUAUAUACAUUGGAGUUAUUACAAGUCAAAACAUUACAUUAGAUCAAAAUACAAUUAGGGUUUACUAAUACAGAGGAGUUUAACAAAAGAAUAUCUAUAACUAGCUCAACUCUUAUCUCCAAAAUCAUGGUCUCAAAAUAUUGUACCCUGUAAGGAAAACAAAUGUAACGAGGGUUGAGCUUUCGCCCAAUGAGGUACCAACAAGUCAAGCAAUCAGGAAUCACGGAAGUACACUUGGGAUCAAUUAAAUAGAGACAUCAAAUAGAUAGAAAGGAACAUCACAGUUAAACCAGGAGUAAAGGAUACAGAUGACUCUUAAGUGCCAAUUUCCCCUUUUCAUUACUUGAUCCAAGCCCGUUGACCCUCUGUCAAUGUUUGAAGAUACGACCAUGACUGUAGACUCUACUUUACACCAAUUUCCAUCCACCAAACGUACCCCUUGCCAGGACCGAACACCACACAGGAACAGAGAUGGUAAUACUCGAGUAUACCGAUUAGUCGAAAAGAUAACACUCUACUCGACAAAACAGAAGACCCAGGAUUCGUUACCUAAUCGACCAGGCCCUUGCCGAUCGACUCGAGUAACUAGCCACAGGGUUUGACCUCAGAGGUCCCAGCAGGGUCGUUAGAUACAAACCUCCAAACGACAUCAAAUCAUAUACAAGUAACAGAUUCAAACGUAUACAGUAACCACAACAGACAGACGAGAGAAACGAGUGUGAUAAAGUACACCCCCAUUUCGUUCAGAAUAAACAGAAGUCACAGAUUGCAUGUACAAGUAAACCAGUUAAACAACCAUUCAUUCGAGUGGUACACUCACCAGUCAAGCAAAAUAACUUCACAAGUUUCGUCCUGAAGUACGCCCUUGAUCACCGACACGUCCUAGAACAACCAAGGAAAAACAAUUGAGACUCAAUUACGAGUCGUACCUAUCUAAAUGAAUUACUAAUGCAAAGCAAAAGUGCGGCUUUGGAGUGAAAAGGUAACAGUUGGUUGAUAGGUCAUAAUUUGUUGCUAAAUUUAUUAUAUUUAUAAUUAUUCUUCCCUUGAUUUUAGCCAAAUAUUGUUGUAACUGUCGGAUUCUACUUAUAUUUGGUUAAUGGUGCUAAUUGUAGGAAAAGGAGCAAACUAUGAUUAAAAGUGGCAAUUUUUCAGUUAAUUUGAUGGUGGCACGUUCGGGGCUGGUUUCCAAGUCCAAGUCGAAUUCAAGGCAAUUUUUGAAGGAAGAUUUUGAAGAUUUUAAUCUUCAUUAUUAGUCUUAGUGUUGGAUUAGGGAACUUGGAAUAUUAUCUUAGUAGUUUCCUUUUUCUAUUUAGGAAACAUGCGGUGUUAUUGGUAGUAGAGUCCGAAUAGGAAACAAAAAAGAAGAAGGAAAAGCCGGAUUCCCACGUAAUCAAGAGUUGGCCAGCAACAAUCUCGCGGGAAGGAAUUGAUUAGUUUUCGACUGCAAGGGAAGCAAAAAGGGAGCCGUCACUUGCUUGGGCUAAUUCGGCUUGUUUUCAUUAGUUUUAGAGGAAAACCAAUUGCAACCAGAUUCCAUGGAGUCUGGUGGAAUUUCUUCUAGGAUGCGUAGCUAAAUCUCCAUUUUCUAGUCAAGGGUUAAUUUGAAGAUGCGGUUCCAAAUAUUUGUGAGAUCGAAUUAUUUUACUUAUUUCUUUUAUUCAUUGGUAUUUGUAUGUUUUCUGGUUUAAUUGCUUAUGGUUGUUUCGUUAUUUGAAUGUCAAGGACCCGGUAUUCGAAUUAACCUAAUAAUCUACUGUCAUAUUAAUUGAUUGAAUCCGUAAUUGUUCUAUUGAUUAAUACCAGUGGCGACUAGCGUGAUUGGUUUCAUGUUAAGAAAAUGUAUGAUCUAACUUAAACGAACCCUCGUAGCGUGUUUGUUAGUUAGGGCUGGCCUUUUCUAAUUCCUAUUGCAAUCGAAAAAUUAAAUCCUAUGGUCGUACCUAAGUUUAUUUCUUGGUUAGGGAAAUAGUUAAUGGUCGUACGUUGACUAUCGAAAAAGUAAGGGAAGGCUGGUUGUUUAUCGCGUGUAUGACAACUAUAACCAAUCUAUUAAUGAGUAAUUGAAUUAUCUUUGCAUCAAUGAUCAGUUGAAUGGAACGUUUCUGAAAAGUUGCAAAUUUGACUAGAGUCGUAUUGAUUAUUGAUUAAUUCCUGUUUAUUUCCAUUAGUUGGUUAAUUAGUUAUUUUAUAUUUUUCAAAACCCCCCAUGCUUUGAACUCUAGAAAAAACGAAUUAUCUCUAGUCCCUGUGGAUUCGACCCUGUUCACCGCUAAUUACAAAAUUUGUAUUUUUCUUGAAUAGGUAUUUAUUAUUGCACAGGCUCGACAACCUGUCAUUGGUCCUAAAGACAUGUACAACCCCAAAGCCCUUUAUUUCUACCCAAAAUCAACCCAACUUAAAGGAGCCAAAUGGACUCAAAAUUUGGACAGCACUAUCCCUUAAAUUCCUUUACUUUUCUAUCCUACAAUCAAUACCAAAGUUCAUCCAAAAAGUCUCAAUUGCACAUACAAAUCACAAGCUAUUAAACACACUUAAUUAGGGUCACAACACCCUUCAAUUAUAGCCAAUUGAUUGCUCCAAAACCCAACCACAAUCAAGUCAAAUUUAGAAACCCUAAUCUGAAAUUUAGACACCCAAGCUGGAAAUUUCUUUAUUCAAAGGAAACUAGCACAUAAAACCUCAAUAAUUCAUAUAGCAAAGCCAUCAAAGCAUGGACAACCCUCAAACAUCACAUAUGAGCAGAAUUUUUACCAUAAAACUGAAAUUUACCAUAACAUUACUCCAAACCAUGCAAUUUUCUCAAAAAGUCACCAAAACUACAACCUUAAGCCACUAAUUUGCACAUAAAUGAAAGAAAAGGAAGUUUCUUGCCAAAGUACCUUGUAACCUCAAGAAAGAUGGUAGCUUAACACUUUUCCCUCCAAAAUCACUCCAUCAACACCUCCAAUCCUCCUUAGUAAGCAACUUUUGUGGAGUAGUUUGCAAUAUUGAUGGUUGGAAUUCAAGAUUGUAGCAAGAAUACAAGAUGAAGUUCUCUCCCUUUCUCUCCCUCAAGAAGUUCAGCCAAGCAAGAAGGAAAAAUAAGGAAACUUUGGUUAAUAUUUGAUUUUUAAUAAAGUUAAGUAACCUUGGUCAAAGUCCAUCUUCAAAUAGUUUCAUGACACAUGGCCUCUUGAGGUUUAAUCUCAUCUUCUCACUUCCAAUGGUUACACCAUAUAACUAACCUCUAGCACCUUAUAAAAUAAUAUCCCUUUAUGCAACUUCACCUAGUUAUCAAAAAUUUAUCGCACUUAACGCACUAACGGAUCCCACAUCCAAUAUACACUACUAAUGUCACAUGAACUAACUUAUACUAGAAAAUAAUUUAAAAACUUGACUCCCUUAUAAAAUAUCUAGAAAAUGAAAAUACUAAAGAAAAAUAUAGAAAAUGUAUGCAAGGAAAUAAAAUAAUGACAAAAAAUUUAAAAAAUUUAAAAAAAAUUUCGGAUCCUCACAAACUGCCCCUCCACUACGCAAUUUGCCUUUGCAAACCAAACCAUAGCCUCCUUCACCUAGUUUCUCCUCAAAAUUGUUUGUCAUUGUCUUUAUUUCUUUGUAUGAGUACCUAAUGGGCAUGAGGUUGUUGUUUGCUUGUUGGAAAUCUUCUAUUGUAUCAUGCCUCGAUAAAUGCCUUCGACGACACCGACAAAGGAGGAAAGGAAACAAGAGGAUAAUGCCAAUGGCAUGUUUUGCUGCAAUAAGCAGAACUGAAAUAGAAGAAGAGAAAAACAAGACUUUGCUAUGAUUAACUGACUUCUAGUAUAUUCCAAUAGACAGAGUUUUCAACUAUAAAUCAGAGGCCUUACCCGAAACUAAGCCACCAAUACCAAUGUAAGCUGCUUAUAAAAGAAACUUUAAAGGAUUGUAAUGGAAAUAUUGAAAUAGAAAGAAUCUGAUUGAUUAAGGAAUGGUUUUUCUGUAAAUCAAUGAAGUAAGAUUACUCACUUCCAUUUGGGCCAACGAUAAAUGGGCCGACGAGACCGUAGAUUUCUACCAUUUCGCCUAAGUACAGGUCAAUGUCAAUUGGAUGCUUGAAAAUCAACUUUUAUUAAUUACAGCUGUAUAUUUCACACUCAUGUGCGUACAAGUUUUUUUUUUUUUUUUUUUGAGCAAUUGUGCGUACAAGUUUCAAAUUACUACGACAAUAUAUUCAAAGUAAAAUUUCAAUAAUUCAUAUGUUUGUUGGGAUCAUAACACAAAUAAGCUUUUUCAACCCACCCUUCUGUCUAAAAUCCAACUAUUCUAAUUUGACUAUGUUCCCAUAUAUUUUUGUUUGCUAAAAAGAAUUUGCAGCAACAAAUAAAGACAAAAUAGCAGUAGGUUUCUGGUAUUCUGAUUCCCCAAAAAAAAUAAAAGAAAAAAAGAAAAAGAAAAAAGUCACAUCAUCAGUUUCUGAAUUAAACCGAUGAUCUAGAGGGAAUUGAGGUAGGUGCGGUUGUGUACUAUUAUUGUAUUUCUUGCAUAUUUUGGUGUACAUUUACAUUAUCUUAUUGCACACAUGAAUUCUGUAUUUUAUUAGUUGCUAUUGAUUGUGGACAGCAAAUGUUGGAAGAAGUAUAACAGUUCGUCUAAGUAUAAAGUAAUUACUAUAAGAAAGCAUAUAAUAACUGACAUACUCAUACCAAACAAAAAACAUACAUGCCUCAUGUUCAAUUUAAUGUUUGUAAGUAUUUCAUAUUGAAAUCAAAUAAAACAUGUGAUAACAGUUAUUUCUAUGGACCCAUCAUUCAUUUCUAAUAUAAAUUUCUAUUAUUAUUUCAAGAUACAUCUUCCACAAAAAUGCAGUUUUUGAAUGAUGUAAUGCAGUUUUUGAAUGAUGUACACAUUUUAUCAUACUUUAAACUAUUGCUAGACAAAUCUUAGAUUUUAAUUAUGUUAGUACAAUCUUUUUACUUUUUUUUUUAAAUUCACCCUCUCUUUUAAUUUCUUUCAAUAAUCUUAGCACCAUGUGUGGCACGGGCAUUCACACUAGUAUAAAUCUAAUGGAAGGUAAUAAUUAUUAGUAUGUGUAUAUAUAUGGUAUGUUAGAUAAAUGUUAAAUGUGUUAACGAGUGCUCAUAGGUUAUCCAUUACAAAAACUCAAUUUCAUAUUCUACCCUCUCUUUUUUUUGUAAGUAAAAGGAUUUGAAUCCAAGACCUCUUACUUACAACCGCUCUUACCUUAUUAUUUGAUACAAUCCUUCCACUAUAAAAUCAUCCGGUAUGUCAUUACAUUUCUUUUUUGAUCUCUAAAUCAAAAUACUUCAAAAAUUAUGUUCUAUUGACAAUUUUUUGGCAUUCAAUUUGUAAGAAAUAUUUGAAUGGUGAAAAAUAGGUCAAAAUCAUAACAAAAUUAGUAAUGAUUGAUUAGAUGGCAAAGCUUAGUCAAUUGCAUAUGAAAUUUUAUGUGUAACUAACAAAAGUGAUAAAAUCCAUUCUGAACAGUGUUGAUUUUUAAGAAUAAUUUCUAAAUUCAUUUUAUAGAUGUGUAAUAGAUAGAAAAUUUUCAAGUACAAUGAAGAGGAACCUAGUCUGAACACCUCCAGACCUAAACCAAAAAAAAGAAAAAAAGAAAAAAAAGUCACUUCAUCAGUUUCUAAUUGAAACAAAUGACCUAGAGGGAAUCGGGGCAGAUGCAAUUGUGUAACGUUAUUAUAUUUCUUGCAUAUAUUUACAUUAUAUCAUUUUGCACAUGAAUUUUUCAUUUUAUUAGUUGCUAUUGAUUGUGGAUACCAAAUGUUAUAACGGUUUAUCUACGUAUACUCUAAUUACUGUAAGAAGUAUAAUAACUAGACACAAUCAUAUACCAAACAAAAAAUGUACCUGCCCCACGUUUUUGGAGAAGAUCUUAAUAAAUAGCCUUUAGUAAAUGUAAUACGUAAAAUAAUCAAGUAUGCGCAUUUAUUAGAUGGCAAGGUCCUGCACAAAGUAGUGAUAUUUGAUAAUGCAAUUCAUUACAUGAAUGAUGUAUUGAAUUUUGGCUUGGAUCAAAUAAAAAUUAAGAAAAGAAAUCUACUUGAAUCUGGAAAAUGAAAGGAUCCUACUCAACCAAAUUCACCUAUACUCUCCUUUCAUUUUUGGGGAAGAUGAGUCGCUACCAAAGAGUGGAGUAAGAGUUGCACCAUUAAAAGGAAAUUCUUUUGAUUUACUGAUUGAAGGAAAUUCUUACCAUAAUAUUUCAGUUAGAUUUUGUAGUAUUUGCAUUUCCAAGCAAUUUCAUACUGAGCUCCGUAUCCAUUGAUAUUUAGGACGAAGAUGCAUUUAUUUUAUUGUACCGGAAAAUUCUACUGAGUAUGGAAAAUAUAGCUGGGUAAUUCACUAAAAUGUAGUUGUAACUAAUACUCUAACCAUUCUUUACUAGUAAAACUAGUGCUAAUAUAGUGAGUAUUGGUGUACAAGAAGUUUCUUAUGAUCAACAGAACAUUUGAUCACAAUGAUCACAAUAAAAAGUAUUGUAUCAUUUAGUAGCUGAUUGUUACAGCAAAACUAACUCUUUCCUCUAAUUCUUUAGACCUCUUUCUUCUUUUUCCAUAACAAAGUCACAUGUUACAGAUAACACAGAGGACUUAGCAAUUACCACUUGUAACUAAUUGCGGCUUAUAAUUUUCAAAAGAAAAAAAAAAUCAACUAAUUGUGUCAUUGAUUAAAAAGGUAUUUUAGUUCCACACUUGCAUUGGAAUAAAAAUGCCAACACUACAUUGGCUAAUCCAUGAAUAGUAAUCCCAAUCUCAAUUACAAAUUCAGGAAAAGUUACACCCUUAUGAAUUUUGCAUCUCCCAAUUCCCAUAUUUCACGUUUUUCUUUCUUUUUCUUUUUUUUUUUCCUCUUUUAACUUUUAGAGGCUCGAAAUUCUAUUGACCUGGAAGGCUUUCACAUUUCCACUAUAGAACCGCAGGAUUGAGAUAUAUAUUGUUUAUUGGGAUCCACUCAUAAAAUGAUGGACAUUGAUACCUGAUUAUCGACUUGAAUUCUGAGGGAACCAUUUGUAUGCUGGUUAAUUCUGCACUUGUUGCAGAUUUGAUCUCAUGAUUAAUAAAAUUAUUCUAUUUUAUUAUUAAAAAAAAUUCUGAGGGAAGUAAAUCGGGAUUUGAAUACUGAGUCCUUCAUUGUUCUUAUUAUUUUCCAAUUUACUCCUCCUGUUGUUAAUGUUGCAGAAUAGUCUUUUUCCUUGUGAGCCCCAAUUGAUGGCAACAUGAAAUUCUAGUCGAGUAAAUCUAAAAAAUUUUAAAAGGGAAAAAAUUUCAAAUUUUUUUUUUUAUAAUAGAAAAAAUCUCAAGACUUAGAUGGGGUCUUUCACAAUUCGCACGCUAAAUGUCUUAUUGAAAAAUGGGUCCGCCUAAUAUGAAGUACAAUCAUAUAUAUAUAUAUAUAUAAUAACGUCGUAUCCUAAUACUUAUCCCUUCAUAUUUUUUCUUUUCUACGUGGUUUAACGAGACGACAAGUAGUUUCCUACGUGGCUUGCUCCUUUUUUAUUUGAAUAUAUAUCAAUUCUUAUUUUUCUAUAAAAAUUCUUAAUAUUAUAUGAUUCUUAUUUCCUACCCAAAAAAGGAAUUAGAAAGUAAUGCGAUAUAAAUAAAAGAGAUAUAAAUCUCCUCUAUUAGAUAUAUAGGAAUAAAUGAUAAUAUAUUUUUUUAUAGUGUCCUAUUCUUUUUUUUUUUUAACAGCUUCAUCAUAGAUCCUUUUUAUUUUAAGAUAAUCUACAUAUAUAUAGAACAACAUACAAACAAUCUAGACAUGAAAAUUAAAGAAAGUUAGCCCAAGAAAGUUUUUCAAGACUCACAGUCCCCAUGCAUAAUUGAAGUACAAAGAGAAAUGGCACUUCAUCUGAUUGAAAAUUUCUGGAAAAGUCCAUAAAGAAAAUGGAGUGUCAUCAACCAAAGAAAUAAAAUCCCAUUAUCAUAGCUAAAGAAAGAUGAGAUAAAACAUUAGGUAUUUGUUGAAGUUUUGCACCCCGAAGGCCCCUACCCGACCCUUCGUCCGUAGUGUCCUUCAAUCCAAGAGAAAGGCCUCCGUCCGUAGUAUCCGUAGUGUCCUCCGCCCGUCUUUUUUUUUAAUAUAUUUCUGCUAAUAAUUCCUUAAUCACAAUACAUCUCUGCUCAGAUGGUGGGGAGUAUUUCGUGUGUGGACACACAUCAUAAGAGUCCAUGCACUUAAAGGACUCGAUAUAGUGGAAGUGGUCUUUUAAGGUCGGUAAAAUUUAUCUUGAUAACGCAUUUGUAAAUUUAUUACGUACAGGUUUAUAUACGUGCAUAGUACGGGUCACAUAAGGUCUUAUUUCCUACCCAAAGUUAUUUGGACGAUUAUGGUUUUUUUCCUAUAAGAAUUCUUAAUAUUAUAGGAUUCUUAUUUUCUACCCAAAUUUACGUGCUUUAAGCAACUUAAAUUAAGAUAAACAUACUUUUAAUGUUCUUAUCAAUAUCUCUUUGUAACCUUAUCAAUUCUUAUUUCCUAUGCCUACACUACAUAUAGCCUCUAAUAUAUUGAUUUCAAGCAUCAAAUUCAUGGUUAGGUAUUUUCAGGGCAAGCGGUUGGCAUAUUAAAGCAUCGAUUUUGGGUUUCCAUUCCUCUUGAUUUUCAGGUACGUCUUCUUUCAAUAUAUAUAUAUAUUUUAGAAAGGCAUGUUGAUCUUCAAUUGUAAGAGCUUAGUAACAUAUCUUGAAUUUUGUUUUUUUGUUUUAUUUUCUAUUUGUUUUGUAUGAAGACAUGGAUUUAAACAAGUACUUUCAUCGUUAUUUUUGUAGGAUUUUUUCUAACAUGUUUGUUAAUUGAUUUUUGUUAUCAUAUACUACGAUGUUUGUUAAUUUGUCUUCAGGAAAAACAACCAAAAACAAAAGGCACUGGAAAGUUAUGCGAUAUAAAUACAAGAGACAUAAAUAUCUCUAUUAGAUAUAUCUGCAAAUUCAUUAGUUAAUUAAAAGACUAUGGCCGUUUACUUAAUUAUAAUCUUUAUGUAUUGUUAUACACAACCUUGAAUGCGAUAAAUCAUUUUUUUUUUUAUACUUAGUUAUCCUACUUUGCUAUCAUGCAAUGAUAAUGAAAAAUCAAUAAAUGCUGAUUUGCAUGGACAAAUCGAGGAGAAUGUUCAAACAGAAAAAAAUAAAAACAAGUUUCUAAAGAGUAGAAUGUUAUUUGAUAUUAUUUACUGCACUUUUUAUUUAUUUUUAAGUUUUUGAAUAUUAUGGUAUUGUUGAAUGUUAUUUUUUCUAUUUUUGAAUUAUUAUUCACUGAAUUAGAUGUUCAAAUUUAUAUUAUAAGAAUACUUUACAUUACAAUGCGCACAUAGUAAUAUACUUAAGACAAGUUAUAAUAGAUUAUACAUUAAAUAUGUAUUUAUAUCGACAUUUUUAUAAAUUGACUAAAUAGUUUAUUAUUUUUCGACGAUUCCCGUUCAACGAACGGAUACAAAACUAGUUAGUAAUAAUAUUGGCAUAGUAAAGAAGAAUUUCUCUAUAACAAUUAACGAACUCUGAAUACACACUCUUCCCCGAAUUCUUACACGCCCAAUCUAGACUGCUUUCCUUCCUUCAGGGAAACUCUUGAUCCUUUUUUUACUUUUUAUCUUUUGAGGUAGUCCCAUGUAGACUUUAAAAGUCGAUGGUCUUUGUACGAAAUUCAUUAGUUCUUUUUUAAUUUUUUUAAUAUAAGUGGAAGGUUUCGAAUCUGAAACCUCUCAUUUCGAGAACUUAUAAUUAAACUCUCUUAAUAUAAGUGGAAGGUUUCGAAUCUAAAACCUCUCAUUUCGAGAACUUAUACUUAAACUCCCUCAUUCCGUACAAUCCAACCCAUCCUUCUCCCUAAAUUCACCGUUGUUUUGCUUGUUAGCCUCAAUUGAUGGUAAGACCAAACUUUACUAGAGCAGUUUGCUACCUAAAAACUUUUUUUUUUUUUUCCCUCCUUCCCUCUUAAUUGCUCAGAAGUAGAGGUCGUGAUGAUAACGUAUUAUAAAACUAAUACCAAUCUACAAUUGGUUGGUAAUACUUUAUGUACUAAUUGAAUAUUGAACUAUAAACUAGUAGAACAAUAUAAAGAAAUUGUAAACUAAUAGAACAAUAUAGAGAAAUUGUAAAAGUAAACAAGAAAUAAGAACUAUUCUUCCAUUUACUCAAAUAAACUUGAAUUCUCUGUCACUUUGAUUGAUAUAUAUGUAUGAAACGGAGAAGGGGCACUUUGCUUGGCAAAGAGAAUAGGACCUCAGGUCUCAAAUAAGCCAAAAUCAAUUUAUUGAAUAUCUCUUUCAGAACUAGGCCUUAUUACCAGAGUUACAUGCUGUGACAUAAAAUACAGGAAAAUAUGUAGCAAAUCAAAUUCAAGAAAAUAAAUUGAUCUGCCAACCUGGAUGUGGCCUUUCACUAACCAUAUCAAAGUACCAAACUUGAUUUUUUUUUUUCGUAUUUUCCUCCUUAAGGGAGUCUAGUCUAGACUUUUGAUUAUUUCUUUUAAGCAGUCCAACAUAGAUUUACAAUUGAAGACUUUAACCCCAAAAAAAGAAAAAGAAAACAAAAGGAAAAUCAGUCAGGUAAUGAGUCUAUUAAUACAUACCUUAUAUUGUAAAUUUAGAGCCACAUCAUUAUGGUGAUGUAUGAUGAACAAAAAAUAGUUAUAAGAAAUGAUCUUUAUUUUAAUGAAAAACACAAACAAUAUUAUGAUAACUAGUGUAUUCGAUAAAAGAAUAAAAAGAUAUCUGAUGAGAAGCUAAUUAGUUCACUUGAAAAUAUCAAGAUCAGGUUUAGAAAAGUGGUUCACUCUUUCUUUUCCCCUUCAUAAUUUUUGAGGCCCAAUUACAAACUUAUGACCUUUGAAUCAAACCGGUUCUUAUUGUAAUUAAGACGUCAGCUAUUGAAUGCCUAGGAACCUUUUGCUUUUGCAGGUGGAUGGAUGCCAGUUUAACGUACGUCGUCGGACAAAUUUUCUGGACAUAACGGAAACGGUCGUCCUGUUAUUGGAUGAAUUUAUGAUUUUUAUUGCACACAGGGAAAAAAUGUAGGAGUACCUGUUAUUUUCUUAAGGAGUAGUUAACUUUAAUUAAAAAUCACAGAUAAAAUAAGAAUCGUCUCGUAAUCGUCCGGAAGUGUUUAAUUUUUGUGUUGUUAUCAGUGACACAAGUGAGAGUAGGGUCCUUAAUACGCGGGCCACUUUUGGGGUGCUGCUCCCACCAAUUUUGACUAUGAAGCAUUCAGCAUAAUUACUAAUUUACUAAAUCAAUAAAAUGCGAGAAUGACAUGAGCAGAGAUCCACCUCGCUGAUGGAAAUACUGUUUUUUCAUUCGUGAUUUUUUUAUUGCAAAUAUUCAAAAUUGUUCACACCAUUCUAGAUUCGCGAUUAUUUACAGAUAUUCAAAAUUACUGUUACUUGCAAAUACUUAGUUUAUUUAUCAUUGCGUGGCUUUCAAACAUUAAUGUCCCAUGAAAAUUAGACCUAUUGCCCGCAAGAGUUGUAUUGUUGACAAUAUACACGAAUUAGUCACAAGCAAUGGACUGCACAUCCAAUUUUUUUUUGUUUGGUCAAAGUCUCUUGCUGAAAAUAAAAUUAAAAAAAGAAUUGUAGAAAUAUACUUACCUCAUGGAAAUAUCAAAGGUCCCUCGCACAUAAAAAAGUCCAAUUAAAUGCCAAAUCGGGUCACUUGGGAAUUGGGGCCACUUAUUGGAGAAACGUUUUUGGCCGUUGUUGACUAUUUCUUCCUUUGCUUCUUCCUGAACCCUUCCUCGUCGACAGGGGACACGACAGUGGUGAUUGUCCCCCCUAACUUUUAAGAAAUCAUAUUUGUUACCUACAACAUUUUAUAGAAUUUUGCUUUAAUUUCUAAUUUUUUUCCCCGUCAAUUUUUUUUUUUUAAAACUCUAGAGUCCCGCCUCCACCUGUAGAAAUUUUUUUUAAUUUCUAAUUUGUAGUAUUAAAAAUUAAAACUUUUACUUCUUAAUUAACAUUUUAAGUAUAAAAAGCUACACAUUUUAUACCCUAAAACUACUUAAACUUGACGUAUUUAUAACUAAAUAUGCCCCCCCCCCCGGCUUUCUCCCGCGAAAUCCUGACUCUGGCACUACUUAUCAUCAACAUUUUCUUUGGAAAGAGGAUCAGCCAUUGAUUAGUUUAACUUUCAUCCGUUUUUGCGCUUGCUUCCCAGAAUCGUAGUUUAGCCAUUGCAGUUUUAGCCAUUACACAUGAGUCCCUUGUUUGUUUGUAGAAACUCUUCUACUGCAUCUACAAAUGCCUUCAGUUACAUCUAAAGAUUAGACAAGCAAAUAAAAGUACACCACCAAUGGCGCUUCUUGCUGUAAUGAUUGCUUCAAAGAGUCAGAUCGAUACAACCCCCCAUAUGAGUUCAAAGCCAUUUGCCAGCGAAUUAUGGAUUUCUUGAAAUGAGAUUUCCGCCGUUAUGCUGGAGAGACACAGCAGCUCUAAGGGAACUAUUUUAAGAAUGGUAUACUGUUUUAUUUUUUGGGAUACAAUAAAUCUACUUCUACUCUAUAAUAUAAUAUGAGGAGGAGAGUGACACAACCGAUUCAAAUGAAUGGCUACGCAGCAGCCGUUGGCGAAACAUUUUAGAUGCGUAUGAGAAGAUUGUAAAAUGAUUUCGAUUGAUGCGUAGUAGUAACAUUUUGAAGGCCAAAUUGUCAUUAACCAGGCAGUUGAUUUAGCCUCCAGCUAAGGAUUACAAAUAAUUACUGCUCAUUUAUUUAAGGUACAGUUAAAACCUUAUAAUUUAUCACUCGUCAUUAAUUAUGUACGUACGUGCUGACGUGGUUCCGAAUGAAUGCAAACAUAAUAACGCAUGUUGAAAAUGCAAGUUGACCACGUCACGGACUAAAAUAUUCAAGGUUCCGACUCCAAGGUAACAAUUUCUGUUUUUGAACAACCCUAGCCUGGAUAAAGAUCAAUAAUGAGUCUUUUUCUUUUAAUCAUCUUUUUUUUCUUUUUAAUGAUCAAUGGACAGCAAUUAUAUGUUAUUCAUAUAUUCUUAUUUUAAAAAAAAUUAUCGUAUUACUCCAAUUGCUACUAUGAUUUCCUUAUACUCUUAGAGUAUGAGACUUUGAUCAAAUAGAGCCGAUUAGAAAAUCGAUCUUAGCGUUGCUCUCUCUUAAUCAAUAGGUGGAUUAAUAAGUUCGAAGUCUAUUACCUAAUAAGUCUAGCCAAAUCAUGAUUCAAAAUUGUUCACACCAGUCUAGAUUCGGGAUUAUUUACAGAUAUUCAAAAUUACUAUUACUUGCAAAUACUUAGUUUUAGUUAUCAUUGCGUGGCUUACAAACAUUAAUGUCCCAUGAAAAUUAGACCUAUAGCCUGCUGGAGUUGUAUUCUUGACAAUAUACACGAAUUAGUCACAAGAAUGGAUUGCAGAUCCUUUUUUUUUUUUUGGUCAAAGUCUCUUGCUGGAAAUAAAAUUAAAAAAAGAAUUGUAGAAAUAUAGUUACCUCAGGGAAAUGUCAAAGGUCCCUCGCACAUAAAAAAGUCCAAUUAAAUGCCAAAUCGGGUCACUUGGGAGUUGGGGCCACUUAUUGGAGAAACGUUUUUCGCCGUUGUUGACUAUUUCUUCCUUUGCUUCUUCCUGAACCCUUCCUCGUCGACAGGGGACACGACAGUGGUGAUUGUCCCCCCUAACUUUUAAAAAAUCAUAUUUGUUACCUACAACAUUUUAUAGAAUUUUGCUUUAAUUUCUAAUUUUCCUCCUUCAAAAUUUUUUUUUAAACUCUAGAGUCCCGCCUCCACCUGUUCCUUUUCUUUAAACUUAUCUUUGAUUGAUUGUUAUGGUACAUGGUAUUAUUAAUUUGUCGAGAAGAAUUAUUACUCUUUAAUCAUGUGUCUCAUCGUACUAUAAGAUAUAUCAUUUUUAUACUUUCACAUGUAACACUAUUUUAUAGGUGUAAUCUCUAAAUUUUUUUUUCUUCUUGCCCACAAAAGUACUCCAUUUAUUUGUUCUAUCAAUUUAUGUUUACAACAGUCAUUUGUAGUAUUAAAAAUUAAAACUUUUACUUCUUAAUUAACAUUUUUAAGUAUAAAAAGCUACACAUUUUAUACCCUAAAACUACUUACACUUGAUGUAUUUAUAACUAAAUAUGCCCCCCCCCCCCUUUUUCUCCUGCGAAAUCCUGACUCUGCCACUACUCAUCAUCAACAUUUUCUUUGGCUUCACAAAGAACUACUCAUCAUUUUCUUGAAACCAAAGGCUGUAAUAACAAGGUCCCACAAUAAGGAUGGGUAGUUAAAAUCACUUUUUAGUGCGGACGAAUUCUGGGGAUACAACUAUGGAGAUUGAGAAGACAAUGACUAUAACUGGUACUUGAAAAGGAGUUCUCACACUAUAUAAAUUAUCACAAAAAGGAGGUCCAUUGAAAGCUUUUGGACGAAUUGCUCAUAUUUCGAAAAUAUCAGAAUUAAUUUUUAUUAAUAUUGGAAGCUACUAGCCAUGAUAUAUCACAAUUUAAGUUGUUAGAUUAGCAUGACAACAAUCCUUUCUUCAUCAGCGAAUCCAAUUAGCCAAGUCAAUUACUACUACUUGAAAAUAUUUUUGUACCAGAUUAUUUAUGACACCAUCCGAGUUGUUGAAACAUUAAUUCGUGUGUGUGUGUGUGUGUGUGUGUGUGUGUGUGUGUGAAGGAAAAACAAAAGGAGGGAGUGAGAGUUAGGAAUAGUCCUUCAGUUCCAAUUGUGGGUUAUGUGAGCGCUAUUGGAGGCAAAAAUAUCAUUCACAGUGAGGCCUUCAGAGCAUUAUCUUAGCUUUUUUUCUGAUGUUAAGAGUUUGGAAAGAGGAUCAGCCAUUGAUUAGUUUAACUUUCAUCCGUUUUUGCGCUUGCUUCCCAGAAUCGUAGUUUAGCCAUUGCAGUUUUAGCCAUUACGCAUGAGUCCCUUGUUUGUUUGUAGAAACUCUUCUACUGCAUCUACAAAUGCCUUCAGUUCCAUCUAAAGAUUAGAAAAGCAAAUAAAAGUACACCACCAAUGGCGCUUCUUGCUGUAAUGAUUGCUUCAAAGAGUCAGAUCGAUACAACCCCCCAUAUGAGUUCAAAGCCAUCUGCCAGCGAAUUAUGGAUUUCUUGAAACGAGAUGUCCGCCGUUAUGCUGGGGAGACACAGCAGCUCUAAGGGAACUAUUUUAAGAAUGGUGCAGGAAUCAUCAAUAUCUGAUGCCACUGGAUUUUUACCAACAAUAAUAGCUUAGCUGUAACUAAAUCCCACUUGAGAAGAUAAGUUGUGAUUGCCGGAAUACUGGUUUUGAGUGAUAUCACAGGAAGCGGUCUGAACAUAGACAGGAGAUUUGGAAUUCACAGGACUUUUACAGCUCAAAAAGAUCAAUCCAUUUGGUGUCCUGAUUAAAAAAAAGAAAGGAUGACACUUCAUAUUGAAAGGCACUUGAAUUCUAGCAAGAGGAUGGGGUGUGAAAAUGAUCACAGGUUCUUUUUAUUGAAGUCCAGUGAUGAUCAGCAGGUAUGUAGUAAUUGUUAAUGACAAAAUCAUCCAUACUGAACCCCGACAACAAGAUGUAAAUUAAGACAAGGGAGACUAAAACUACCAAAAUCUGCAAUCGCAGCAUAUUAAUAACCGAGUAAUUGACUAAGUAUAUAUGUAGAUACCAAAAUCUGCACUUCUGUUUUUGAUUGAAGUCUCGUGACUUUGUAUUUGGAUGGUUUAGUUCAUGAUCAGAAGAAGAGUCGAAGACUCGUGGGGGUGGACUUGACUAGUUGGCCUUGUAUAGUCAAUUAUAUUUAGGGUACGUUUGGUUCUACAGAAUUAGAAUUGAAUUAGAAUUGAAAUUCUAUAGAAUUGGAAUUCUAUGAAUUGGAAUUCUAUGAAUUGGAAUUCCAAGUCAUUCCAAUUCUUUCGUUUGGGAAAUGCAUAGAAUUGUUACAGAAUUUAUUUGGAAUUCCAAAUCCUUUGUUUGCAUGAGAGAAGAAUUCAUUAGGAAUUAGAAUUGUUUUCAUGAAACAUUUGCUUGCAUAAAAUUUUUCUUUUUUUUUCUUUUUUCUAUAUAAUAAUUUCUUUUUUUUUCUUACUUUUAGCUAAUUUAAAACCAAGCGCUUCACUGGAGAAGCAAAACUGUUGCUAAUUUAAAACCAAGCGCUUCACUGGGUUCUAAAAGUCUUGAUUCUUGCAUCAGCUUAUACAUAUAUUCUUUAGGCACCGGUUGACAGAUGACCAAACGAUUAUACAAAAAGGAAUUUUGUUUCUGUCACAUGAAUAUAAUAUUAGUUUUUAAUUAUAGAUUAUCCCGUCUGAUAUUUGAAAGAGCAAGAAGAAAAAAGAGCUAACGAGUAUCUGUACUUCUGUGAAGAAAAAAGAUUCUGAAUCAAGACUUUUAGAAUAUCCCGUUUAGUUGUGGAAUUGGAAUUGGAAUUCUUUGGUCCAGCCAAAGAAUUGGAACCAUGGAAUUCGAUCGAUUUGGAAUUAUAAUUCAAUUCUAAUUCUAUAGGAAAGAUAGUACCCAAACACAAGAAUUGAAAUUGGGGCUCCAAUUCCAAUUCUAUACUCCAAUUCAAUGGGGAACCAAACGUACCUUUGAUUUUAUAACCGCCCUUUGAUUUUACAUAAUGCUAGAUGACCUCCUAAGGUUUCAAAAUAGCUACAUAACCCCCUAUAGUUUUAUGUAAAUUAAAAAUGGACAAAAUGCAUAAUCAGUUAUGAAGUAACCCCCUUAUGAUUUGUAUAAAUAUCCAUUUUAUCUCUCUAUAAUUUUUACAUUUAUCCACGUGAUCUCCUUAUACUUUUAUACAAGAUAGUUAAGCCAUCAAUUGAUUUAAUAUUUAAGUAAAUGUACUAUUUGUAUUUCAAUUAAAGACGUUGCAUAAGUUAUUUUUCGUCAAAUUUCCACUUUAUAUAAAACUAUAGGAAGGUGAAGUGGACAUUUUGAAACGUCAAGAGGAUUAUGUAAUAAUAGAUGAAAUCACAAGGGGUUAAAUGUAAUUUACCCAUAUGUUCAUCGAAUCUCUGCCGUUGCAAGAGGAGCCACAUACUUCAAUUAGCUGCUCAACAUGGCCCAGCUCUAGGCUGCUUGAUAAAUGGCGAAGGAUCAACUAAAGAGCUUUGGCCACAGAGCAGGAACUUGUUUCAACACGGUUCAUCAUAUUUGUGCUUACCUUGAAACCAAUGGUGCAAUUUCUUGGAUCUAAUUUGGCCGUUUGACCAUUGGAGCAAUUUCUUGGAUCAUUGAAAAUCAAAUUAUAUGACGUGACAAUGGCUAUGAUGUUAAUAAGGGCAUUGUUCUAGUAGUAAAAUAUGUUGAAGAAAUUAUGGAUCUAAGGCAUUCAAGGCUCGAGUCUCCUUAAUUAGUCCUUUGACUUUAGCUUUGAAGAAGCUGGUUAAAGUAUUAUAAUCAAUUUUUGUAAAUCAAUUCCAAUUACCAAGUCAAAGGCUCCCCUAAUCAGUCAUAGUUAUAAAUUCAAAAAAAAAUUGGGGGGGGGGGGGUUUCUAAUCAACAGAAACUGUUGUGUACGUUUACUUCCAAAUGCUAGCUUGAUAACAACCAGAAACUACCGUUUCACUGUUUACUUUGUGACGUAUUCUAUUAUUCUAGAGGAGAUGAAGUAAGUGCAUAAAAAAAAUUCGUCAAAGUAGAACACGAGCUCAGGUCAGUCAAUGGUCGACUGUUGCAAUUUCUCGCAGUACUGCCUUUCUGCUUUUUUCUCCAUACCCCACCAUUAGGUGUCAUUCUCAAAGCAAUUCCUGAUAGAUUCAAAACACAACUCAUGCUACAGCUCAGGCAGGCGUGGACUUGGCUCCAAACCAUUUAUCUAUACAGAGAAAACUGCUCUUCCAUCAAACCUGAAAACUCAUUAGAAGAACAAGAAAAAAAAAUUGAAAUCUGGAGAUUGAUCAUAGUGGCCAUUAGCUUUUCUUCUCUACUAAGCCCUGCAAUCUUUGCGGACAACGUCUCAAUUGCACCUGCAGCAGCACCACCGGACGAUGUCUGUGCAGCGAAAAAUGUAGCCCCGAAGGUCCGGCCGUAAGAUUCCCAUUUCUGGUAAGAGGAAAGCAGCGUGAAGAGUGUGGCUACAAUAAUCCAGGGUACAAUCUUUAUUGUGACAACGGAAACCAUACCUUACUUGAGUUUCCCCCUUCAUCAAUGAAAUUUGUGGUCAAGAGCAUCAACUAUAAGACUCAAAUGAUCCAAGUCCGGUUUGCUGAAGGUUGCCAACUCAAGUAUCUGAGAAAUCUUAAUUUGUCUUCUACCACGUUUCAGUUUUCUGCACUAGACUACCUGGCAGUUCGAUAUACUUUGUUCAAUUGCUCAUUGGCAAAUGGUGAUAGUUGGUCUUCUGAUGAUGGAUAUGACUUUCGUUGUCUAGACACCCCUGGAUACAAGGUGCGUGCAACGCCUUCUGAUACUGAAAUUCGGUUUUUGUCUGUGGAAUUAUGCACAAAGAUGUAUGACACAAAUUUGGUUUCGCGGGAACUAUUUCGAAUGCAAGACUCAAUGAACCUGGCCUGGUCCUUGUCUGCAUGCCAAAAAUGUGAGGUACAAGAAGGUGGAAUUUGCAGAUGGAAGAAUGGAACUAACAAUAAAUUUGACUGCUUUGGAGGAAAGAAGCUCGACUCUGGUAUGUACCAUUUACUGCUCCUUCCUGGUCCAUUUCUUGAUGUUUCUCAUCGAAGUACUUCAGAUAGACUAAUUGACCAAAGAUUCAGACCACAAACAGAAUGAGAGAUAUUUGAUUGUCUAGAAGAAGUUUUUAGAUGAAUCUACACCAGAAAUUUGAACGUUUACAUCUUGAAAAGGAUAAAUUUAAAGAAAGGUCUCAUGUAGCUAUACCCUUCCCUGUCUUCUGAACUCACCCAAUUUGGUGACUGUGUAUUGAUAAAAUGGACCAAGAGCACGAACAAUACUAGGAACAUAUGUAAGAGGCCACAAUAAAAAGAAAGAAAGAAAGAAGAGAGAGAAAUUCACAUUUCUAAUUAACCUUGACUGUUGUACAUAGAUGUCUUUUUGACAUUUGCUAGUAUGUUACAGGUGUAUCGAAGAAAUUACUCAUUUCAGGUGAGAACCUUGCUGUACAUUUUUCUCAGUUAAUUUUUCUAGUAUAGAGAAAAGAAAAAGUAAAAUUGACAUGUGCCUUUAACAACAGGUCCAAUCGUGGGGUGUUUCUUUCUCAUAUUAGCAACAAGCGCCCUUUUUUUUGGUUGCCCGCCCGGUAUCCGAAGCAUUGCCCCGACUAAUCCGGACCCGACCCGCGUCGCGCACCUGGCUAUGGUGGGUGAGUCUCCCAACAGGGGUGUCUGCGUACACUAGGACUCGAACACGAGACCUACUUAAGCGAAUCCGAGCCGCUUACCACUCGGACCAACCCCUGUUGGUAACAAGCGCCCUUUACAAUGUCUAUAAAACAAAGAAAAUGGACAGAGAAAAUCAGAAGAGAAUCAGAACAUUUUUGGAGGACUACGCUGCCAUGAAGCCUACUCGAUAUUCCUAUGCUGAUAUCAAGAGGAUCACAAAUGACUUCAAGGAUAAAUUAGGUGAAGGAGGCUAUGGAAAUGUGUUCAAAGGCAAAAUUUCAAAUGAAAUAUUUGUUGCCGUGAAGCUGCUGCACAAUUCCACAGGAAAUGGGGAAGAGUUUAUCAAUGAAGUAGGAACAAUGGGCACAAUCCACCAUGUAAAUGUUGUCCGCUUGGUAGGCUUCUGUGCUGAUGGAUUCAAAAGAGCUCUUGUUUAUGAAUUUUUGCCAAACGGUUCUCUGGACAAGUUCAUAUUUCCGGAAGGUCAAGAGCAUCAUAACCUUGGAAUGGAGAAGUUACAAAACAUUGCAUUUGGCAUUGCGCGAGGUAUCGAGUACCUUCACCAAGGAUGCGAACAGAGGAUCCUCCAUUUCGAUAUCAAACCACAUAACAUCUUGCUUGACAACAGCUUUAACCCAAAAAUAUCUGAUUUUGGGUUAGCCAAGCUCUGUGAAAAGGGAAGAAGUGCAGUUUCAAUGACUGCUGCAAGAGGAACCAUGGGCUACAUUGCCCCUGAAGUCUUCUCAAGGCACUUUGGCAAUGUGUCUUACAAAUCAGAUAUCUAUAGCUUUGGGAUGCUGUUGCUUGAAAUGGUUGGAAGACGGAAGAACAUUGAUGCCAAUGUGCAAAAUGUUAGCCAAGUGUACUAUCCCGAAUGGGUUUACGGACGGUUGGUUCAAGGGGAAGACUUGAGAAUCCAAGUUGAGGAAGAUGGAGAGGAGAUCAUUGCCAAAAAAUUGGCAAUUGUGGGACUUUGGUGCAUUCAGUGGAACCCUGUGGAUCGUCCUUCAAUAACCUUCGUUCUUCAGAUGCUUGAAGGAAAUGGAGAAAGUCCGAGUCUUCCACCAAGUCCUUUCACCUCAACAGAUCCCAUGAAUCCAAGUAAUCCAAGCUUGCAUGGAAGACAUUUGGCUUCAGGAUUGGCAGUGAUCUCUGAGUUAGAAUAAGAUGCUAGAGGUUAAUUUCAACUGAAAGUCUUGUGUAUUAAUAGCUUCCAAUGUUCUGCAAAUACAAGAAACAAAAAGAAGAAAUUGAUGAAUAAAGUAGAGGUAAUCAAAGGAUAUUUUUUGCAUAUGUACUGUAUUAUGGCUGAUAAUUAAACUAUUAUUGACUCUGAUGGUUAAACUACCCCUACUUAUGUGGGAUAAUAGUUGUUACUAAAUUCCAUGAUGCCUCUUAAACAGUUGAAUUCUUCAACACAAGGCAAAACCAUGGCUUAAAACUCUGCCACUACUUAUCAUCAACAUUUUCUUUGGAAAGAGGAUCAGCCAUUGAUUAGUUUAACUUUCAUCCGUUUUUGCGCUUGCUUCCCAGAAUCGUAGUUUAGCCAUUACGCAUGAGUCCCUUGUUUGUUCGUAGAAACUCUUCUACUGCAUCUACAAAUGCCUUCAGUUACAUCUAAAGAUUAGAAAAGCAAAUAAAAGUACACCACCAAUGGCGCUUCUUGCUGUAAUGAUUGCUUCAAAGAGUCAGAUCCAUACAACCCCCCAUAUGAGUUCAAAGCCAUUUGCCAGCGACUUAUGGAUUUCUUGAAAUGAGAUGUCGGCUUUUAUGCUGGGGAGGUUAGAAUAAGAUGCUAGAGGUUAAUUUCAACUGAAAGUCUUGUGUAUUAAUAGCUUCCAAUGUUCUGCAAAUACAAGAAACAAAAAGAAGAAAUUGAUGAAUAAAGUAGAGGUAAUCAAAGGAUAUUUUUUGCAUAUGUACUGUAUUAUGGCUGAUGGUUGAACUAUUAUUGACUCUGAUGGUUAAACUACCCCUACUUAUGUGGGAUAAUAGUUGUUACUAGAUUCCAUGGAUUAAAAAACUGAACCAUAAGAAAGAAGGAACCAGAAGAAACACUACUCCGUCUUCAUGAUUAUUUGAAAAGUCUAUCAGUUAGAUCGUUGAGCAUUCAACAUGAUUAUUUGAAAAGUCUAUCAGUUAGAUCGUUGAGCAUUCAACUCCAAUUAUCCAGGAAGGCAGUAUCCAGGAAGGCAGCAUCCAGGAAAUGUCUUAUUGGGCCCAUUGAUGAAAAGGAAAGACCCGCAUGUCUAUAUUGCUCAUUGUCUCAAGUAGCAUAAUAUCUCAAGAUAUUAUAUAUUGGAGCUCAGUGGAUACAAAUUAUUGGAGCUAUAUUUACAUAUGAAUGCAUCUCUGAAGGUGCUAACUUUCAGUUUUACUGGUACCAAAUGAGUUUUCAAUUUGCUUUUUCAACUGUAACUAGGUGGCAGAUUGGCAGAUUUAAGAGUUUGAAAAACAAAUCUGAAAUAGAAAGCUUCCACUAAAAGUUAGGAGUACUUCUUAGUCAUCCAUCUGCUCUAUUUCUAAAGCAAUAGAGCUACACAGCGUUACUGUUGACUCAUCAGAAGAGCUAACAUUACUGCUUCCUUGCAUGGAUAUGGGUGAAUCCGGAGGGUAAAACAACGGUCUGUGGGGCAACUUUAGGCCACUAAGAUCACCUUCAAGCAUUUCUAAGACUUUUCUCAUUGCAGGACGAUCCUCAGGUGUCAUUUGUGUGCACCAUAAUGCUAUCAAAAUCAAUUUUCUACUAAUUGACUUUUCGUCUUCAGUUGUAUGAUCCCCAAUUUCCAAUUCCUCCCCUCGAUCGAGUUUAUCGUAUAUCCAGGACAGGAAGUAUAUUUGACUUGAAUGUUCUACAUGUCCAUUACCAUUUCUCCUCCUUCUUGCCAUCUCCAUUAGCAACAUUCCAUAGCUAUAAACGUCUGCCUUGUCUGAGACUCUUCCAAUCUUUUUGUAGAACAAUUCCGGAGCCAUGUAACCUAAUGUUCCUCUGACAACUGUAAGACUUGAAACACUCUUUUGCAUCGGGUAAAGUUUUGCGAGUCCAAAGUCUGUAACUUUUGGAACGAAGUUCUCAUCAAGUAAGAUUUUAUAAGGCUUAAUAUCAAAAUGCAGAAUUUGCAUAUUACACCCCUGAUGCAAGUAUUCAAUCCCACGAGCAACUCCUUUUGCAAUCUCACAAGUUUGCUUCCAACUCAAUGGAUGACCAUUUUGACUAUCUGAGAAAAUUAAUUUAUCCAGAGAGCCAUCGGCAUGUAAUCAUAUACUAGGGCAUGUUUCGAGGGAGCAACACAAAAUCCUACCAACCGAACCACAUUCACAUGGUGAAUUUGUCCAAUAGUUGCAACUUCAUUAAUGAACUCUUAUCCAUCAGCUUUUGAUUUGUUCAGCAUUGAUAGGGUGUUAAUUGUUGGUUAUUUUAUUGUUAAUUUUCCCCUUUAUCCUUGCCAAAUAUUGUUUUAAUUAUUAAUAUUUACUUAUAUUUGGUAUUGGACUUAAUUUCAGGAACAAAGCAGAAAAUUACCAAAAAGGAGGGACUUUUAUGGGAAAAUGGAGACUUCUAAGGACCUUGGACUCUUGAAUUGGUGGGGACCACAAGCUAGUGCAAGGCAUUUAGUCAUUUGGGCUUUUCAAAGAAAGCAACGUAGAGAGACUUGGAACAACAAGUACUUUGGAGGUUUUGUCCACAUGUGCGGGACCACGGAUAAGAAGCAUGAGUCAUUUGGACUCUAGGAAAAGAAACGUACAAGACUUUGAAUUUGGUGUGGGGACCACUAGAGAUAGCAUUAGACUUCCUUUUGGCUUUAAAAAGGGAGAAACGUACGGGAGGUUUAUCAAUCAAUAGUUUUAGUUUAGACUUUUAGCAUAGUUUUAGUUUUCUUUUCUUAGCUCUUUCGCAUGGUUGUUCUCCAUUAAUGGAGAACUAACCUCUUAAUUCAAGUCAAGGGGACAACUGAAGAUUUGGUUCAACAAUUACUGUGAGAUCUAAUUUAUUUUAAUUGCUUCCUUAAUUUAUUGAUAUUUAUAUAUUCCCUGCUUUUAAUUGCUAUAGCUCGUGUGAGUGAUUGAAUAGAUGCGCAAUAUUUAAUUAUUCACAUGGGCUAUUUUGCUAAAUAGGGAUAAUUGAAUCCGUAAUUGUUCGUUAUCUUUAUCUCAGUAGCAACUGGCGUAAUUGGGUUUAUAUCAGGGGAGCAUACGAUCUAACUUAAACAAACCCUCGUAGCGUGUUUGUUAGUUAGGAUUGGGCAUUUCUAAUUAUUAAUGCAAUCUAGAAAUUAAAUCCUACGGUUGUACCUAGGGUUGUUUUUGGGUUAGAGAAAUAGUUAACGGUCGUACCUUAACUAUCGAGAAAUUAAGGAAAGGUUGGUUGUUUAUCGCGUGCAUGACAACUAUAACUGGUCUAUUAAUAAAUGUGGAAUUAUCUGUGAAUCAAUGAUCAGUGCCUGAACCAUUUCUGAAGUGUACCCUUGGCUAGAGUUUUCCCUUAAUUAUUUCUCUUAAUCAAUUAUUUUCUGCAGUUAAUUUAUUUAGUUAGCAUUUAAUCCAAAAACCCCCAUACCUUGGACUCUAGAAGAAACGAAUUAUCCCCAAUCCCUGUGGAUUCGACCCUGCUCACCGCUAUAUACAAAAUCUGUAUUUUUCUCGAGUAGGUAUUUAUUAUUGCACAGGUUCGGCACCUGUCAAUUUUUGGCGCCGUUGCCGGGGACUGGUGUCAGAUUAAUUUGUUUGUUUUUGAGUUCACCUUGUUUUCAUUUUUAAUUUAUUUUUCUCUUAUUUUUUUAUAUAACUUAUGGCUUCUAACACUCCGUAUUUUGGUGAUAUAAUGGAUUUUGUCUUCGGGGAAGGCAAUGAGACUGAUUGUUUUUCUAAGUUUGCAUAUUUAGAGGCAAUAAACUCUAUUAAAAAAAAAAUGGCUGCUGCAACCUGUGAAAUUUGUUAUGCCAGGGAUCAUUCAACCGGUAUGUGCCCCGAAUAUCAAGAUGAUCUGAGUGUCCCAUUCAAUAAUUAUGGAGAUUUUUCACCCUGGUCUCAAACGUGGUAUAACCCUAAUCCAAACGGGUAUGAUCAAGGAUGGUGGGAUAACUCCAGUUAUGAUUAUACAACAGGGCCAAUGAAUUUUCAGCAGUAUGAGUCUCAAGAAUCAUCAUCUAUGUCAGGUAUGUCUCUUGAAGAGAUAGUUGAAUUAAUAGCUACUAACACAUAUCAAAUUCAACAGGAGACACAAGUGAGCAGGCGUAACCUAGCAGAUCAAAUGGAUCAAUUGACAUUUAGGAUAACGUCAUUGGCUUCUCGAAUGAGUGAAAAAUUGCCCUCACAAACUAUUAUCGACCAUGAGGAAUAUGAGAGUGCAAUUAUCCUGACGAAUGACAUGGUACUGCAAGAGUCUCAAGAAGAAGAAUCUAAAGAUGCAGUUGAAAAGAAAGUUGAAGCACAAGAAUUGAGACCCCAACAUCAAAUGGUUCAAGUGAAUGAAUCCAGUGAACAAUCUCCAAAUGCGGUGACAUCUCCUCCAUUCCUUGAUCAAUAUUUUCCUGACUCUUAUUCUUUAAUUCCUGUUGGUGAGAUUGAUUUUAUUAUACCAGAAAAUUUUGAGUUUCAUGACAGGAACAAGUCAAGAGUCACGAUGGCAAAAUAUCUCAAACCAAUAAGUGCUUGUGAUGGAGGGGUGAAUGAAGAUUUAAGGUCAUUACUUGGUUGUUUGGCUCCAUCUACUAGUCCAUGGAAGACCGUAGCUCGUGUGCUCAAAAAUUACUCUACUUACGAGGGCUAUCAAGAUUACAUAGAGGAUGAAGCACUGAAACGAGCCACAAGAUUUUAUCCUCCAUGAAUAAACAGGACAAUGUCUAGCCAAACACAUUAAAGAAAGGCGCUGCUUGGGAGGCAACCCAAGGCUUUUGUUUUAAUUUUCUUAUGUUUUUGGAGUUUUUGUUAAGUGUUAGUUGCAUUUAGUGAUUUGUUGCUUGGUGGCAGGAAAGUGGCAAUUAAACGUGCCCACGCCAGGUGGUCACGCCUGAGGGAAAGAAAUUUUCGUUCAGGAUCUGCGGACUCUAUAGCGGUUAGACGCGCCCACGCCAGGUGGUCACGCCUGAGGGAAAGAAAUUCUCGUUCAGGAUCUGCGGACUCUAUAGCAGUUGAGCGUGCCCACGCCUUAGCCAGAGGGUCCUUGACUUAAAAAAAAAAAAAAAAAAAAUUCCGUCUUACACCUUCAGUUUUGAUUCUCACAAUUCGGAUUUUGAAAUUUGAAUGUGCAAAAAAAAAAAAAAGAACUAUUUUUUUUCCUUUUUCUUUCUUUCUUUCUUUCUUUCUUCUUCUUUCUUUCUUCUUUUCUUCCCCGCUGCCCUGUUUCCCUUUUCUUUUAUUUCUUCUUUCGGCUGCCCUCCAUCCGCCGCCACCCACUCCGCAUCAACUCCCCAUCGCAUGCCGCUGCCUAUCGCGAGCCACUCGCCUCGCCGUCCGCCGCCAUUGGCGCCCUCCAGCAGCACCGCCGCGAGCUCCACCGAACCUCUUGACCUUAGCCUACUCCAACCCAACUCAACCAUUCCUCGCCUCACCCACUGCUGUGGCCCCGCCAUGGUCCCCGUGAUUUCAGGGAAGUACCAUUGCUCUUUUGCUUACUAUUACUAUUUAUUUAUCACAUUGAGGGCAAUGUGUGAAUUAGGUGUGGGGGGUCAGUUUUGGGUGCUAGUAUUUUCAAUUUUCGAUUUUUUAGGUGUUUUUUUUCCUUUGUUUUAAGUCUGAUAUUUAUCUCCUUUUCAUUUAUUUUCUUUUCUUUUCUUUUCCUAGUGGUCAGUUUUUAUAUGAGUACCAAGUUUUGAUACCGGAUUGUUGUCUCUAAUUCUGCUAUUGCCAAGUUUAUUAAUAAAAAGGUAUCAAGUUGAUGUGGUUGAAUUCAGGAAUAUCUCUUUGGUGAAUAUCAAUAAUUGCUUAACUUUUCCUAUUUUUGGUUAACUUUUCUAAGCAUGGGGAAUGAUUGUUGGCAUUUUUCAUGUGAAUUGGUCCAUUUAUUAAUUUUAGUUCUCCAUGUCUAGAAAUUUGCGGCUGGCUGCUGUUAUUCUUGUGUUGCUUUUAGAUAUCGUGCUACAUGGUUGCAAAUAAGAGUGACUGUACUCCGCUAGUGGUUACUACUGAGUAACCGGGGAUCUUCACCUAAAGUGUUGAUUUUCGUGUCAAAAGGUAGUAGUUGCUAUGAGUGCGUGGUCCUGUAGCGAUUGGAGUUGAGUAACCGGGCUCUUUCAUCUAACAAAUGUCAGAGUUCGCGUCAAAAGGCUCUAAUGGCUAUAGAUUAAGUCUUUUGUUACUCAAAAAAAAAAAAAACAGAAACAAAAAGAAAGAAAAAAAAAGAAAAUAAAGAUUGUGUUAGUAAGUCAGCUUUCCGGUUUGUGAUCUUAAUGUCGAGAUUUUGGUUAAUAGUUGGACCAUUUGCUGAUAAAUGUGAGCAACCAUUCCUUUUUCUUAGAUUAGUUCGCUUUAAAUUGGAGAAGUUGGUGGUUGGGAAGCUAGCCGGGGUGAUUUUCUUUGAUCUUGACCUGUGUCGCUUGAUAUAUGAUUUUCUUAGUGUUUUGGCAAUACGGUAGUUGGAGUAACAGCCAUGGUCAAAUUUUGGUGUUCAAUUGCUGUUCCCAUACUUGAGGGCAAGCAUGAUUUAGGUGUGGGGGGAAUUGAUAGGGUGUUAAUUGUUGGUUAUUUUAUUGUUAAUUUUCCCCUUUAUCCUUGCCAAAUAUUGUUUUAAUUAUUAAUAUUUACUUAUAUUUGGUAUUGGACUUAAUUUCAGGAACAAAGCAGAAAAUUACCAAAAAGGAGGGACUUUUAUGGGAAAUGGAGACUUCUAAGGACCUUGGACUCUUGAAUUGGUGGGGACCACAAGCUAGUGCAAGGCAUUUAGUCAUUUGGGCUUUUCAAAGAAAGCAACGUAGAGAGACUUGGAACAACAAGUACUUUGGAGGUUUUGUCCACAUGUGCGGGACCACGGAUAAGAAGCAUGAGUCAUUUGGACUCUAGGAAAAGAAACGUACAAGAUUUUGAAUUUGGUGUGGGGACCACUAGAGAUAGCAUUAGACUUCCUUUUGACUUUAAAAAGGGAGAAACGUACGGGAGGUUUAUCAAUCAAUAGUUUUAGUUUAGACUUUUAGCAUAGUUUUAGUUUUCUUUUCUUAGCUCUUUCGCAUGGUUGUUCUCCAUUAAUGGAGAACUAACCUCUUAAUUCAAGUCAAGGGGACAACUGAAGAUUUGGUUCAACAAUUACUGUGAGAUCUAAUUUAUUUUAAUUGCUUCCUUAAUUUAUUGAUAUUUAUAUGUUCCCUGCUUUUAAUUGCUAUAGCUCGUGUGAGUGAUUGAAUAGAUGCGCAAUAUUUAAUUAUUCACAUGGGCUAUUUUGCUAAAUAGGGAUAAUUGAAUCCAUAAUUGUUCGUUAUCUUUAUCUCAGUAGCAACUGGCGUAAUUGGGUUUAUGUCAGGGGAGCAUACGAUUAGGGCUGUCAACGGGUCGGGUCCGGGCCGGAAUUCAUUAUUUCGGACCCGGACCCGAAUUACUAUGUCGGAUCCGGAUCCGAUCCGUUUACCCGACGGGUCUUUUAUUCUAUGUUCCGGAUCCGGAUCCGGAGGGUCCGACGGGUCUCGGAUCCGGAUCCGGGUCUACCCGAACAAAUUUACCAAAUUUUAUAAUUUCUAAUAAAAAUGAGAAAAAAAUAUAUUUGUAAACUAAUUUCUAACUAAUGCAAAGAAAAAAUCAAAUAAGAAAAGAAAUCAAAUUAAUUUUAUUAAAAUACAUCACCCUAAUCAAAUUAUAUUGAUAAAUAUAUAUUUUUUAAAUUAUUAAUUCAUUUAUAUCCGGAUCCGGGUCUAAUACGGGUCGGAAUACUAUAUUCCGUAUCCGACCCGUUUUUUUGUUUGACAAAACGGAUCCGGAUCCGAAUCCGGGAAACGGAAUUAAAUCCCUACCCAUACUCGCAAUAAUUUCACGGAUUCGGUCCGAAUCCGGGUCUAGACCCGACCCGUUGACAGGCCUACAUACGAUCUAACUUAAACAAACCCUCGUAGCGUGUUUGUUAGUUAGGAUUGGGCCUUUCUAAUUAUUAAUGCAAUCUAGAAAUUAAAUCAUACGGUCGUACCUAGGGUUAUUUUUGGGUUAGAGAAAUAGUUAACGGUCGUACCUUAACUAUCGAGAAAUUAAGGAAAGGUUGGUUGUUUAUCGCGUGCAUGACAACUAUAACUGGUCUAUUAAUAAAUGUGGAAUUAUCUGUGAAUCAAUGAUCAGUGCCUGAACCAUUUCUGAAGUGUACCCUUGGCUAGAGUUUUCCCUUAAUUAUUUCUCUUAAUCAAUUAUUUUCUGCAGUUAAUUUAUUUUGUUAGCAUUUAAUCCAAAACCCCCCAUACCUUGGACUCUAGAAGAAACGAAUUAUCCCCAGUCCCUGUGGAUUCGACCCUGCUCACCGCUAUAUACAAAAUCUCUAUUUUUCUCGAGUAGGUAUUUAUUAUUGCACAGGUUCGGCACCUGUCAAGCUUCUUGACAGCAACUAAAUCUCCGCUCCGCAGUUUUCCUUUGUAAACCAAACCAUAACCUCCUUCAUCUAAUUUCUCCUUAAAGUUGUUGGUCAUUGCCCUUAUGUGUUUGUAUGAAUACCUAAUGGGCAUGAGGUCGUUGUUCGUUUGUAGGAAAUCUUUUAUUGUAUCAUACCUCGAUAAAUGCCUCCGAUGACACCUAUAAAGGAGAAAAGCACAUAAGAGGGCAAUGCCAAUGGCACUUUUUGCUGCAAUGAGCAGAACUGAAAUAGAAGAAGAAAGCAACAUUUAGCAGUGAUUUAAUCUGUAUCAUAUACCCAAUAGUGAGUUAUCAACUAUAAAUCAAAUGCCUUACCAAAAAAUUUGACAGCAAAACCCAUGCGAGCUGCGUAUUACAAAAAUUCAAAGGAUUAUUAAGGAAAAAUUGAAACAGAAAGGAUGAGACUGACUGAAAAAAUCAUUUCUGUAUAUUUUAAGAAUAAUUGACUCACUCCCAAACUUGACAUGAUUGUAGAAUGGUGCUACCAGAAGACCUGCAUUGUCCAGGAACAAAGAUCAAGAUUAAUGUCCAAUUGCAUGCUUGAACUUCAGCUUUUAACAGAGCUUCAAAUGCUAGAAGAAAAAAUUCAAUGCACAUUAAUCAAUUGUACAAUCUUCAAAUCUAGAGGAGAAUCUCAGAGAUCCUAAAUUUACACCUUCACAAUCUAAAUCAACACAGUCAAUGCAUUAAUCAAGUGCACUAUGACAGUAAGACUUGGAUAAAGUGUGAAAGAUAGAGAAGUUUGGAUUUGGCUUUUGAGAUCAACAACAGAACUACUAUACUCAGCCUACAAAUAUACCACUCCAUUUCUUAACUUAAAAUCUUUCAAGACACCGUAACUUGUCAUUAAAUUCCCAAAAACAUAGUUUCAUUCAGUAGAAUUUAAUACUUUCUAAGAGAUCAUCGUAACCAAUUAUCAAUCCCCGAAAUGGGCAACCUUCAGCCUUUUUGGGUAAGUAAGAAUUUAUUAAUACCCAAGAAGAAAGUAACAUACAAGGCAGGUCUGCAAAGUUAGUGUACUUACAAAGAAUUGAUCUCCGCGGUGACAAACGGAUCUCAAACCCAUUAGCCAGAGCAUUGUGGAUGUCUUGAAACGAAAUAUCUCCCGUUACCUUAGGCAGACACCGAAGGUCUGCACGAACUAUUUUAUGGAUUGUGCACGACUCUUCAAUAUCGGAUGCGACCACAUUUUUACCAAUCACAACAUAACUGUAAUAAUCAGAUUGAGCAUUCAUUUUUGAAAAAUGAUUUGCAGUGAUAUUACAAGAAGCAGUGUCUAUAUAAAGAGGAGAUUUUGAUUCCACUGGAUUUUUACAGCUGACAAAGACCAAUUCACUGGUGUCAGGAUCAAUAUCCACGAAUCGUCCAUAACGGAUAUCCCCAACUUGCUUUUCAUAGGUGUAUUCAUAAAAUGAGUAAAUUGGAAGAGUAGAACAGUUGUCCUUUUGCACUCUAGAUCAAAUAUACGAAGUGUUCGUUUCCUGUAGUCAAUGCUGUCUAGAUCUGUAUAAAAGUGCUGUUCCUCCCCAUCAACAUCCGCUGUUAAGGGAAGUACUAUGCGAUUAUGGUCACAAGAGAACUCCAAAGCAUAAGGGCACAAAUCUGCAUGAUCACCUUUGAACUGAAACGGGCACUUUAAACUGACAUCAGUGCCUCUGCAAGAAGAUGGGCUAUGGUCACAACCGGUGUGUUUGGAAUAGAAGGUAUGAUAACCAUUUGCGUAACAAUGGCUAUCGACAAUAGUAUCAAAUCUGAAUUGGGAUACCAAAAAGUAAAUCAAGAUCAGGGACAACAAAACUACCAAAAUCUGAACUUGCAACAUGCUAUUAAUGGAUUGACUAAAAAUAGCCGGAUAUGCAGAGGAGAAGGUACUGCUUGGCAAGUAAGGUUUUAGAGCAAAUGAAUGCACUUUAACUAAAUUUUAACCUCCUUUCCCGGUAAAGGUUUAAGGGAAUCCAAUCUAAACUUGCCUGCUGCAGUUGUUUAUUAAGAAAAACUUUUCCAUUAACCUCAAUGGACUUUCGACUAGCCACCCAAUUUAGACUUUUCAUUCUUUCAUUUUCUUUUUUCAGUCUUUGUUAAGGGAGUCCAAUCUAAUACUUCCGCACUUACUUGGUAGUUAUUAUCAUUAAUACUUUUGAUGACAAUUAAAACUUGCAGUUUAUGAAAAUUAAAAAUCCCCUCCCCUAGUUGUUCUAGGAGCGAGGAGGGUGGCUUGCGGGGAAGGGGGGAGGGGAGAGGAGGAAGAGAGAGGGAGGGAGGCAGGAGGAGGAAAGUGGAAGGAGAAGAGAGAGAAGGGGGACCGGCAAGUGGUAUAACCGUUCUUGAACGGUGUAAAACCUUCUUACCAAAUAAUUAAUCAUUAUAGGUUAUUUGUAUAAUUUGGAGGUGUCAUUUUUGACGUCUGUAAAGGGUCUUUUGCUUAGAAAUUUUGCAAGGAAAUGAUUAGUUGAUAAAAUACUAUGAUUUUUGUCCAAGCUUAUUUUAGACUUGGAAUCUUAAUCAAAAGUGAAAUGGGAAAAUGAGUGAAAAUCUUGAAAUUUGGAUGAAUUCUUAUUAAUACUUUGAGAUGGGCGCUUUGAGUAUGUAAGUCCCACGGUUUGGAGCUUGGUGAUGGGCUCCAGUGUCAGGCCGAUUCGUUCCUAGUUCCAAUUUCUUCAUUUCCCUGUUCUAGGUCCGAAAAUAUUUCUUCUGCUCUUGUCAGUACGGGACUGAAUUGUAAUUGAAAUAUUGAUAAUUUACGAAAUUAAAUUAAAUUAGGCUUUAGCAGUUAUAGGCAUGAAAGAUGUGUAUCACAGGAAUUACCUAAGUUAAGUUAGGUAUUGCUUCAUUUUCACUAAGGUAAGCAGUUUUAGCAGUCUCUAAUGAAUAAAAUAGUUUUAAAUGCCUAUGUUAAUAUGAAAUUCAGCAUGAGUAGAGAUACUUAUAAUUCUUUUGACAUGUGAACUAAUAUGAUAAGAAUAGUUAUGGAAUUUAGAUGCAACAUUUGUUUCGCACUUUGAAUUCAUGAUUUCUUGUUUACUGUCAUUAGAACUAAUUAGUUCUGUAUUUCUGUCUGUCUGAUCUAGCGGGAAAUGCUGGCCUCGCUGCAGGGUAACAAAAUGUCACGAUCAAAAGGUACUUCGUGAGGGCAACAAACGCUUGAUGUCAUUUGUUCCUAAGCUGAGACAUUUGGUUUAAGAGUACUCUUACGCCCUUCAUAUCAAGAAAGUUUAUCAGAACAACUGAAGUUUAGAUCCUUUUAGAACGGUUUGUUAUUACAACACAAGUAGCUUCCUAUCCCCAGCAAAUCGAGUUUCCUCUCCAAAGCUUAGGCACAAUGACUGACUUUUUGUAAUCAAAUCAUGUGAACACUGAAACAAUGAUAGUAGCAAUCAAUAACAGUUAACAUAUCCAUAAUUCAAGAGAAGGUGCCAAUGGUUGUUACUUAGGCCCUGGUUGAUAAUCUCAUUCAGUACUUAAACUUAAUGGAUUUAGAUCUUAACAUGUUCAGAUACGUUUAUUGAAAAACUGAAGUUUAGAUCUUGUCAGAACGGUUUAUCAUUAUGACACAAAGUAGCUCCCUAUGGCCAGCAAUUCCAUUUUCCUCUCCACUCUCUUGAAAGCAAUGACUGACUUUUGUAAUAAAAUCAUAUGAACUCAGAGACAAUGACAGGAGCAAUCAAUAAUAGUUAACCUAUCCGUAAUUCAAGAGAAGGUGCCAAUGGUUGUGCUUAAUGUCAUGAUGCUUCUUAAGUACUUGAAUUUUUCAACAUGACAAAACCUCAACUUAAAUAACUGAACCAUAAAGAUGAAGGUAUCAAGAAGGAACACUAGUUCUCUUCUUCAAGAUUAUUUGAAAAGUAUAUCAGCUAGACCGUGAAGCAUUCGCCUCCACUUACUCAAGCAGGCAGUAUCCAGGAAAUGUCUUAUCCUGCACGUUGAUGAAAAGGAACGACAUGUUUCAAAGGAAAAAUCCAAGGAUAAGGAAAAAUGGCUACAAGGCUAUGUUAAACUAACAAUUUGACUAGUAACAGCAACACUACUGGAAAGGAUCGAUCUUACGAAUUUGGAGGAAAUAUUUAGAUAUGCUGCUAGCUGUUUUAGAUAACAUAAUAUGUAGAAAUUAUUAUGUUGAACUCAAAGAUUGAUGCUGGUAUUACUAUUAUAUAUGAAGCAUAUAUCAAGGUGCUACACUUCAGUUCAUUGAUACCAAACUGAUAUUUCAGUUUGCCAUGUUAUAUCUGGUACAUUUGAGAGUUUGAAAGACAAAUCUACUAGGCAAAGCUUUCACUGAAAGUACUACUUAGUCAUCCAUCUGCUCUAUUUCUAAAGCAACAGAGCUACAUAAGGGUGCCGUUGACUCGUCAGAAGAACUACUAUCGCUGCUUCUUUGCAUGGAUAUGGGUGAAUCUGGAGGGUAAAACGACGGUUUAGGGGGCAACUUUAGGCCACUAGCAUCACCUUCAAGCAUUUCUAAGACUUCUCUCAUUGAAGGACGAUCUUCAGGUGUCAUCUGUAUGCACCACAAUGCAAUCAAAAUCAAUUUUCUUGUAAUCUUCUUUUCUUCUUCAGUUGCAUGAUCUCCGAUUUCCAUUUCCUCCACCUGAUCGAAUUUGUCAUAUAUCCAUGAAGGAAAAUAUAUUUGACUUGAAUGCUCAACAUGCUCAUCCACAUUUCUCCUCCUUCCCGCCAUCUCCAUUAGUAACUUUCCAUAGCUGUAAACGUCUGCUUGUUUGAGACUCUUCCAAUCUUUUUAUAGAACAGUUCCAGGGCCAUGUAACCUAAUGUUCCUCUCACGGCAGUAAGAGUUGCAAUACUCUUUUGCAUCCGGUAAAGUUUUGCAAGUCCGAAGUCUGAAACUUUUGGAACAAAGUUCUCAUCAAGUAAGAUGUUAUGUGGUUUAAUAUCAAAAUGCAGAAUUUGCAUAUCACACCCCUGAUGCAAGUAUUCAAUGCCACGAGCAACCCCCUUUGCAAUGUCACAAACUUGCUUCCAACUCAAUGGAGAACCAUUUUGACAGUUUGAGAAAAUUAACUUAUCCAGAGAGCCAUUUGGCAUGUAAUCAUACACUAGAGCAUGUUUUGAGGCAGUAACACAAAAUCCCACUAACCGAACCACGUUCACAUGGUGUAUUCUUCCAAUAGUUGCAACUUCAUUGAUGAACUCCUGCCCAUUAGCUUUUGAUUUGUUGAGCAUCUUGACAGCAACUG